UUUAGCCGGUAAAUAUUUUCAAGAGCCGUGUAGCUAUCAGUAACAGGUCCUGAAGUUAUAACGACGUAUUUCAAGUUGUUAGCUUUGAAAUACAGAUUUUCCGGCAUGGAAACAAUUUCAAUACCAUUGAUGAAGGCAAACGAGUUGGGUGAUGGGGUAAAUGUAACGUUGAGGCUCUGGCUAUCUUUGACAUAGAUGAUAAAUUCUUUGAAAAAGCUGGAAACUUUGGGACCUGAUUCGGAGAGAAAGGAGGCGGUUAGGGAAGCGCUGAAGUUGGUCAAAAGAGAGUAACCGUUGGAUGUAACGGAGAAGAAAGAUUGGUCGGCGUUGAGGUUGGAGUAGAUCGCGGGGUAGAAGUAAAGGCGGAGGAAUUUGGGGCCUUGGGACACCGGAAACCUGUAGGUGAAUGAAGAUCUGUUGAAGAUACGAGCAGUGGCGUAAGGGAUUUGAUCGACUGAAGGAUCUUGGAAGGAAGGUGUGAAUGAAAAGGAGGUGGCGGCGGAGUUGGAGUUUAUGAAUUUAGAAUCUUCAUCGCCAUCCCAUCUCCGUCCGGAAGGUAUGCUGAUGGCGGCGGAAGAUGAACCGCAGUCAAGGAGGAAGUUAUCGGUGGCUUUGUAUGGUUGUGCGGCGGUGGUGGUGGUGGUGGUGGAGAAUAGGAGGAAGAAAGAAAAGAGAGGUAAAUAGAAGCUAAUCAUGAUUGAUAAAAAGGAGAAUUAUUGGUGCUUUGAAAAAUAGAUAAUUGUGUUUUAUAAAUCAUCACGAGGGGAUACACAGUGAGAAUUGUCAGCUUCUUUCAAGAAUCAAAAGUAGACCUGGCAAGUCUUCUCGGUCUUCCUCAAUUGUCAGUACUUACAAAUAGUUUUAGGAGUGAACGAUACGUUGUGCAUUAGGAGUUAUACCAUAGAAAGUGACAUGUUUUAAUCUCGUAUUUUGGUGUGGAAAAAUCAUUUACUUGAGAUGCUUUUAAUUGUAACAGGUACAUGAACAACAAUCCAUUUGAACGAGUCAACUAUGCAAAUUGAAUAUUCACUUGAUAAGCCAUUAUGUGGCUACGAAAUGAAGAUAUCUCCACUACCGAUUAACUGGUCUAUAUUAUAGAGAAAAAGCGAAAAGUAUUGACAAGUUGAAAGUCUUUUUUAUUGGAUUGGUUGUUUUUGAUCAUGUUUAUUUGUAAUUUAGGUUUUAAAAAAAAAAACUUAAAAGAUUAAAAUGUAUUUUAAUUUAUUUUUUAUGAUCAAACAUAUUACUAAUUAUAAAUAUAUUUAUGUAUUAAAAAGUUGUAUUUAUAUAUAAAUAUGCAUACAUUUUUAAAUAUAUUACAUUUUUUUUGCUUUAGUAUAUUUUUGUAAAUUAUAUAUUAAAUAAAAAAUUAAAUUUCACAUAAACCUAGCGGGUAAACGAGCAACAAGCGAUGCCACAACCCCUUUUUAAAUGAUUAAACUAAAUCUUUUAAAAACAUCUAUAAAUCUUGGAGUCAUAACAUUACUAGGCAUGACCAGUUGGACUCUAUUAAGUAGCUCCACAGCUUUUGGCGCAAGGAAAACAAAAGUAUCAAUUGCAAAGGGUAUAAACGUGUGUUGAUUUUCCAUGCACGCUUUGUCAUGUUUUGCCGCUUUGCUUGAUGCAACUUUUUAAAGUUGUUUGUACCACAGUGAAAAUCUCACUCCCCAAGCCACAAGAGGGGAAACUCCUAUUAGAUCCACACAUGCAUGUUUUCCUCCAGCCUAUCCAAAUACUAAAAACUAUUUAGAAAGGAAAGUAGAUCUUGUAACCCAGUUAUAAAAUGCAUUGAGGAAGAAAUCAAGUUGAAGAUUUUGGGAAUGAAGCUGCAGAACAAUCCUAUUAAUGAUGAUGUGUGUAAAACAUGGGUAUUUAUGGGAUUGCAAAAAAAGAGGAGGAAUAUAAUAAAUUACAAAAUGGGAGCACACAAUUUCAAUAUGGGUUGGUUGAUUCAGAAAAAAAAAAAAAAAAUCAAGUGGAGAAUUUGGAUGGGUUGUGUAGCUGGAAGUUUUAUGUUUUAUGGAAUUGACGAAAAUUGCAAUGUAAUGGAAGGCUUUCCUUUAGUUAAAUUUGCUUAAACCAUAAGGGAUGUUUGUUUGAGUAUGAUCUAUAUUGAGAUUACUCAAACUUUCAUCCGUGUACAUGUGAUUGAUGUCAUGUCUAGAAUGCAACUCUAUGGAAUUGAUGGUUACAACCUUACUUGCUUGUGUCUAGUUUUUAAUCACUUAAUGUCAUAACUCUUUAACCAUAACCCUUACACACUAACCUACAUGACUUAAUUUAAUAACCUUUUAACCCUAACCCAUAUGGUUUAGUGACAUAACCCUUUAACCCUAACCAAUAUGAUUUAAUGUCAUAACUAAUGUGAAAUUGGGAGGUGGUCAUGAAAGUCACUUCAGCUUAGGUCCGUGUACGGAAGGUAAUCCUGUUUUGUCUACUGAAUGCGAACCUAUUUGGACUAUUCAUGGUUGCGAACAAUGUUUGAUUUAGUUUACGAGCCUUAUCUACCUUGCCUUCCAUCUUCCAUUCUACUUUCGCAAUCCCUAACAAGGAUGUAUUGCAUCGAGGAAGAACCAACGAAUACAAAUUGAAACAUAAUGGGAAGAAGAUUAUGUUAAAGCCUAUGACUGUGAUUGAGGUGGGAUCAAUGUGAAAGCAUCAAGGUAAGCAUUCAAGUCGUAAAAUAAUAGUUGUUGUGUAACGACCCAAAUUUUCAAAUAAAACUUUUCAUUAAAAGUACUAAAUCGUGCUCUUUAAUUAUAAAAUUCCAGUCACAGUUGUUUUAAAAAAUCAAUAACAUCAGAUAAAUUAUUCAUGAAAUCAGAGUGUCCCCAAACAAAACGCUAAAGAAUGCAUGUCGUGCCAUCACAUCGGGCUCUUGCCCUUAGAUCCAGAAGUACCUGAAACAACCAACAAAUUGUAAGCUAACGCUUAGUGGGUUCCCCAUAACAUACCCCACACAAUCCACAUAAUCAUAUAAACCAUAUCAACCAUACACGCCAUUCAUAUAAACAUAUACGAGUGUUGUGGGCACCCCCAUGGUCUUACACCUAUGUGACAUGGGCACCCCCUAUAGUCUUACUUGGAAUGUCAUGGGCACCCCCUAUAGUCUUACUUGGAAUGUCAUAGGCACCCCCACAUGGUCUUUAUAACCAAGUGUCAUGGGCACCCUCAUGGUCUUUACCUGGAAUGCCAUGGGCACCCCCACAUGGUCUGACAUCCAAGUGACACAGGCUCCCUCAGGGUCUUCCAUGCAAGUAUCACAAGACAACUAGCAUAUCACGUACUACAUAAUCAACUAGUAUACCACAUAACAUGUAAUGGGCCGCCCUUGGUGCAUGCGACCCAUUAGUACUGUGACGAGACUCACCUUAGUCUGAUGAACACGAAAGUUAUCCGCCUAAUAGUUUGAAACCACCUGCGUUGAACCAUAAUACAUUAACCCAAAUUGAGGAUUGAAUAUAAUCUAGUUAAAGAACCUAAUUACCUAAGCCCAAAUCCUUCCAUAAUGGCCCAAGAGCCUUUCCUUUGCUAAUGGGCCCAAAGUCCAUGUCCAAAGAUAUUAAUGGGCCACAUAACCCAAUAAGGCCCAACCAAAACAACCAUGGCCCAAAACAGAUUAAUCGGACCACUAACCCAAAAUAUCUCCAAGACUAAAACUAAUUAAGGCCCAAAGGCCUUACAAGCCCAAACGAAACCCAAAACCAACUGGGGUGUGUACGCCAAGCGUACCACUUCAGUACGCUCAGCGUACUGAGUCCUUAGUUGUACGCGUUGCAUGUGCUAUAUUACGCCCAACGUACAAGCAUAUUAAGCACCAUUUCCAUUAAGUGUCUGAUACUUGAUAUUCUAACGUCCAAUAUCAUAUCUGAGCUCAUUAAGACGUCCUAGGGCAUAAAGUUGCCAACUUUAUGCCCUUGCAUGCUAUAAGGGACUUUGUAACAUCCCAAAUUUCAAGACCAAAAAUUUUGUUUUUAAUUAAGUAAUAUAUAAAACAGUUUACUAAAAAGCAUCAUCGAUUUAUAUCAUUUCAUAAAACCAUAGUCAUGUGUCUCAAAACCAUUUCAUUAAAUAAUAAUAAUGUCAGAGUACAAUCCCAAGAAUCUCAUAAAGCGGAAAUUGUGUGUGUGUGAUGUGUUGUUACCGUGUGUCACACCCCCGAACCAGACGGCGGAAACGUCCGAGGGCUAUUGUGACUUAAUUGAAUACCAUCACAAUGAUUAUACAUGAAUCAUAACAUCAUUCAUCACCAUGCAUUGAAAUAUUACAACUGAUAUUGUUUACAUUCAGUACAUCGUUUUAAACAUUACAUUUCCAAAACAUAAACCGUUCGAUACUAAUUUAAACAAAACACCAUGACAUCACUGGAUACAUAUUCUUCGAUUUACCUGUUACCUGAGAAUACAAGUAUUUUGGAAAAAACAUCAACAUAAGAAAUGUUGGUGAGUUCAUAAGUCAUGUUUGAAAAAUAAUGAUUUUUGUGAAGUUUGAAAACCCAAAAAAUCCGAUAUUUUCUGAAAAGAGUAUUGUAUUUAAGAAAAAGUGUGAAGAUCCAUAAGUAUGCUUGUUGAUUCUUGUAACGUGUAUAAUUGUUAAACUUUGUAUACAUCACGAAGGUAAAAGUGUUGAACUCCCCGGGAAAACCCGCUGUUUUCCUCAUACAUAAAAUUUUGUGUCUUAUUUAUUGUUAUACCGAUACGACGUUUGUUUUCGAUAAUUCCAGGUGACAUUGAAUUAAUUACGGGUUGUGAGUCGUUAUAAUCACGCAUUAAUGAAAAUGACUAGUUUAUAACUACCAAAUACAAACGAUCCCUUAGGCGUCGUCCGUACUACUCACUUAAUCCAACCACCCUGACUUCUCAUAGCCCCACAACCGAGGAGAAAGGAGGGUACGAAGCCCCCGUUAUUUCCAUAAGUCGUUCAAGGCUAUCGGGAAUGCGAAAGGCACUUGGCCCGACUCGCAUUUGACUUCUCGACUUUUCUAGCAGUAACAAUGGACCCUUGGGGCCCAAAAACACAAUAAAGCUAUUGAAAGUCCUUUUACAUGGAAUUAGGUGAUAGAAGGCCUAAUAACAUGUAAGCGCGUUCCCUUCGGGCCUAAAGAUCAUGUUAUUGGGCUAGCUAGGUCCAACAAGCACGAUUUGAAACUUUCAAGCCCAAAGAUUGAAUAUUGACUUCUCGUAAAUUUCGCGUGUUUAUUGAGGUACUAUUGUUUAUUGAUUUUUGAUUCAUUAUUGAUUCGAGACCGAAUCAAUUCGUUUGGUAACGAUAUUGGUGUUGAAAACGUAUUUGUUAUUACGUUUCGCCGGUAGUCAUGGUGCUCGUAUUUUAUCUUAAGGGAUUUAUUUGUUUAAAUGUAAGAGUUUACCUUUUUAUGACCCUUCUUUGAUAAAAUUUACACUUUUAAUCCUUUAUAUAAAAGAAUUUCCAUUUUAGUCCUUAAACCAUUUUUCUUGACACUUUAGGAUCAAAACUUAUUGAAAAGACAUUUUCAGCCCAGAUUUACUUGAUAAACAGCUUAAGUCCUUCAAAAAUGAAGUUUUCUCGGUUGGAACCCCCAUUUUCGCAAACUUUACAGUUUUGGCCCAAAAUGGAAAAUUUUUGCAUUUUUGAUCCCUUUUGACUUUGAAAAACAUUUUUGACCUUUGAAAUGGUUUUAGUACACUUGUAAUCCUCUGCUUUGCAGAAAGUUGCUUUUCCAGCCCCUCAAUUUCAAAAAUCUCGCAAUUUUAGGCUUUUUGGGCCGAAAAGCCCAUUUUAGCCCAUUAUAUUCAAAAUUUACAUUUUAAGCCCCUCAAAAGUGUUGAUAUUCAGAAAAAUUAUAUUAGAAACUGUUUGGACCCUUCUCAACCUCCAGAAAUUAUCAUUUUUCGUUUUGGGCCCUUAGUUUUAUAUUUUUUACAAUUUAAGCCCAAAAAUGGGUUUUAUGGCCAAAUAUGUUGUUCCUAACCAAAUGAACUAUUUUUCUUGACUUGAUUAGCAUGAAAUGGUGUAAGUUAUGUUUAUUUCCUUCCUCAUGUUAUAGAUCUCGGUUUUUAGGGACUUUUUGGCUAACAUAUUCAUCACAAAACACAUAAAAUCAUACAUACAAGCAUAAAAAUCACACAAGGCAUACAUUUACUCAUAGAUCUACACAUUUGCUUGUAUUCUCCCCCAUAAAAACUCAUAAAAACCGAAAAAGAGGGGGUAUGAAGCUCACCUUGGGUGUGGUUUCGGUUUUGGAAGGAAAAGAUGAGAAGAAUUCGAUCCUAACAACCUUUCUUGAAAGAUCUCGAACUUGGAUGCUUCUAAGGUGCUAGAUCAUAAGAUUGAAUGAAUUUAGAGAUGAUUUUUGAAUUAAAUGAAUAGCUAGCUUAUGGAUCCAAGCAAUAUCUUACCUUAGAUGAUGAUUUUUAUGGAAGAAAUCCCUUGAAAAGCUCUUGAUUCUCGAAAAUUUGAUGAAGAAAGGUGAGGGUUCUUUGAGNAUGGAGGAGAAAUGAGGAAGUUUCUUGAGAGAAUUGUAAGUGAAAUGUGUGUGUGUUUGGGAGCUCUCAGCCGAGAAUCAAGAAGAAAGGAGAGAAGAGAGAGGAUUGAUAAGAUGGUUGCAUGGAAAACCUUGAUGUAAAAGUGAGGUGGCAAACACACAAAGUCAACUCUUCCUCUUUGUGGGCUUGGGCCGAGAAUGGAGAGGGAAGGAGGAGAUUUUUGGGCUUUUUUCCCCUAAGCCUAUAUUAUAGUUAUGUUAAGUGAUGUUUGGUCCAAAUAAUCAUAAAUGUUAGUCUUAUGACCUAUUAGGGCUAAAUUAGGUUAAUUAUGGCCCAAAAUGGCUCAUAUAAUUAAUUUUUUUCAUUCUAGGCCCAAUAUGGCCCAAAUUAUCGAAAUAAAUGGAAGUGGGUCCAACUAGAUCCCAUUUUCUUGUUCUAAGCCCAAGAUGGUAAAAUUGGAAGCUUAUUGGUCCAUUGGGCCCAAUAAGGAAGUACUAGUCCAAAAUGGACUUAACAAGAACUUCUAGGGUUUCCAAUUGCUUAUUGACUACUUGAAAUGCUUGCAUGGGGUUUUCGAUUGAAAUUUUGUUGUCAUAGAUUAUGCAUUAUACAUGAUCUUAUGUCUUUGAUUCAUAAUUUGGCUUAAGUGUUGUAGUUACAAGGCACAAAAAUUUCUAGUUGUGACAUCAUCCCCCCGUUAGAGGGAAUUUCGUACCAAAAUUCUUUUGAAAGCUAGAUUUGAGAAUGAUAGAAUAGGUGAGGGUACUUUUGCUUCAUUUGGUCUUCGUGUUCCCACGUGAAUUCUGUCCCACGCUUCGCGUUCCACCGUACUUUCAUGAUCGGGAUGCGACUUUGUUUAGUACGCUUCACCUCCUUGUCUAUGAUUUCGACCGGUUCCUCAACGACCAGGAGAUUCUCGUUGAUUUCAAUCUCGUCAAGAGGAAUGACAAGAGUUUCAUCUGAUAGGCACUUCUUUAGAUUGGAAACAUGGAACACGGGGUGUACACUGUUUAGCUCAGCGGGUAGUUUCAGUUUGUACGCCACUAGACCUAUUCUGGCAACGAUCUCGAAAGGUCCAAUGUAUCGUGGGUUCAGUUUUCCCCGUUUUCCAAAACGAAUGACCCCUUUCCAAGGUGAAACUUUUAACAGCACUCGAUCCCCGACCUGAAACUCUAAGGGCUUUCGCCGUUUAUCAGCAUAACUCUUUUGUCGGUCGCGCGAUGCUUGUAGUCGAGCUCUGAUUUGAACUUUCUUUUCCAUGGUUUCACGAAUGAUCUCCAGUCCCGUUAACGCCUUGUCCGAUGCUAGUUUCUUUGCUAGCUGGGUGUCGCCCACCUCAGCCCAACACAACGGUGAUCUACACUUACGUCCAUAUAGUGCUUCGAAAGGAGCGACUUUGAUGCUCGAAUGGUAACUGUUCUUAUACGAGAACUGAACUAAGGGUAAGUGGGUAUCCCAUGACUUCCCAAAGUCUAUCACACAUGCGCAAAGCAUGUCUUCGAGCGUCUGGAUAGUUCGUUCGCUUUGACCAUCCGUUUGUGGGUCAUAAGCGGUGCUCAUGUCUAGAUGGGUUCCAAGUGCUUUUUGAAGUGAUUGCCAAAAACGUGAAGUGAAUCUACUGUCUUUAUCUGAGAUGAUAGACACUGGUACUCCGUGAAGUUUCACGAUUUCUCGAAUGUAUUAUCGUGUCAGUCUCUCCAUCUUGUAGGAUUCUUUUAUUGGCAGGAAAUGGGCGGAUUUCGUCAGUCGGUCAACUAUUACCCAUAUACUGUCUAAUCCGUCCGACUUCUUGGGUAGCUUGGUUACAAAGUCCAUGGAAAUCCCUUCCCAUUUCCACUCGGGGAUCACCGGUUGCUGUAAUAACCCCGAGGGCUUCUGGUACUUCACCUUUACGCAAGUAAGGCAUUUGCUGACAUAGGUGGCAAUUUCUGCCUUCAUGUUACGCCACCCAUAAUGUUGUUUAAUAUCCAAGUACAUCUUGUCCGAACCUGGAUGGAUGGAGUAUCGCGUCUUGUGAGCUUCAUUCAUGACUACCUCCCUAAAUCCUCCGAGUUUAGGGACCCAAAUACGGUUCAUGAAAUAGUAUACUCCGUUCUCCUUUACCUCUAGAUUCUUCUCCAUCCCGCGUAAUGCUUCGCUUGCUCUUUUUCCCUUUUCAUGGCCUCUGACUGUACUACCCCGAUCUGAGUGUUUAGGUGAGAUUGGAUGGUUAUUGAGAGAGUUUUCGCACGACGAUUAGAGUACUCCUUCCGGCUCAAGGCAUCAGCUACCACGUUGGCCUUGCCUGGGUGGUACUUGAUUUCACACUCGUAAUCGUUUAAUAGCUCAACCCAUCUUCGUUGCCUCAUAUUCAGCUCUUUCUGAUUCAAGAUGUGCUGGAGACUUUUGUGGUCCGUGAAGAUGGUGCACUUCGUACCAUAAAGGUAAUGCCUCCAAAUCUUCAGAGCAAAGACCAUUGCUCCCAAUUCCAGAUCAUGGGUUGUAUAAUUCACUUCGUGUGUCUUUAGUUGGCGGGAUGCGUAAGCUAUCACUCUUCCACGCUGCAUGAGAACGCAACCUAAACCCUGAUUCGAAGCAUCACAGUAGACCACGAAAUCUUCCAUUCCCUCUGGUAGAGAUAGUACCGGGGCACUGCAGAGGGCUUGCUUCAGGGUUCGGAAUGCAACUUCUUGUUUGUCCGUCCAUUUGAAUGGUACGCCCUUUUGUGUAAGCGAUGUAAGUGGCUUGGCGAUCUUAGAGAAGUUUUGAAUGAACCUCCUAUAGUAGCCUGCUAGGCCUAUGAAUUGGCGAAUUUCUGUGGGUGUCGUCGGGACUGCCCAUCCUUCGACGGCUUUGACCUUAGAAGGAUCCACAUGAAUUCCUUCCCGACUAACAACAUGACCUAGGAAGCUCACGCUACGCAGCCAGAACUCACACUUGGAGAGUUUUGCAUAUAGUUUUUCCGUUUGCAGGGCUUCUAGGAUGUGUCGGAGAUGUUGGCCAUGCUCUUCUUCGCUUCGGGAAUAGACUAGAAUGUUGUCAAUGAAGAUGAUGACAAAGUUGUCGAGGAGUGGUCGACAUAUUCGGUUCAUCAGGUCCAUAAAUGCGGCAGGGGCAUUUGUUAGACUGAAGGGCAUUACAACAAAUUCAUAAUUUCCUUCAAAAAUGAAGUUUUCUCGGUUGGAACCCCCAUUUUCGCAAACUUUACAGUUUUGGCCCAAAAUGGAAAUUUUUUGCAUUUUUGAUCCCUUUUGACUUUGAAAUUUUUUUUGACCUUUGAAAUGGUUUUAAUACACUUAUAAUCCUCUGUUUUGCAGAAAGUUGCUUUUCCAGCCCCUCAAUUUCAAAAAUCUUGCAAUUUUUGGCUUAUUGGGCCGAAAAGCCCAUUUUAGCCCAUUAUGUUCAAAAUUUACAUUUUAAGCCCCUCAAAAGUGUUGAUAUUCAGAAAAAUUAUAUUAGAAACUGUUUGGACCCUUUUCAACCUCCAGAAAUUAUCAUUUGUCGUUUUGGGCCCUUAGUUUUGUAUUUUUGACAAUUUAAGCCCAAAAAUGGGUUUUAUGGCCAAAUAUGUUGUUCCUAACCAAAUGAAAUAUUUUUCUUGACUUGAUUAGCAUGAAAUGGUGUAACUUAUGUUUAUUUCCUUCCUCAUGUUAUAGAUCUCGGUUUUUAGGUACUUUUUGGCUAACAUAUUCAUCACAAAACACAUAAAAUCAUACAUACAAGCAUAAAAAUCACACAAGGCAUACAUUUACUCAUAGAUCUACACAUUUGCUUGUAUUCUCACCCAUAAAAACUCAUAAAAACCGAAAAAGAGGGGGUAUGAAGCUCACCUUGGGUGUGGUUUCGGUUUUGGAAGGAAAAGAUGAGAAGAAUUCGAUGCUAGCAACCUUUCUUGAAAGAUAUCGAACUUGGAUGCUUCUAAGGUGCUAGAUCAUAAGUUUGAAUGAAUUUAGAGAUGAUUUUUGAAUGAAAUGUAAAAGUGAGGUGGCACACACACAAAGUCAACUCUUCCUCUUUGUGGGCUUGAGCCGAGAAUGGAGAGGGAAGGAGGAGAUUUUUGGGCUUUUUCCCCUAAGCCUAUAUUAUAGUUAUAUUAAGUGAUGUUUGGUCCAAAUAAUCAUCAAUGUGAGUCCUAUGACCUAUUAGGGCUAAAUUACGUUAAUUAUGGCCCAAAAUGGCUCAUAUAAUUAAUUUUUUUCAUUCUAGGCCCAAUAUGGCCCAAAUUAUCGAAAUAAAUGGAAGUGGGUCUAAUUAGAGCCCAUUUAAGAGUUCUAAGCCCAAGAUGGUCAAAUUGGAAGCUUAUUGGUACAUUGGGCCCAAUAAGGAAGUCCUAGUCCAAAAUGGACUUAACAAGAACUUCUAGGGUUUCCAAUUGCUUAUUGACUACUUGAAAUGCUUGCAUGGGGUGUUUGAUUGAAAUUUUGUUGUCAUAGAGUAUGCAUUAUACAUGCUCUUAUGUCUUUGAUUCAUAAUUUUGCUUAAGGGUUGUUGUUACAAGGCACAAAAAUUUCUAGUUGUGACAUCGUGCCGACUCAUUCCCCUUCGAAGAAGAGGUACCUGAAAACAAAACUGAAAAUGUAAGCACAAAUCUUAGUGAGUUCCCCAAUCAUACCACAUAACACAUACUGCCAGACGAUUCUAGGGUGCCCGACCUACCCUGCUAGACAAUUCUAGGGUGCCCGACCUACUCAUGUCAAGCAUGUCUGGGGUGCUCGACCUACCCUGCCAAGCCAUUCUGGGGUGCCCGACCUAUCCUGUCUGGCAAUUCUGGGGUGCCGACCUACCCUCCGGUUUAUCUUAACCGCUACGGGGACUAUUUCACCCCUACUACUACCACAUAAUAACAUAGCAUAAACAUAUGUUAAGCAUAUUUGGGGUGUCUGGCCUACCCUUCGGUCCUUAUGACCAUAACACGGGGACUAUUCCCCUCUUACUACCACUAUCACAUAACAACAUACUGUAAAUAUACUAUCAGGCAUAUCUGGGGUGCCUGACCUACCCUUCGGUCCUUACAACCGUAACACGGGGACUAUUCCCCCUACUAUCUGUUGGAUUAGUGUCUAAGCCCGUAACCAUAUUUGUCAAGUACUUGACCCGAUUGUGCAUAGUCCUUUUGGGUUGCCUUCACCGAAGCAACUUGACUGGAGAAAUAAUAGAGAAAGAAGUUAUUAUGAUUUAUUAAAUGUUAUAAGAAUAAUAUAUUAAAGGAGAAAUCAUAUUUGUUUAAUUAAUAUUGGUCAAUAAUUAGUUAAGAAUUAAUUUAGUGAUCAAGUGUAAUUAAUUAAACUAGAGGGGCUGAAUUGUAAUUAUGUGAUAGUUACAAAAUAGGGUAAUGGUUAUCCUAGAUAUAGGUUGGACGAAUUCAAGGGAUAAGAUAUCCUUGAAAUCGUCCAAAGGAUAAAGGAUAAAGGGUUUUCAAGGCUUAUCUUAUUGUUACUUGGUGGGCAAGCAACUAGAUAAGGAUAAGGAUUGAAACCCUAAUCUCUACACCUAUAUUAACACCCCUUUUGGCACAUGAAUUCGUCCAUGCCUUCCUAAUGGGUUCUUAGGUCCGAUUUCAUACCUCCUCCCUCUCUCUAUUGCCUCUCCAAUUACUUGUGGUGUUUGUGAGCCAUUAGAGGUACUACACUUGUGGUACUUGCUUUCAAGACUUAGGGUUUGAAGAUUUGAGUUGUUAUUGCAAUAUAACAACAAGAGGUAUGUGAUCUAAUCUUCUAUGUGUAUUUCGAAAAUACUAGGGCAUAUUAGUAUUUCUUUAUGUGUUCAUAAUGUUGUGUAUCUAAUAGUUAAAACAUAGAUCCAAUUCUAGGGUUGCAUGCACACAUAGGAUUUUUUUUACAAAACCCAUCAGUGGUAUCAGAGACUUCGGUUAACUUGUUUUCAAUUAGUAUUAUUCAAUUGUAUGAACUUGACAUAUUAGGGUUUAUAGCAAAUAAACCCUAGGAGGCAAGAAUUUCGAGAUUAGGGUUUGUAAAUCCUAAAUUUGUGAAAAUUAUGAAAGGGUUUUUUAAAAUCCUUUCCUUUGGUUCAAGAUUUCGAAAUCUAGGGUUUGCAAACUCUAGGAUUUUCGAGAUUAGCCUCCUCCCCAAGAUAAGAUCCUAAAUUUUAGGGAUUUGGAUUAUCCUAUAUCUUGUAAUUAUCCUUUAAUGGUUAUAUAUGGUAAUUAAAGACUUUGAAUUAUCCUAUCCCAUGAUUUUCGAAAUUUACAGGGAUAAAUUAAUUGUUUAAUUGGUAAUUAUCCUUCAUGAUUUAAUUAAUCCCUUAUGAUUUAAUAAUUUAAAUUAAUAGUUUAAUUCAAGAUAAUUAUUAAAUCAAGAGUUUUAAUAUUUAAAAUUUUAAUUUAAAUAUUCUUAAAUUUCGAAAAUUUUAAAGUGAGAUUAAAACCUAACUGUUUUGAAAAGUUUCAAAACCUGCCCUCAAGUUUCGGAAUUUCAUUAGUUGAUUAAAAGUUUAAUUUUGAAAAAUGUUAAAUUCUAAAACCCUAAUUUUGAAAAAGUUCAAAUUACACCCUUAUGGUUUUAUUAAAUUAAUUAAGUGUAUAAUUAAAAGAGAGUUAAUAAAUCCAUAAUGAUGAAGUUUAUAUUUUAUUAAAAGUGUAUUUUAUAAAAUUUUAAACCACCUAGUAUUUUAAAAGUAUAAAAUGCACCCUUAUACUAUGUAUAACAUUAAAAGUCUAAUAUUAUAUAUGUAUAACUAAAAUGCUAGUCUUACCAUUAGUAGGCCUCAUUCACGAAGCCGAUUUAUAAGGGGGUAUAAGGUUAUGGCCUAUAAAAUGGCCGUUUAAUGGGUAUCCACUCUUACCCACCGCUUCCUUGAUUGGUGGAGGGUCGUUAGCCGAAUGGGUAGGAUAAGACAAAAAGUGAAAUUGAUGCAAUCCCAUGAAAUUGCACUUUGCACCCUUGCUAAAACUUAGUGGAGCGCGUGUGGCUAACCGGCACACUAAUUAGUUCUAAGCAAAGAUGGAAAAGGGUGACUCAAUGUUUGUCAUAGUUCGAUGGAGCGUGUGUGGUUUACCGGCACAUUGAAUAGGUGACUGUAACAAUGAGGGCACCAUGUAGAUUUGCAUGGUUAUUCACACCCACUUUGUGAUCCUCGACAUCCCAGUCACAAACGAGAGGGGCAUAUCGAGAUUUAAACAUGCCAUUGAAAAGUUCAAUGAAUCUCAAAGGAAAUCUAGGAGUUCUUAAUACAUUUAAAACUUAAGCCUUUAUGUUUUUAAUGGUGAAGAAUUACUGAAUCGUCAUUCACUUACGUCCGAAUUAUUUGCAUGUUGGAUUACGGAAUCCCUCUUCUAAUGUGUAAAUAAUGUUGUUGGAUCCUAGCCUUAAUGUCUCAUUUUGGUGUUUCAUUAAGGAUUCAAUCAACUAACUUGAAAUUUCUCCCGUUUUGUAGAUGUCUGAUUCUAACCUUGGUCUUCCCGAAUCCCAAGGAAAAGGUAUUCCUAUUAAAAGUGAAAGCUUGUUCCAAAGUGAAGGAUCAAUGUGGACUAGCUUGAUUUCACUUCCUCCUCCUCUUCCUCCCGUUGUUCUCCUUGACCCACAAGAACAAAGAUUUGAAAGGUUUAAGAUCACCGAAACCCUAUUGGCAAUGAAACAUGAAGAUGGUAAACCCGUGUGUGCUCACAUCCUAGGGAUGAAAUCACACAUUGAUAGGUUGAUUAUGUUGGGUGCGUCUUUCCCCAAUAGGUUAGCUGUGGACUGGGUUCUUCAGUCACUCCCUAAAUCAUAUGAUAAGUUAAUAAGAGAGUAUUAUAUGAUGGAUCUUGAUGCGACCCUCAUUGACUUAAUUUACAUGCUUAUUGCUGCUGAAUCAGAAAUGAUUUGGCGAAGUAAUGGAGCAUAUUUGUCUGAUAAUUUAACCAACCAUGUUUCUGUGGACACUCUAGAAGAACCCACCUGUUUCUGCUGCCAAGAGAAGGGGCAAUGGAUACGAAGCUGCCCAAAGGACCUGAAGAGUGUAAGAGAUAGGAGAGUCAAGAAGUAUGGCUCUACUUCAGGUAUAAAAUCCACUAUCUAACUCCAUUAAAUUCCUAUUCUUUAUACAUAAUGUGAUAAGAUUACAUUUGCAUGUUUUGCAGGAUUAGAGAAAAGAGAGGAAGUUUGAUGGAAGAGCAAGAUGAGUCUGAUCACGAAGAAAUGGAUUACGAUCGCAUGGAUUCGAAGAUCAGAUUUUGAGCUUAGGAAGUUAUGAUAGAUUUGUUAGGAGUAUUUGAUUACAUAGAUUUUCAGUUGAAUUUUGCAUUGUAAGGACAUGUUUUCCGCUAUUUUUAUGAAUAAAAUAAUUUUUGGUUUUAUCUUAUUUGUUUAUCCUUACAAUAGCAUAUAUGGAAAAUUGAUGUUUGUGUACUUCUAUUAUUAGCAAAAUGGAUUUGAUUCUUAAUUAGGUUAUUUAUGGAAGUGUCUAGAGUUUACCAAAUAGGGAUAGUUUCUCAUCGCCCAAGUUUCAAGUGGAUAGGAACUUGGAAUCGUAUAACAAGUAUUAUAUGAUGAAUGGAAACUUUCAUAAUUGGGAAAUUUGGAUUAAUUCCUUGACAUAGUGUCAAUUGAAGGACUAGGAGAUCAAAUACACUAGAUCGUACGUUGAUCAAGUCUACCACAAGAGUGACAAAAAUAUUCGUCAUGAUUUACUAAAGUUUAGUGAAUAUGGUUAUACCUAUAAUAUUGAGUAUAAUUCUAAGUUUAUUGAAAGAGUUUCAAUCAAUAGUGAAACGAAUAAGAAGGAUCAAGUAGGCAGAAAGAUAAAAGUCUCUCUAUUCUAAGAAGAAGGGAGAGUACAUUUUAUUAUGUUUUAUGAUAAGUCUUAAUGAUUAAGAACCUUAUCUCAAUUGAUCCUCUAAGUGAUUCUUAGUACAAUUUGUAUGUCUAAAAAGAGGAAUCGAGAAUUGUGGAAAUGGUUAAUUCAAGAAGUCAAUCAUACUUCGUUCCAACAUCAAGUCUUAGAGUUAUACACCAAGAUUUUGAAUUGAGUGACAACUCUUAAGAAGGUUUAUAAUAUUCAUCAAAUGUGGAACUUGGAAAAAGGAUUUUCUUAUUCUUGCACAUUUGAAAUUGGUAAGUUGUGAUGUCUUGGAUAAGAUGAAGGCCAACUAGGACCAAUUAUGUGAAGUCUUUUGUCUAGAUAAAAGCUACACUAACUCUUAAAUAUUUGUCAAGAAAUGUUUCUUGACAAGAGAAUCUUAUAUGUCAAGGAGUCAGUGGGAUUCUUAAUUGUCUUGAAAAGGUUUCAAGAACAAAUCAAAAAUAAACCUUAUCAAUCAUCUCUAGCACACGUCUUGAGGUUUACAACCUAUCGUGUUGACACUAAUUUUGUUUCUAUGCCAUUCCAAUUGAGUUAAUUAUGCAUGUGAGUUCUAUGAGUUCUCAAUGGGUUGUAUAGGGGAAAGGCACCUUGUUCAAUGGAAAGUACAUUGAAAUGAAGGGGUGGGAUGUUUAAUAACUUGGAAGUAAUGGUGGGACCCUUGAUGGCAAGAAAUUAAGAAGAACAAGUUCUAUCCAUAAGAAGUUUGAUUUUGUCACUAACAUUAUCUUGUGAUUAUGGUUAUGACGAAUUCACAUGGAUGGGAAUGUUUACAUCACAAAAUCUAAGUGUCAUAAGGUUUCUCUCAUUCAUGAAAAUGGUUGUGAGGAAACGCUUUCACUAAGAGUGAUUUUGAAGAUAGCAUUAUGUGAUUUGGGUUUCUCAAAUUCAACUAUGAUUACGGCAUACCUCUUCAUAGUUCGAAUUGUGGGAAAUGGAAAAUGCGUCUGAACAUUUUAGACUUAUUGAUAUGAGUUCUAGAAUUGUUUAGACAUAUACAUAUGAGCUAUCCAAGGAAAAGUGUAUGAGUUUGAUAAGCUUAGAAAAAGUCUUAUCAAAGCAUCUAGUAUUAGAAAUAUAAAUUUAAGAAAUUGUUUUUUAGAAGUUCAGCUGAUUUCUGAAUACAUGUCGAAGCUAGUGGGAGCAUAAAUAUUAUGCUGGUAAAGAAAUAAUCAUCAUGUAAGUGGGAGCAUGAUUAUUAUGGUAAGUAUUGCUAGUUAGAAAUAUUAAUUAUAGAAAACAAGAGUUAUACUUUGCAAAGUCGUAAGAGUUGAAAAGUUGUUUUGCUAUAAUUAAGGAAGAGAAUAUUGUGCUUCAUUUCAAAUCUAAAGGCUUAAAUUAUGGAAUGUUAAUAAAUUUAGUCAAGGAUACAUAGUGUGUUCUCAAAUUUCGAUAAUGGUUAAGGUAUUCCUCUUAAUAGUUCGAAUAGUGAGAACGUGACACAUAAAAUAUUAUGGCAGAAGAUUGAUAAAGUAUCAUAUCUUUAUGUAAGACACUAUGCAUCAUGUCCCAUACACUUCGGGUAUAGGAAUAAUUGCAUAUGCUAUAAUAUUUGACCAUUCUAAAAUUUUCCAAAUGUCUAGCGCAUUAAGAAGGAAAAAGGACAAGAAUUGGUAUUGACUAAGAUAAUUAAAAAACUAUCAAAGGAUGAUCUAAAGUUCGCUGAGGAUUGGUUGCUUGUGAGUAGUUGGAAGUAUGGUAUUGAAUGGACCAUAUCGACAUUAUUAUUAUGAAUAAAUAAGAUUCUAUUAAGAAUGAGUUGUCAUGUGGUAAAUAUGGAAAUGUUUCCAUAAUUGGGAGUUGAAAAUUAAGAAUUCAUGUCUAGAUUAGAAAUUUUUUAUGCAAAAGGAUGUUCAAAGGAAUGUACUUUGAGUGAGAGACAUCACAUCUAUAGAAUUGUUCUGUAAUAAUUUUUUGAUAGAGUACCUUGUGCUUUCGUUGGCCGAGUCUUUGUGAUUUUUGUGCUGUGAGUUCACAAGAGGAUCAUUGCAUUAUAUAUUAUAAUUUGACAUAUUCUAAAAGAUGGCAAGAAUUUGGUAUUCAUACACUAAUUAUAAGGAUUGGGGAUUGUGAAAUGAGUUUCAUUUGAAAAGUUUUUCAAUUGAUCUAUUUCACAAAGUAUGGACCAUAGGAAACCAAAGUGUGCAUGCUUGGAGCAUGGGACAAUUGUGGUUAUGAUUCGAGUUAUAAAGUUGAUUAUCUAAAACAUUAAAUAAUGGAUAAUGAGUAAUCAAUAUGGUGAUUAAAUAAAGGUGUUUUAUUUAUACUCACAAGUUUGGGGUCAUAUAAGAUUAAGUAUUAUCAUUGUGUUUCUCUUUGCAUGUUUUGACUUCCAGAAUAAUGGAGUUUAUUAAGAAUAAUUGAAUUAUUCAAACGGUCCACAGUCGGUCAUAUGUUGGAAGUAGGUGUGAAUGAAGACUGUCAUGAAUUGGUUUGUAGAUUGUCUAAAGUGUAUUAGACAUAGCAAUGGUUUGCUACACCGUUCAUGAGUGCUUGUGAAUAUGAUUUUGAGCAUUGGAUUAAACCCAUGCUCACCUAGAUUGCUUCAUGAAUUUUGUCACGGGUGAUUGUUGAGAUGAUAAUAUCUUGUAUUCUUGAAACCAAGAUGUGUGAGUUGUAUCUUGCGAAUCGGUUGCACAUUGAUAAUAUGUGAACACACCAGUAACUUGGUGUUAUAAAACUUAUUGUUGUGUGUGAUUUGGUGAGUGAGUGCAAGCAAACAUUGAGUCAAAGUUUAUCCGUUCCUUUUACCCAAAAUGGGAAUAAAGCGAUAUCUGUGAGCCCCUCGAUGAUUUAGUGAUGACAAAUGUAAAUGCUCGGCCGGGCUAGGGCUAAUUUGAUUUGUUCAAUUAGUCAGUCAUCGUAAAUCGGAAAUCGGGAAACAACACAUAGACUGAGAGAAUGAUUUCAAUCCAUGUCUCACGUCUAUACGAUAUCUAGAAUGGAGGAAUAUAUGAUCCCUUAUCUAAAGGACAAGUUACUGAUAAGAUCAGAGUUCGACAACGUCUUUGAGAGCUACGAUUGCUAAUAGAGUUGUACUUGCAUUUGUGGUUACUAGACUUAUCCAAGUGGGAGACUGUUGGAUUAGUGUCUAAGCCCGUAACCAUAUUUCUCAAGUACUUGACCCGAUUGUGCAUGGUCCUUUUGGGUUGCCUUCACCGGAGCAGCUUGACUGGAGAAAUAAUAGAGAAAGAGGUUAUUAUGAUUUAUUAAUAUGUUAGAAGAAUAAUAUAUUAAAGGAUAAAUCAUAUUUGUUUAAUUAAUAUUGGUCAAUAAUUAAUUAAGAAUUAAUUUAGUGAUCAAGUGUAAUUAAUUAAACUAGAGGGGCUGAAUUGUAAUUAUGUGAUAAUUACAAAAUAGGGUAAUGGUUAUUCUAGAUAUAGGUUGGACGAAUUCAAGGGAUAAGAUAUCCUUGAAAUCAUCCAAAGGAUAAAGGAUAAAGGGUUUUUAAGGCUUAUCUUAUUGUUACUUGGUGGGCAAACAACUAGAUUAGGAUAAGGACUGAAACCCUAAUCUCUACACCUAUAUAAACACCCCUUUUGGCACAGGAAUUCGUCCAUGCCUUCGUAAAGGGUUCUUAGGGACAAUUUCAUACCUCCUCCCUCUCUCUAUUGCCUCUCCAAUUGCUUGUGGUGUUUGUGAGCCAUUAGAGGUACUACACUUGUGGUACUUGCUUUCAAGACUUAGGGUUUGAAGAUUUGAGUUGUUAUUGCAAUAUAACAACAAGAGGUAUGUGAUCUAAUCUUCUAUGUGUAUUUCAAAAAUACUAGGUCAUAUUAGUGUUUCUUUAUGUGUUCAUAAUGUUGGGUAUCUAAUAGUGAAAACAUAGAUCCAAAUUUAGGUUUGCAUGCACACAUAGGAUUGUUUUUACAAAACCCAUCACUAUCUACUAUCACGUAACAUCAUAUCAUGCUAGCACAUAGUCAUUAUAGAGAACAACAUACCAGAUAAUUGUUAUGAAGACAAUUAUCUCUACUAUAACUCUUACUAGUAGGCCGACUUUGGUGCCUUAGACCCACUUCUACUGGAAGGUAACUCGCCUCAAUGUCGUGCAGUAACUGAACUGUGCUCGGCGCUGGAACCGACUCCUCUCAAACUCAUACACAUAAAAACCUUCCUUAAUCACCAUUUCAUACUUAUACCUCUUUCAAGGGUCAACUUAGGUCAAGUCAAAGUCAAGGUCAUCACCUUGGUCAAAGUCAACAUCUGGUUGACUCAACUUGCCAAGUUAACCCAACAACUCGCCGAGUUCCAUAAUCCUAAGAAUGCUAAAACUUCAACCCUACUUGCCGAGUCUUUCAAGAGCUCACCGAGUUCUCCUUUAAAAAAAGUUGAGACCUUCUACAACUGACUCGUUGAGUUUAUCCUUGAACUCAUUGAGUCCUUCAUCAUGCAAGAUGACACAUCUAGUCCUGGACUCGCCGAGUUCUCCAUGAACUCGUCGAGUUCUUUUUCAUGUAGUCGGGGCUUACUCUUGAACUCGCCGAGUUCCAUGAUCUUCAGGUCCACAAUGAACCCAAUAGGCUGAGUGUUCUUCCACUCAACACAUUAUCCAUUAACAGAAGAGGUUUGGGGGAAACUGCGACCCGACUCGCCGAGUUGUAUGAUCGACUCACCGAGUCCCUCCAUGUCCAAAAUUAUUUAGUCGAUUUUAGUUGGUCUUAAUGCAUCCAAAACAUAGAUCUGACCUCUUAGGGUCCAUAUUACAAGUAAAGUUACAAACUUGACGUUCAUGCAUGGGGUAUUUUGCUCAAAUGGUCCUAAAAAGAGGUUUAUAUGAUGCAUGGGACUGACAUGGCCAUGAAGCAGGCACCUUUAUGCCAUGGGAACCCUCAAUGGUUCCAGAUCCGAAGUCAUACCCCUCUAGAACCACAAAAUCCCUAAAAUGGCUCUACUAAAGCUUAGAAAAGGUAGGAACUUGCCCUAACUAGAGAUCUAAACGAUAAAUGGUCAAGGUUGAAGCUUUUUACCUUAAACAAGUUGGAAAUGUGCCAAAACUUCUAGAUCUACUUGCCUUCUCUUGAUCUCCCAAGCCUUCUCCUUCUUCUCAAUCUUCAAACACACACAAAAUGUCACAAAGAGCUCAAAGUCACUCAAAAAUCGAUUAGGGUUUCAUGAGGAGGGUCUAAGGGUGUUGGAGGCUGUAAAUGAAGCCAUUUAAGGUGUUUAAAUAGGGUGCAAACCCUUAAGAUUAGGGUUUCCUUCCGACAGGCCUAUUCGUCAAGUUGGAGCAUCUGACUAGGCGAGUAGGUCCUUCCACUCGCGUCUAAGUUCAUAUAAAGCUUCAUAACUUCAAAACAUCAUUCUUCACAUUAGGACUUCAUAUAAAGCUUCAAACUCAUGCAUGGAGUCUAGAUAACAUUCAAUCUAGCACCUUUAUGCAUCUAGCAUGCUCACAAAGCUCAGAUCUAACCAUCUUAGUCUCUGGAGUUGCUUAACUCUCAAGAGAAGAUCGAAGAACCAAAAAGGGACAAUAUAGAAAAUCCUAACACAAUAUAAUGAAUAAGAUGGCAAGAUUAAGACUUUAUACCUCCAUAAUCUCCUCAAUGUGAACAAGAUGUAGGUUCUUGAAGUUCAAUGCCACUCCAAGCUUGCUCACUAACUUCGUAUUCUUGAAUAAGCUCCAAAAUGGCCACCAACACACUCUUAUGCUCCAAAAUCACCCUAUCAAGGGAAAACUAAGGUAAAGGGAAGAAAUAAGACUCUAGAGUUUGGUCCAAGUUACUUAAGGAUGAAUAAAUAGGUCUCAAGUCCAAGUUUUAGGGUUUUGGUCCUCUGUCGCGUAUGCCCCACGUGCUUAAUAUUCCUACGCGAUCCUUCCUCCAUAGUACACUAAUUGUACACUUAGGUACGCCCAUCGUACAAAAGGGACAUUUUUGCCAAAUUAAAUCAUUUAAAGGGGUUAGAACGGUUUACAUGAUUUGGAGUGUUACAACUCUCCCCCACUUGGACUAGAAUUUGUCCUCGAAGUCUGCAGACGCAAACGGAUUCGGGUAAUGUUCCUGCAUCUCACCCUACAGCUUCCAUGUCCAUUCAGAGCCUUUUCGGUGCAGCCAUUGCACCUUCACUAGCUUCACUUCCUUGUUACGAAGAACUUUAGUCUUCCUAUCCAAAACCGUAAUGGGUUUAUCAAUGUAGUUCAGGCUCUCAUCUACCUGGAUGUUGUCCAAAGAGAUAACUGCAGCCUCGUCAGUGACACACUUCCAGAGCUGGGACACAUGGAAAGUGUUAUUAAUUUGACUCAGCUCAUCCGGAAGGUCCAGUCGAUAAGCAACCCUACUGACUCAGGCAAAAAUCCUGAACGGACCAAUAAACCGGGGCCCCAACUUACCCCUCUUCCGAAUCCUAAUGACACCUUUCGAUGGUGACACUUUCAGCAAGACGAAAUCUCCCACCUGAAACUAGAGGUCCAAUCGGCGUUGGUCAACAUAACUCUUUUGACGGCUCUGUGCGACUCACAGCCUGUCGUGCACCUACUGAAUCAACUCGGUAGUCUUGAGCACCACCUCGGUGCUUCCCAUGACUCGAUGUCCUACCUCGCCCUAGUAUACGGGAGUCCUACACCUCCGACCAUACAACAUCUCAAACGGGGGUUAGUCAAUACUAGCAUGAUAACUAUUGUUAUAUGAAAACUUUGCUAGGGGGAAGAAGGUAUCCCAACUCCCUCCGAAGUCCAAUAGACAAGCUCGAAGCAUAUCCUCGAGUGUCUGAAUCUUCCGCUCGCUCUGACCAUCGGUCUGAGGGUGGUAAGCGGUGCUGAAAUAUAAAUGGGUGCCCAAUUCUUCAUGGAACUUCCUCCAAAACCUGGAGUUGAAUUGGAAAUCAUGGUCCGGUACCACGAACACCGGCACUCCAUGCCUAACCACCACCUCUCGCACAUAGAUAUCUGUUAAUUUCUCAAUAGAGAUACUCUCAAAGAUAAGAAUAAAAUGCACACUCUUCGUCAACCUUUCCACAAUGACCCAAAUGGAAUCCACGACCCUCGCCAUCCUCGGUAACUUCGUGAUAAAGUCCAUGGUGAUCUCUUCCUAUUUCCACAUGGGAAUGGGUAGCGGCUGAACCUUGCCGUGAGGCCUCUGAUGUUCGGCCUUGACCUUUCUAUAGGUCAAGCACCGCUACACGAACCAAGCGACCUCUCGCUUCAUACAGGGCCACCAGUAACUCAACCUCAGAUCUCUAUACAUUUUUGUAGCCCCAGGAUGAAUAGAGAACUUUGACUUGUAUGCCUCCUCCAAGAUCUUUUAUCUCACUCCCCCAGAUGCCGGUACCCGCCACACGGUGUCAAUAGAACCCGACCAUCCCGAACAAAAAAGGGAAUCUGACCCCAAAUCCCCUCUAACUUCCAGUUUUCUCUCUUCAAACCUUCCACCUGAGCCUUCUUGAUCAUAUCCUGCAACAGGGAAAUCAUUAUCAUCCUCAGACAAACAUCUCUAAUCAGAGCACUUGUUGCCUUACAGCUCAGAGCAUCGGCCACCACAUUGGACUUCCCGGGGCGGUACAAAAUCUCGCAAUCAUAGUCUUUCAGUACAUCCAACCACCUCCUCUGCCACAUAUUCAGGUUCUGUUGAUCCAUCAAAUAUUUCAAACUUUUGUUGUUAGUAUAGAUGGUAAACCGAACUCCGUACAAAUAGUGCCUCCAGAUUUUGAGGGCAAACACCACCGCCCCCAAUUUCAAGUCGUGAGUGGUGUAGUUCGCCUCAUGAGGCUAUAGUUACCUUGAGGCGUACGCGAUCAAAUACCCCUCUGCAUCAAAACAACCCCUAACCAUGUGAUAGACGCAUCACAGUACACCACCAAGUCAUCCAAGCCCUCGGGUAGCACCAAAAUCGGGGCCUCACAUAGUCUCUAUCUCAAAGUCUCAAAAACCGACUGCUGAUCCGAGACCCACCGAAAUGUCACAUUCUUCUUGGUCAAGCGAGUCAAAGGUACCGCGAUCUUGGAGAAAUCAUGAAUAAAUCUCCGUUAAUAACCCGCUAGGCCCAAGAAGCUACGGAUCUCAGAUGCAUUCUUUGGUAUUUCCCAUCGCAUCACUGCCUCAAUUUUGGCUGGAUCAACCAAAAUACCCUUUUUGUUAAUAAUAUGACCAAAAACUGCACCUCAUGCAACCAUAAAUCACAAUUUGAGAACUUGGCAUAAGGCCUUUCUGUCCCUAGUGUCUCUAAUGCUUCUCUCAAAUGUUGCUCAUGCUGCUCCUUGGUCUUAGAAUAGACAUAGAUGUCAUCGAUAAAAACGAUCACAUGCCGAUCCAACAUCAGCCUACACACCAUGUUCGUUAGGUCCAGGAACGUUGUUGGGGAAUUGGUGAGCUCAAACGGCAUCACCACAAACUCAGAGUGGUCGUACCGAGUCUUGAAAGUUGACUUCAGUAUAUCCUCAUCCCUAAUCCUCAUCUGACGGUAAUCUUGGAAAACCAAGAUGCACCCUGAAGCUGAUCGAAUAAAUCAUCGAUCCUAGGAAGCGGAUAACGGUUUUUCACCAUUAGCUUGUUCAGCUCUCGAUAAUUGAUGCACAUCCUGUGUGACCCGUCCUUCUUCUUUACAAAUAAGAUCAGUGCUCCCCACUGAGAGCUACUUGGACGGAUGAACCCUCGGUCUAGCAGCUCUUAAAGUUGCGUAGACAGCUCCUGCAUCUCAGAAGGAGCUAAUCGGUACGGUGCCUUAGCUUUUGGAGCUGUACCCGACACUAAAUCAAUGCGAAACUCUACUUGCCUCUACAGAGGCACCCCAUGCAACUUCUUGGGAAAAGCAUCCCGAAAAUCUCGUAUAACUGGUACAUUGUCCAAAUUUGUCGUGGUCUCAACCCUUGUAUCUGAGAUGUAUGCCAAAAUUCCCGAACAACCCUGAUGAAGAAGUCUCCUAGCUCUUGUAGCCGAAUAGAGGGUUGGCCCCUGUGAGGCCCUCUCUCCCAGAAUAACCAGUUCUCCACCACUUAGGUUUCAAACUCUCACCAGCUGGCGCUCACAGUCUAUCGUGGCCCCCAUUGGCCCCCACCCAGUCCAUUCCGACGAUCACCUUUAGCCCUCGCAACAGUAUUGGAACCAAAUCAACACAAAACUUCUCCUCAAACACAUUCAGGACACAAUUCUGAUAUACCCUCGCAACGCUCACGGUGUGGUCAUCAGCAAUCUCAACCUCAAGCUUGGAAUCCAAAGUCCCCAAAGCAUCCCGAAACUUCUUGCUAAGCUCAAGAGAUACGAACGAUCGGGAAGCUCCCGAAUAAAAAAGAACAUGAGCCGACAUACCAUUAACCAAAAACGUCCCUAUAUAAGAAUACAUACAUAUAUAGGCAUAACAAAUUAAUAUCGAGCGGGAAAAUAAAUUAUGUACCAGCCACGACGUCUGGCGCUGCUUGAGCCUCCUUUGUGGUCAACUGAAAUAUGCGGCACUUCAUCGCAGGAGUAUCCGCCUUGGGAGGGCGGCCAUCCGUGAUCAUCAUUGUGGCGGGCGCAGGCACCGCCACCGCCCCUCCUCCUCCAUGCAACCUCAGACAAUCAACCUUUUUAUGGUCGGUCUGGUUUCAGUGAAAAGAAAUCAAGCCCUUCUUGGGGAAAUCCCUGCUCAUUUGGCCCUAUUGUCCACACGUGUAACAUCCUGAGCCCGCUGUCCGUCAUCCCUCAUUGUGCGGCUUACCACACUUGGAAUAUCGGUCACGCCCUGCUGGCCCCUACUGGAAGAGUCAGAGGUCUUAGGCUUUUUAGCCUGACCUACAUCUAUCUGAGCCUACUCUAGCUUCUCCACCAUCUCAUUCAGGGUUUUGCACCCGGAAAAGCUCACGAACUCACGAAUAUCAUCCCCCAGCAUGGAAUGAUACCUCGUCCUCCUCAUAUCCAUAUAUACAGCUUGCUAAGGAAUCAAUAGUGCUCGUUCCCGAAACUUGGCGCUGAUCUCCGCCACGGUCUCGGUGGUCUGCUGUAGAUCCUGAAACUCCCUCACUAACUGUUGCACCUCAAUGGAUGGUGCAAACUCCAAAUCAAAAUGCCUGACCAAUUCCUCCCAUGACAUCUCACCCACUCCGGCUGAUCCCACCUGGUGGGUCGCGCCCUCCCACUAGUCCCUGGCUCGAUCCCUCAGCAUGCACGAAGUAAACCCUACUUUUAUCACCUUGGGGAAAGGGCUCGUGCGCUAGGCGUUCUCCAUGUCUGCCACCCAACAUCAACUAACCAUGGUGUCUUUGACCCUAAAGAACUCAGUCUCCCUACACGCCUCAAACUCUCGGAACGAGGGAGUUCAGGCCCCAACCUGUCCCGCAGCAAUCUUGGCUCGGAAAGACCCGAGUUGUUCCUCCAUGAUCUCCAUCAUCCCCUCCUUGAGGGUCCUGAAAAUCACUAGGGUAGCAUCAAGAAUGCCCCUCGUAACCUCGACUGCGAUAAGCUCGCGCAGCCUCUCGUCAAUGGGCUCUGUAGCAUAGCCCUAGCCAAAUCCGGAUCCUGAUCCUAAUCCUAAUCCUGAUCGCCCUGCUCUAUGACGCAUCACCACCAUCAUGAUCGGAAAUUUCAUAAACAGAAUGAUCAAGAUAUUUAAAAUGGGGAUCCUUCCACAUCGGUCUCCUUAGAGCUUCCAGGUCUAACAUUAGUUCGGGUACAGGUUAUGUGCUUUCAGUAGUACGGGCCUAAUACUACCUUCCAUAGCUACAUGUAUCUUCCCCACGACUCUACCUGAUAACUCUAAUUCUUCCCAACACAGAGCAUAUCUCACAAAUCGCCGCAUAACUAAAACUCUAGGUUACCCAAAUAUUUUCUCCAUUCCCAUCAAACCAAUACUCAAAUCAAUCGCAGUAGGUUGCCUUAUGCAUGCAAAUUAUACACAUAACAUGAUCAAAUAGAAUGUCGAAUAACAGACUCUACACUAGGACCACAACCAAACAAGGAACAUGAAAUAAGGCAAAAUCAAUUAUUACAAGUCUAUAAGAUCCUAACCAUAUACAAUUUUGCAAGCAUACACAUAGCACGAUUCAUUCGAUUAUCACAUUCCAAAUAUCAAUAUAGCAUGGCUAACAUAUUAGGAACAACACUUACUUUAGUUCGGCCGAUUACACGCAUUGCACUCUCCUUUUUCUUACAAAAAUCGGUUUUGAAAAUUUUUUUAAGUUUAAUUUUUUGAAAACAAUUUUAUCAUUUCCUCAGUUUGAGUUCUGACACACCCAAGAGUAUGCCUGAAUCCCUCAAACGAAGUCUCUGAUACCAACUUGGAAUGACCCAAAUUUUUAGAUAAAAUUUUUCAUUAAAAGUAAUAAAUCGUGCUCAUUAAUUAUAAAAUUACAGUCACAAUUGUUCUAAAAAAUCCAUAACAUUAGAUAAAUUAUUCAUGAAAUCAGAGCGUCCCCAAACAAAACGCCAAAGAGCGCAUGUCGCGCCAUCACACCGGGCUCCUGCCCCAGAAUCCCAAAGUACCUGAAACAACUAACAAACUGUAAGCAAACGCUUAGUAAGUUCCCCAUAAUAUACCCUACACAAUCCAGAUAAUCAUAUAAACCAUAUCAACCAUACAAGCCAUACAUAUAAAGAUAUACGGAUGUUGUGGGCUCCCCCAGGGUCUUCCAUGCGAGUAUCACAAGACAACUAGCAUAUCAUGUACCACAUAAUCAACUAGUAUACCACAUAACAUGUAAUAGGCCAACCUUGGUGCCUUUGACCCAUUUGUAUGGUGAGGAGACUCACCUUAGUCUGCUGAACACGAAAGUUGCCUGCCUAAUAGUCCAAAACCAAUUGUGCUGAACAAUAAUACUAGUAACCCAAAAUUAGAAUUGAAUAUAAUCUAAUUAAAUGAUCAAAUUACCUAAGCCUAAAUCCUUCCAUAAUGGCCUAAGAGCAUUUCCUUUUCUAAUGGGCCCAAAUUCCAUGUCCGAAGCUAUAAAUGGGCCACAUGACCUAAUAAGGCCCAACCAAAACAGCCAUGGACCAAAACAUAUUGAUCGGACCACUAACCCAAAAUAUGUUCGGGCCCAAAACUGAUUAAGGAUUAAAGGGCUUACAAGCCCACACGAAGCCCAAAACCGACUGGGGUGCAUACGCUAAGCGUACCACUUCAGUAUGCUCAGUGUACUGAGUCCUUGGUUGUACAUGCUGUGUAACGCCCAUAAAUCCGGGCUAAUCAAUUUAGAGAUAAUAGGGGUCGAAAAAGAAUUUUCUACAAAUGAUUAUUUAGAAUAAAUAAUCUUAACCAAGCUGUAGAAUAUGUCUCAAGGGUUCCAUACAUCUAAAGAACGCCGAAAUGUGAGUUAUAACGAAGAAAUUAUGAAUUGUCGAAUAUUUACAGCAAAACCGGCACGACAUCGGUACACGUAAAUAAUGAAUUUACGAUAAAGAGCUUUUUAGCCUUAGUUAUAUAAACAAAAGUAGUAGUAUACGUUAAACUGAGAACAUACAAAAAAGAUCGCCCAAAUCUGACUUCGUAUGAUGAAGUUAUGAAUUUUCAAAGAUUUGGCAUAGCAGUGCACGACCCGAAACUUGAAUUUAGUUUGAGCGGUUUUUUGCCUAUGUGACCUAAAUGAGAGUAGAAUAUCAUAUUAAUAGGAACUCAACAAUAAUAUGACAGACGAAAACAGAGUUCGUAUGUAGAAGUUAUGAAUUUUACGCGGACAUUUAACAAUAUAAUCUCCUCAUACUUUUAAAUUUAAGAUCGGUCGAGAAUUAGCCGACGGAGUAUAAACGAAAGUUGUAGAUAUUGUUUUUUCCUAUGCAUGCAUAUAAAGAACGUCGAAAAUGGAUCUCGUAUGCGAGAUUUAUGAUUUUUCUAACUCGGGAGGGUGUUGUGCGAGUUUGGGUGACGUGGCGCGAUCACAGCCGUUGCUUCCUCCCCAAGGCUAGCCACCAGAUGGUGACACAUGGCUUGGAACUCGAUGAUUUGGAGGCCAACUCGACGAGUUUUGGUGAUUUCCAGCCUAUAAAUAGAGUGUCGGGGCACCCUCAUUUCUCACACCUUCCAACUUCACUUUCUCUCUCUACCUUCUCUCUCUAGCCUCCCUUAAGCCCCCUAAAGUCUAGAUAAACCCCCUAGCACCCGAAGGAAGACCCGAGACUCCCAGAGUCCCGAGAAAAGGAGCCUUUCAGCUCGGGAACGCUGCUCCAGCGAAGCCCCGUUAUCCGAAAAAACCUGCCGUAAGUGAGCUACGCCUACCCUAUCGUUAGUAUAUCUUAUGUUUUAAUAUAGUAAUGUUAUUAGGACCUUGUAAUAAGUAUUUAGGCUAUUAUUAUGAGUUAUAUAAGUGUCGUUAUAAUAUUUUUUUAACUACUCACGGUACGGGGAAUCUGGUUUAAAGGGCCGCAUAGGGUUGUUGGAUUUCAGAAGUGUUAUAUGCCAAAAUGGUCCUGCCCUCUGGUGUUUUAUGUUUUGCCCCUGUCUGCAUAUAGUGGUUGAGAAAUAUUGUUUCGUGCUUAUAUAAUAGUAAUAAUUACAAGACUUAAUUAGUCUCGGUGAAUAUUAGACUAAACUCUAGUGGUAACGAAGUGCUGUCUGAGUGCCAAGUCACCACCUUUUCAAGUGAGUGCAUAGUUACUUUAAUCUUACACAUAGAUGUGAAGUAUUUAAUAUAAAUUACAUGCUAUGUGUGCAUAUUGUCUGUAUACUUUCCGUCUAUGCUAGGUGAAAGAUUUUUAUACAUGUUUUAAAUGAUUUAAAUUGUAUAUGUAUUUUAUAUCUACAAAAUGUGUUAGGUAAAACAUGGGUAGAUGAAAUAGUUGUUGUGUGACAAAAAUAAAAUGAUGAGAGGUGAUAUAGACCAUGAAAUAAGGGUGAGAGGUGAAACAUGAGAGAAGACUUUUACCUAAGUGUUGGCCCCAUCAUCUAGCUGAGUAUGGAUGACAACCACAAACUAUUCUAGACAGUCUAGUGGAACACUAGCAGGCUCGCAACCUGUAGUUGUUAUUUGAACUGUGUAUUCACCAGUUGUACUCUAAAAACCCAUUGACAUGUAUUGCGAGUGGAUUCCCGGAAACGAUACUGUUGAUAAACGAGAUAGAAACCCAUUGACAUGUAUUGCGAGUGGAUUCUCGGAAAUGAUACUGUCGAUAAACGAGAUAACCCUGGCAGUUAUGGAUUUAGUGCUUGAUGAGAAAACCCUGGCAACUAUGGAUUUAGUGUCUGUUGAGCAAACCCUGGACUCUAUGGAUUUAGUGCCUAUUGACUAAACCUUGGCAAUGAUGGAUUUCGUGCCUAUUCCUUAGGAUGAUCCUUAGGAAUGAAUGAAUAAGAAAUAGUUGAUUCUUAGGGUAGAUCCUUAAGAGUAAAUAAGAUAAUGGGGAUGGGUAAUUGGGUUAAUUGUUUGAUGAUUAAACAUAAUAAUUAUAUUAUUGUGGGUUGAAAAACCUAUGUACACACUAGGUUUCCCAACCUGACCCACUUUGUUUAUUUAUAUCACAGGUGUUGAUAUGAAGUCACAUUACACUGAGAGAUUAUCGAGAUAUAAAUCACUAGUGAUAAUGAAUGUAAGUUCUGUUUAUGCGUAUGUUUUUGUAUUGACGAUGACAUCCCAAAUGUUUUAAAAUGAAUAAACAUACUUUUCUUCGGAAAUGCUUUGAUAACGUAUUUAUCAUGUUUUACUAGGAACAAAUUCCGCAACAUUUUUAUUAAAAGAUGUACUCUGAUUUUUAUAAAGCAUAAACAAAUCGGUAUUUUCUGGCCAUGAAAAUGGGGAUGUCACAUGCUGCGUGCGCUAUAUUACGCCCAACGUACUAGCAUAUUAAGCACCACUUCCAUUAAGUGCCUAAUACUUGAUUUUCUAACUUUCAAUAUCAGAUCUGAGCUCAUUAAGAUGUCCUAGGGCAUAAAGUUGGGAACUUUAUGCCCUUGCAUGCUAUAAGGGACUUCAGAACAUCAUUCUUCACAUUAGGACUUAAUAUAAGGCUUCAAACUCAUGCAUGAAGUCUAGAUAAUGUUCAAUCCAUCACCUUUAUGCAUCUAGCAUGCUCACAAAGCUCAGAUCUAACCAUCUUAGUCUGUGGAGUUGCUCAACUCUCAAGAGUAGAUCCAAGAACCAAAAAGGGGAGAAUAUAGAAAAUCCUAACUCAAUCUAAUGAAUAAGAUGGCAAGAUUAAGACUUUAUACCUCUAGAAGCUCCUCAAUUUGAACUAGAUGCAGGUUCUUGAAGCCUAAUGCCACACCAAGCUUGCUCACUAACUUCUUCUUGAAUAAGCUCCAAAAUGGCCACCAACACACUUCUAUGCUCCAAAAUCACACCCACGAGGGAAAAGUGAGGUGAAGCGACGAAAUAAGACUCUAGUGGCUGAUUAGGGUUUGGUCCACAUGGCUUAAGGAUGAAUAAAUAGGUCUAAAUUCUAGGUUUAGGGUUUUGGUCUUCUGUCGCGUACACCCCAUGUACCUACAUGUACGCCCCACGUACUCAAUAUUCCUUCGCGAUCCAUCCUCCAUUGUACGCUAAGCGUACACUUAGGUAUGCCCAGCAUACAAAAGGGACCGUUUUUGCCAAAUUAAAUCAUUUCAAAGGGUUAGAAUAGUACCUGUUUUGGAGUGUUACUGUAACAUCCCAAAUUUCGAGUUCGAAAAUCUAUUUUAAAAACAUUAAUAAUUCAUAGCGUUAAGUCAUUCAAUCAUAGAAAAAGGGUUUAUAUGACAAAUCAUAGUUUCAUUUCCAAAAGACUUGUUUAAUUAUCAGAGUAAACAUCCCAGGCUAACUUGCCAUGGUGUGUGCACUGCAACCCUCCCGAGCUCCUCUUCUGAAAACUGAAUACCUGAAACCAAAACUGAAAACCGUAAGCACGAAGCUUUGUGAGUUCCCUAACCUACCGCAUACCAUACAUAUCUACUGAUCCAUACAUGCCAUACAUAACACUGAGCACAUAACCACAUACUGGGCUCCCACCGGCUGCAUUGGGCCUCGCCCGCUAUCAGACCCCGUCCAUCACCAAACCCCGCCUGGCUUCAAGCCUUGACGUACAUAUCUGUUUUCCUUAGGCCCGCCUGUCUCCGGGCCCCACCCGCUAACAUAUACUAGCAUACAAUCAUAUCACUACACAUAACUAACAUACUCUACUGGAUUACUUUACUAAGGCCUCGCCUAUCUUGGGCCUCGCCCCUGUCCUACUAUUGGUGAAUCAUGGAACCCUGUCCACGCUCCUACUGAUAGUGAGAUACGGGCCCAGCCCACACUCACUCUUUUCCUUAAUUGGGCCUCGCCCCUGCUCUAUUGCUAAUGAGGUAUGGAACACCAUCCACACUCUACUAUUGGUCAGAUAUAGGACCUUGCCCACACUCACCUCCCUACAAGGCACAUACAUGUAUCACACAGACAACAAGUAUAACUAUCAUACAAACCAUUCCUUGGGCACCCGCCCGCUAACAUUACACCUUAGUCUCGAAUAUCAUACUAGCAUACUGUGCCUAGGGCUAACCCCCGUGUCUUCCUACUCAUAACUACAUGGGUUGGCAUUGUGGUCGUAGACCCAUUCACAUAAAGGGAAACUCACCUGCACUGCUGAACUUUGCUAAUAACUUUCUGGCUAUUAUCCGACAACUAUUUGAACUGCUACUCCACUAGCUCUCUGAGCUACUAAUAUCAAUAUAACACUUAGUUCCAAACUGAACUCUAGAAGUCAAAUUAAGUCAACUCUGGUCAAAGUCCAAGUCCUGGUCAAAUUCAACCUUCCAUUUGACUUGACACGCCGAGUCAACUCAUAGACUCGCUGAGUUCCUAAACCCAAAAACUCUCCAAAUACGACUCAACUCGCCGAGUCACCCCAAGAAUCGUCAAGUUCAACGAUCUCUGAGUCCCAUCCUGUCCAACUCACUGAUCUGCGUCUUAACUAGAAAAGGUUGAGGUUCUACGACCAGACUCGCUAAGUCCAAGAACAGACUCUCCGAGUCCAAGGAAAUCUUCAACAAACUCAGCAAGUUAUUCUUCAAACUCACCGAGUUCACACUCAUGUUCAUAGAACUCAUUGAGUACACCCAUUUGACUCGCUGAGUCUCUUUAGAUCUCAAUCCAUACACUUUUUGAUCCAUGCAGGGGCUCCAAUCCAUAGGUCCACUCUUCUACAGUCUAUCCCCCACAUGAAGUUGCAAACUUUAUGUGAAACAAAGGAGAUAAAGGCCCAAAACACUCUAGGGAUAGGGUUUAAGACAAAGGGGCUUCACAAAAAACACAUUGAAUGUUUCUUUAAGACAUUCUGGACCAUCACAACCCUAGAUCUGAAGUAGCAACCUCAUAUCUAAGUCCCAAACCCGAAAUAGAUCUCAAUCUUACCAAAAUAGCCCCAAAAUCUCAUUCAAGAAUUGAUCUAAUUGCAAUAAAGCCAAAGCAACAGCUUAUUACCUCAAGGAUGACCUCCCACUGAAGAAUAAUCCAACUGUCUACAAAGCCCCUUGCUCCAAGCUUCUUGAUCUUCGAUAUAUCUUCACAAAACCCCCUUUUCUAAGCUCCAAAUUGCUUCCAAGGACUCUCACUCAUGAUUUAGAGUUUCUAGAUCUCAAAAGGGGAGUAAAGAGGCUGGGGAAGGGAUGUAAUGUUAUUUAAAUAGGGCACAACCCCUGGGAUUAGGGUUUUUCUCGACCAGCCCAGACUCGUCGAGUCCACUAGCCGACUCGCCGAGUCGGUCAAUUACUUUAUACCUCGGAUCCCGCUCCGACUCGUCGAGUUCCUCCUUGCACUCGACGAGUUGACUCAUGACUUAGAGCUUUUCCUUUCUUUUCUUGGUCUUUCUGAUUUUGGGUGUUAUAACUCUCCCCCACUAAAGCUAGACUUUGUCCUCGAAGUCCGCUACGGCCAACUGUCCUGCACUCCGCUCACAUCACCCCUGCCUGAUGAAUAUAACUCUGACCGACCACUUCCAUGGACCUUCCGCCCGGUUACCCAGAAUAAAACUAGUCCUUGUAGUUAUCAAUCCUCAAGUGCACUCUAAUCCCACCAAUCCUGAGCACACAACUCACUCAGCUGACAAUCCUUCCAGUACUCCCUGAGUUCUUAUGCCGAAAUCCUAGGGGUUCAUCCCCUUUUCCUUGCGCGUUUUUUGUCCUUCCCAAGGCAACGUUCCACCAUGAACCACCUCCUCUACCACUGUGAAGGACAUAUCCUUCAUGGUAUCCAUUACUCCAGCCACUCCUAGUGUUGGUCGCUACUGUCGAUACCUACUGAACACUUCAUGCUACUAUAACAUAGCAUUAAGCACCCAGCCCAGCGUAUGGAUCAUAUAAUCCUUUGAGUAAAAGAUUCAUCCUUGUAACGGUUAGACUCCAACGAGAUCUGCGCAACAGGGUCAAACCCUUCCCUCUAAGAUUAUCCAACCCUGUUGCGAGAGGCGUAGAACUCCUCGGUCAACUAGCUGUCCCACGCCAUACUUCUCUAGCGUCACUUCCCUGCCUUAAAGUCCUGCCAUUUCCCAUUCUCCUUCCGAAUGGACCGAGACCACACUGGUCCCUCUACAGAUUCUACUGAUAAAUGGGUUAGCGGAUACUCACCAGUCACUACAACUAGCACAAUCUCUUAGUCGCUCUCAACGACUUCCGAAGAAACUUCGGCUAUCUAAAAUGCUCUAUCUAUCCUGCCACUCUAGCGCUACAAGUCUUUGGAUCCUCGAUCCCCUAAUUUGACCCUAAGGUCCCUACCAGGUCCCACCUGUGCUGCUAUAAUCUCAUGGGCCUCGCCCACGGGUCUCACCUGACUAUAUCCUAUAGCGGUCCUCCCCUCUAGUCUCACCUGCCUAACUACUGUCACACGGGCCUCACGCAUGGGUCUCAACCAAACCAUACUACUGUGCAAUCCUGCUUCCAGGUCUCACCUAUACUGUUGCUAACAUAUGGGCCUCGCCCACGGGUCUCACCCAACUAUAUACGGGAGUGGACUCACCUAACAAGGGCUAUGCAGGACAACUCUAUACUAAACCUCAACGAGUUAUCCUUUCCUGAUCCCCAUCGCUUACUAGGAGAUACGAGCCUCCGCCCACACUCCGCGAACUAAACUGCUAAUGAACGCUGCGGCUUACCCGCAGUCUUAUGACACUUUCCUCACGAAUUGCUGCUGGGGAAUGCUGCGGCUACCCCACAGUCUUAUAUCCCGCCUAAACUCGCACCUGGAGAAGGCUCUGCAACCUGGUUUUCCCGAACCAGUCACCCGCUAGACAUGAAUACACAAACUCAAGGUUGGAAAGUUUCUCCAAAUCCCAGCUAACCUGAUCCUCCAUCCAAAUAGCCACUUGAGCUGCUUCCUUCCUUACCAAGACUGUGAAACCACCCCAGUCUUGUACUUACUUCUAUCGUUGGCCACACGUAUGGCUCUCCCCUACUUCGACUUGACUAGCUCCUCACAGCUCACAGCUCAGAAGAAUUUCCAAUUCUUCUUACCAUCCCCUGGUCACUUUGUUGAAAACCCGACUUACCACAACUGGGGAUCUAACCGAUCUAUUUCCAAUCGACACCUUCCCGAACUAGCGAGGCACUACCAAGCCCCUCAUAGGCAUGCUACAGAUAAUGCAUCCUGAGUAACCCACUCUAAAGGAGACGACCUCCAACUAUCAUUCUAACAUCCAAGGUAUGCAGAUGGCAUAUAAAUCAAUCACCAGCAGGAUGCAAAUUUCUAAAGUAUCAUUAUCAAUACCGAUGCAGAACCAUAACGAUAAGACCAUAUCAUAGGCUGAUAGAGAGAUGAAAGAAGAUAUGUACCUGAAACAUCGGGCUGCUCACACCUCAUCUGAAACCAACUAUUAUGCGCUGCUCCUUGCUGCAGGUGUCUCUGCCCGACCCUAACGGUCGUUGGUGAUCCUCAUGGUUGCAAGGGCAGGUGCUAUCACCUGUCCUGCUGAAUGCAAACUCGGACAUUGGGCCUUCUUGUGGCCCCUCUGACUACAAUGGAAACAUAGCAGGUCUGAUCCCUGGGUGGUGGUAGCAGUACAAUCUCUGCUGAAAUGACCUAUCUGACCGCACUUGAAGCAACCGGAAUCACCACCGCUGCCACUCCUACACGCACCCUCGUGCGUCCUGCCGCAUUUGCUACAGCGGCCUCGAUCCUUAGGACCUCUCGAUCUUGAGUAUGAUGUCUUAGGCGUCUUUCUCGAUCCCGUAGCUACCUGAACCUCCUCCGGCUUCCUCUUCCCAGGUGCUCCAAAUCGAUCUCCCUUUCCUUGGCCUGAGCAAUCAUAUCCUCCAGCGUCUUGCAGCUGGACCGACUCACAAACUCUCUGAUGUCAUCUCUCAGCAUAUCGUGAUAUCGAGCCUUCUUCAUCUCCUCAUCCGCGACUUACUGCAGAACAAGAAGAGCCCUUUCCCUGAACUUGGUGGUGAUCUCCGCCACCGUCUCGAUCGUUUGCUGCAGAUCCUGGAACUCCCGGGCUAACUGUUGCACCUCAAUAAUCGGUGCAAACUCGGUCUUGAAACUGGCCGAGAAAUCACUCCAUGUCAUCGCAUCAAAUGCGACAUCAUCUCCGAUAGCAUGACCAACCUCCUCCCACCAAUCCUGUGCUUUGUCCUUCAGAAGACACCGGCUAGAACGAAAAGCAUUGGCGACAUCAGCCAACCAUCUGCCACUAGCAAUGGGGUCCCUAGCCCCAUGAUAAUCUGGAGCUCCACAAGCCCUGAACUCCCAGAAAGUCAAAGUACGCGCUCCCAACAUAGCCAUCAGCUUUGUGCGAAAGACUCCAAGCCUCUCAGCCAAAAUCUCUAGGUUGCGCUCCUUGACCGUGCCAAAGAUCACAGGAGUCUGGUCAAGAAUACCACACAUAAUCUCAGCUGAUACAAACUCUCUCAUCCACUCCUCGAGCUGCUCGAUCCUUGAACCCGAGCCUGACCCAUCUCUAACACCUGAUCCAUCCACUGGUCCAUCUUGCGAUGUCGUCAUACUGAAAGCAUGCCAUAACAAUCAUCAAAAUACACAUCACUGCCGAAGCACCUCACAUGCACUGCAAGUUCCUUGGUUUGUCUCGGCCCCUCUUGUAUCGAGUACGGAUCCUCUGCUUUCAGUAGUACGGGCCCAUACUACCUUCCACAUCUAUCCGUACUUUCCUCAAGAAUUGCCUCAACUCCCCAAGUCCCUUGUACUACUACUAUCACUGCUCCCAACACUAACCUCAUCCAAGGCUUACCCUAGGGAAAUCUCUGACUCAAACCAGUCCUCACUUGCUGAAGGUCUCUUUGUAAUGCCAAUUAGCCAUCACCUGAAUACCAUCACAUGCAACGAGGCUUAGAUAAUCCUUCGAGUAAAGGACUUUUCCCUACAGCGGUUGGACUCAAACGAGAGCUGCGCAGUAGGGUCAAAUCCAGAACUCUGAGAUUAUUCAACCCUGAUCACAUGUGACUUAACGUAUUCAUCUAAUAGCUAACUCCCAUCACUCAUAAUCCCACAAAGCACAAAGCAAGCAACAUUCAGACCAAAGGGAAAUCUAACCAGAACAUAAUUAAUCAGUUCUAUCAAAAUACAAGGAUCCGUACUAGCAUACAAUAUAAGCUCACUUAAUCAGGAUAACCUAAACAUGCUAUCCUACCACUGUCUAACCAAUGCCAGCAUAUAGCUCAAUAAGCGCAUAUAACAGGCACAUAAGGCAACCUCCUAGAUCCUCAUCCCUAAAUCUAGCAUGCUGAUCACAUAAUCAUAUCAUAACAUAAACUUUUAUGGGUAACUUGGGAGAACUUACUUGAGCUCGGCUGAUUGCAUGCACCACACCCUUUUCUAUUUUCAAAGCUCCUUUUGCUUUUUCUAAAACCCUUUUCUUUCCUCCAAAUCCUUUUAUAAAUAUGGUUUUUCUUUUGGAAAAUUUUAUACCACUUCCUCAGUUUGAGUUCAGACACACCCGAGCGUGUGCCCAAAUUCCUCAAACCAAGGCUCUGAUACCAACUUAUAACAUCCUAAAUUUCGAGUCCGAAAUUUUCUUUUAAAAAAAUUACUAAUUCAUAGCGUUAAGUCAUUCAAUCAUACAAAAAGGGUUUAUAUGACAAAUCAUAGUUUCAUUUCCAAAACACUUGUCUAAUUAUCAGAGUAAACAUCCCAGGCUAACUUGCCAUGGUGUGUGCACUACAACCCUCCCGAGCUCCUCUUCUGAAAACUGAAUACCUGAAACCAAAACUGAAAACCGUAAGCACGAAGCUUUGUGAGUUCCCUAACCUACCGCAUACCAUACAUAUCUACGGAUCCAUACAUGCCAUAAAUAACACUGAGCACAUACCCACAUACUGGGCUCCCACCGGCUGCAUUGGGCCUCGCCCGCUAUCGGACCCCGUCCGUCACCAGGCCCCGCCUGGCUUCGAGCCCCGCUUGGCGUACAAAUCUGUUAUCCUCAGGCCCUGCCUGUCUCCAGGCCCCGCCCGCUAACAUAUACUAGCAUACAAUCAUAUCACAACGCAUAACUUGUUGGAUUAAUGUCUAAGUCCAUAACUAUUUUGGUAUGUACUUGACCUGAUUAUGAGCAUGGUCCUUUUGGGUUGCCUUCACCAUAGCAAUAUGUAGGAUGAAUUAAGGAGAGAAAAAUUUAAUUAUGAUUUAUUAAUAUAUUAUGAGAAUAAUAUAUUAAAGGAGAAAUUAUAUUGUUUAAUUAAUAUUAGUCAAGAAUUAACAAAGAAUUAAUUUUGUGGCUAAAAGAGAUUAAUUAAACUUAAGGGACGGUGAUUGUAAUUAUAAGAUAAUUGCAAUUGGGCUAUGGAUCACCUUGGGAUAAUAGGUUGGAGGAAUUCUAUGGGGAAGCCCAUUAGAAAUCGUCCAAGGCAUGUUCCAGAAGGGGUCCAUGGACUGCUUAGGGCUUAAGCAGUCAAGUUAGGGUUUCCUUGUUAGAUAACCCUAAUUGCCUACCUAUUUAAGGAGCCCCUAAGCCUCAAAAACGUGGUGAAUGAUUUCUUAGGGUUUCUAGAUGAAUUUUAGUGCCUCCUCUCUCCUCCUUCUUCAUCAUUAUUGCUUAUGGUGUUUGUGACCCCAUUAGAGGUGCAACACUUGAGGCACUAAGCUUUCUGAAGCUAAUUACAAGAAGGAAUAGAUUGUUAUUGCUACAUAAGAAUCAAAGGUAAGAUUUAAAACCUAUAAUUAUGUUAAUUUGAUUACAUGUAUGCUAGAUCUAGGCUUUAUACGCUUUGGAUGAUUAUUGCAUGUACAUUUAGAUAAACCUAGAUCCAAAGUUUAGGGUUUUACAUGUGCACCAUAGGAUUGAUGUAUAGCAUAAAUCCCAUCAGUGGUAUCAGAGCAAAGGAUGGUUUAUUCUAAUGUAUUUGACGCAAACUUUUUUUGUUCAUAGCUGAAAUUUUUUGUUUUUUCGAAUUUAACCAGUUCCACGUCGUGGACAUGCUGUUCAUGUCGUGGACCCAGUCUGACAGCAUGAUUUCGAAACUUUUGCCUUAAUUUGCUUUGGAUAAUUAGCAUAAAUUGCUUUAUUCAAAUAAAAAUUAGAUUUUUGUUAUGGUAAUUAAUAUCCUAAUCAAAUUAAUGGAUAAUUGUCGAAAUUAUGAUAAUUAUUUGAUUUCUAAGAUAAAUGUUAAUUAUUUGUAAAAUUGAUUUGAAUUAUCUUGUGAAAAAGUUUCUAUUUUCCCUUUAGGUUUUAUAGUUUAAAUUUGAACUUAAAAGUUUUGUUUUUGAAAUUUAAAUAGUUAAACACUAAUGUUUUGAAAUGUUUCAAAACUUGCCCUCAACUUUUGGAAUUUAAAAUUUUGAUUAAUAGUUUAAUUAUGUAAUGUUUAAAUUCUAAAACCCUAGUAUUUUGAAAGUUCAAAUUAGACCCACAUGGUUUUGUUAAAUUAAUUAAAAGAGAAAGUAAAUAAAAUCACCUUGUAUUUUAAAUGUGUAAAAUACAUCAUAUACUAUAUAUAUAUAUAUANNNNNNNNNNNNNNNNNNNNNNNNNNNNNNNNNNNNNNNNNNNNNNNNNNNNNNNNNNNNNNNNNNNNNNNNNNNNNNNNNNNNNNNNNNNNNNNNNNNNNNNNNNNNNNNNNNNGUCUAACAUUAUAUAUAUGUAUGAGUAAAAGUCAGUCUUACCGUUAGUAGGCCUCAUUCACGAAGCUGGUCUAUAAGGGGUGUUUAAGGAAAUUGCCUAUAAAAUGCCGAUUAAAUAGGUAUCCACUCUUACCCACCGCACUCUUGACUAGUGGAGGGUCGUUAGCCGAACUGGUAGGAUAAGACAGAAACCUUCCAUUAUAAGUAUAAUGAAGUACAAAGUAACUAAAUGUUUUUAAAAUUCCCAUAUCAUAGUUACUUUAGGCAAAAUUUGAAAUUUUAUGCUAAUUCAUGGAAUGACACUUUAUACCCUUGCCGAGAUGUUAGUGGAGCGUGUGUGGUUAACCGGCACACUAAUUUGGGUUUAACGUUGGUAGCAAAGGGUGACUCGAUGUUUAUCAUAGAUCAAAGGAGUGUAUGUGGCUAACCGACAUAUUGAUUAGGUGAUAGUAGCGUUGAGUGCACCACGUGAUUCACAUGGUUAUUCACACCUUGUUUGUGAUCAUCGACAUCCCAGUCGCAAAUAGUAGGGCAUAAUUGAGAUUAAAAAUGCCAUUGAAAAGUUAAAUGAAUCUCAAAAGAUCUAGGAGUUUCAACUCAUUUAAAACUUAAAUUUUCUUUUUUGUUUUUCAUGGUGGAAACUGGUAAAUCGUCAUUUACCUACCUUCAAAUAUUCUGCAACUAGAUUACGACAUCCCUCUUCUAGGUUGUAGAGUAUUGUGUAGGAUCCUAGCCUUGAUGUCUCAUUUGGGUGUUACAUCAAGGAUCCUAAUCAGCUUGACUUGAAUUUCUCCCGUUUUGUAGAUGUCUGAAUCUAACAAUGGUCUUCCUAAAUCCCAUGGAACAAGCUUUCCAAAUGAAGAUGAUUUUUCACGAUAUGAUCGAGAAACCAGAGAUCAUGCUUCAAUUCCUCCACCUCCUCCAAUUAUUCUCCCUAGCCCACAAGUUCAAAGGCUUGAAAAUUUCAAGCUUACUCAAGCCCUUUUGACAAGUAAACACGAAGAUGGGAAACCUGUGUGUGCACACAUCUUAGGGAUGAAGUCACACAUUCAUAGGUUACAGAUGAUGGGUGUCGAUAUCUCAUAGAUGUUGACUGAUGAUUGGGUUCUUCAGUCGCUUCCUGAAUCAUAUAGUGAGUUUGUUAGAGAGUACUAUUUGAUGGACCACAACGUGACCCUCAUUGUUCUCACCUAUUUGCUUAUAGCCGCUGAAUCAACAAUGAUUUGGCGUGCUGGUCAAGCAAAUUUGUCUGGUGAAUCAAACUCCCAAACUUCAAUGGACACUGGCAACAUUGGAAGUCCAGAAAGGACUAAGUAUGAGAUUGUCCCAUGUGCUGUACCAUAGGACUCCAUUUUCUUUUAUUGCCAAGAGAAGGGGCAUUAGAGACGAAGCUACCCAAACUACCUGAGAGAUCUAAUAGAUGGGAGAGUCAAGAUGUAUGCCUAUACUUCAGGUAAAAUCCAAUAACUAACUCUAUAAGUUCCUACUCUUUGAUUUUCAAUACAUGAUGUGAUAAGAUUACAUUUUGAUGUUUUGGAGGAUCGAAGAAAAUAGAGGAAGCUUAAGGGAAGAAGUAAGCUGAAUCUGAUCGUGAAGAAAUGGAUUUCAAUCGCAUUGAUUGAAGAUCGGAUUUUUGAGCUACUACUUUAGAGUUAGAAUAGAUUGCUUAGAAAUUGAAAUAACAUAGUUUUCAUUUGAAUUGCAUUGUAAGGACAAGUUUUUCCGCAAUAAAAUGAAUUUUGAUUUCGUCUUAUUUAUUUAUCCUUUGAAAGGCAUAUGUGAAAAUGGAUGUUUAUGUAUUUCUAAUUUUAGCAAUGUUGAAUUGGAUGUGAUUCUUGAUUAUGUUAUUUGUGAAAUGUCGAGAAUUUACCAAAUAGGGUGGUUUUCUCAUCGCCCAAGUUUCAAUUCGACAGAAAACUUGGAGUCAUGCAACAUGCAUUGCGUGAUGACUGAGAAAUUUGAUAUUUGGAAAUUAGACUAAAUCUUUGGCAAAGUGUCAAGUGAAGGACUAAGAGAUCGAGUACACUAGGUUGUACGCUGAUCAAGUCCACUACAAGAGUGAUAAAGAUUUACCAUGAUUUAUUAAAGUUUAGUAAAUAUGAUUAUACUUAUAAGAUUAAGUGUGAUUCUCAUUUGGUUGAAAGAGUUUCAAUGAAUAGCAGAACGAAUAAAGAAGAAACAAGUAGGCAAAAAGAUAAAAUUUUCUCCAUUCUAAGAAGAAGGGAGACUAACUUUUUAUUGUGUUUUAUGAUAAGCCUUAAUGAUUAAGAACCAUAUCUCAAUUGGUCCUCUAGACGAGUCUUAGUGCAUUUGUUUGUCUAAUAAAAGGAAUCGAGAAUUGUGGGAAUGGUUAAAUCAAGAAGUCAAUCAUACUUCAUUCAAAUAUCAAGUCUUAGAGUUAUACUCCAAGAUUGUGAAUUGAGUGACACAUCUUUAGUAGGUUUAUAAAACUCAACAAUUGUGGAAUUGGAAAAAUUCUUCUUAUUACUGCACAUUUGAGAUUGCUAAGUUGUGAUGUCUUGGAUAAGACAAUGACCAACUAAAACCAAUUAUGUGAAGUAAUAGUCUUGAUAAAAACUACACUAACUCUUGAAUAUUUGUUUUAUCAAGGAACGUUUCUUGACAAGAGAAUCUUAUAUGUCAAGGAGUCAUUGGGAUUCUUAAUGGUCUUGAAAGGUUUCAAGAACAAAUAAAGAGUUAAACCUAGUUGAUCAUCACUAGUACACGACUUGAGGUUUAAAGCCUAUUGUGGAUGACAUACUCUCUUUCUGUGCCAUUCCAAUUGAGUUAAUUAUGCAUGUGAGUUCUAUGAGUUCUCAUUUGAAUGCAUAAAGGCAAAGCACCUUGAUCGAUGGAAAGUACAUUGAUAUGAAAGGGUGAGUUGCUUGGAUGACAUGGUGGGAAUUCAUGUCACCAUGAGGCAAGAAAUCAAGAUUUAGCACGUUCGGUCCAUAUGAGUUUGGAUUUGUCGCUAACUUUGGUUUUGACAAAAUCACAUGGAUAUGAACACAUACACUUUAGAAUCUUAGUGUCAUAAGGUUUCUAUCCAUCAUGAAAAUGAUUAUGAGGAAAUGCUUUCACUAAGAGAGAUUUUAAGAAGAUUGCAAUUGUGAAAAUUGUAUUCUCAAAUUUGCUUAUGAUUACAACAUCCCUUUUCAUAGUUCGAAUUGUGAGAUUUGGCAAUUAGUCUAAACAUUUUGGGACUUAGUAACUUGAGUUCUAGAAUUGUUUAGAUGCACAUAUAAGCUAUCUAAGAAAAGGUGUAUGAGUUUAAGCAGCUUAGAUAAAGGAUUAUCGAAGCAUCUUGUAUUAGAAAUAUGGACUUUGGAAUUCAAUAAGUAUUGUUUUCUAGAAGUUCAAGUGUUUUCUGAAUACAUGUCAAAGCUAGUGGGAGCAUAAGUGUUAUGCUUGUAUGGAAAUAAUCAUUGUGUUAGUAGGAGCAUGAUUAUUAUUAUUUUAAGUAUUGCAAGUUAGCAAUAUUAAUUAUAGAAAACAAAGAUUCACUUUGCAAAGUUGCAGGGGUUGAAAAUUGUUUUGCUAUAAUUAAGGGAGAGAAAAUGACACUUCAUUUCAAAUCUAAAGGCUUAGAUUGUGGAAUUUUAAUCAAAUUUAGUCAAAUAUAUAUGAAUGUUGUGUUGGAAUGGUUCAACAUGAGGAAAUUCUAUAUAUGGAAAGGAUAAUUGCAUUCUCAAAAUUUGGUUAUGAUUACGACAUCCCUUUUUAUAAUCAAAAUUGUGAAAACAUGGCAAUUAGAAAUAUUAUAGCAGAAGACUGGUAAAGUAUCACAUCUUCAUGUGAGACAUUAUGAAUCGUGUUCCAUGUGCUUCGGGUAUAGGAUCGAUUGCAUAUGCUAUAAUGUUUGAUCAUUCUAAAAUAUUCCAAAUGCUUAGCGCAUUAAGAUGGAAAAAGGACUAGAACGGUUUGGGCUAAAAUAAUUAAACAACUAUCAAAGGACGAUCUAAGGUUCACCAAGGAUUUGUUUCUUGUGUGUAGUUGGAAGUAUAGUAUUGGAUGGACCAUGUUGACAUUAUUUUGAAUAAAUAGGAUUCUAUUUAGAAGGUGUUGUCAUAUGGCAAAUACGGAAAUGUUUCCAUAUUGGGAGUUGGAUAUUGAAAGUCUAUGUCUAGAUUAGAAACUUUUAUGCAAGAAGGACGUUCAAAUGAAUGUACUUUUUGAAUGUGAGACUUCGUGGCUAUGGAAUUGUCUUGUAACAAUUUCCGAUAGAAUACCUUGGAAUUUCAUAAGCCAAGUCUUGUUGACUUUUGCGCUAUGACAUUACGAAAGGAUCGUUGCAUAAAAUGCUAGAAUCUGAUAUAUUCCAAAAGUGGCAAGAAUUUGGUAUUCUUACACUAAUGAUGAGGAUUGGGAAUUGUGAAAUGAGUUUCAUUGGAAAGGUUUUCAAUUGAUCUAUUUCACAAAGUAAGGAUCAUAGGUAAGAUAGUGUGCAUGCUCGGAGCACGAGAAAGCUAUUGUUGUAAUUCAAGUAAUAAGUUGAUUAUCCGAAACAUUAAACAAUGAAUAAUGAGUAGUGAAUAUUGUGUUUAAAUAAAAAUGUUUUAUUUACGCUCAAAAGUUUUGGGGCCAUAUAGGAUUAAGUAUUAUCGUUGUGUUUCAUUUUGCAUGUUUUGACUUCCGGAAUAACUGGGUUAUUCGAACCUCCACAGUCGGUCAUACGUUGGAAGUACGUAUGAAGGAAGACUGUCAUGAAUCUGUCUGUAGAUUGUCUAAAGUAUUUACACAUAGCACAAGUUUGAUGCAAAGUUCAUGAGUGCUUUGAUAAUAUUAAAGUAUUGGAUUAAACCCACGCUCACUUGAAUCUCUUCAUGGAUUUAUCACGGGUGAUUAGUGUGACGAUUACAUUCUAUAUUCUUGAAACCGAGACGUGUGAGUUGUUAUUUGCUGGUCGGUUGAAAAUUGAUGAUAAGUAAACGCACUAGUAAUUUGGUGUUAUAAAACUUAUUGUUGUGUGUGAUUCGAUCAGUAGGUGAAAGCGAGCAUUUGAGUCAAAGUUUAUUCAUUCCUUUUACCCAAAGUGGGAUAAAAGCGAUAUAUGUGGGCCCCUCGAUGAUUUAGUGAUGACACCCUAAGCGCUUGGCCAAGCCGGGACUAAGUUGAUGUGUUCAAUUGUAGUCUGUUGUCAGUCGUCAUAAAUCAGAUGUCGGGAAACAAUACAUAGACAGAGAGAAUGAUUUAAAUCCAUGUCUCGUGUCUAUACGAUAUCUUGAGAAUGGAGGAAUAUACAAUCCCUUAUCUAAAGGACACACUAUCUGAUAAGAUCAGAGUUGAUAACGGCUUUUGAAAGCUAUGAUUGCUGAUCAAGUUCUGAAGUUAUGCAAAAUAGUUAUUAGACUUAUCCAAGUAGGAGACUGUUGGAUUAGUGUCUAAGUCCAUAACUAUUUUGGUAUGUACUUGAACCGAUUAAGAGCAUGGUCCUUUUGGGUUGCCUUCACCAUAGCAAUAUGUAGAAUGAAUUAAGGAGAGAAAGAUUUUAUUAUGAUUUAUUAAUAUAUUAUGAGAAUAAUAUAUUAAAGGAGAAAUCAUAUUGUUUAAUUAAUAUUAGUCAAGAAUUAAUAAAGAAUUAAUUUUGUGGCUAAAAGAGAUUAAUUAAACUUAAGGGACUGGAAUUGUAAUUAUAAGAUAAUUGCAAUUGGGCUAUGGAUCACCUUGGGAUAAUAGGUUGGACGAAUUCUAUGGGGAAGCCCAUUAGAAAUCGUCCAAAGCAUGUUCCAGAAGGAGUCCAUGGACUGCUUAGGGCUUAAGCAGUCAAAUUAGGGUUUCCUUGUUAGAUAACCCUAAUUGCCUACCUAUUUAAGGAGCCCCUAAGCCCCAAAAACGUGGUGAAUGAUUCCUUAUGGUUUCUAGAUAAAUUUUGGUGCCUCUUAUCUCCUCCUUCUUCAUCCUUAUUGCUUAUGGUGUUUGUGACUCCAUUAAUGGUGCAACACUUGAGGCACUAAGCUUUCUGAAGCCAAUUAGAAGAAGGAAUAGAUUGUUAUUGCUACAUAACAAUCAAAGGUAAGAUCUAAACCCUAUUAUUAUGUUAAUUCAAUUACAUGUAUGCUAGAUCUAGGGUUUAUGAGCUUUGGAUGAUUAUUGCAUGUACAUUUAGAUAAACUUAGAAUCAAAAGUUUAGGGUUUUGCAUGUGCACCAUAGGAUUGAUAUAUAGCAUAAAACCCAUCAUAAGUAACAUACUCUACUGGAUUACUAUACUAAGGCCUCACCUAUCUUGGGCCUCGCCCCUGUCCUACUAUUGAUGAAUCAUGGAACCCCGUCCACGCUCUUACUGACAAUGAGAUACGGUUCUAACCCACACUCACUCUUUUCCUUACUUUGGCCUCGCCCCUGCUCUAUUGCUAAUGAGGUAUGGAACACCAUCCACACUCUCCUAUUGGUGAGAUACGGGACCUCGCCCAUACUCACCUCCCUACCAGGCAAAUACAUGUAUCACAUAGACAACAAGUAUAACUAUCAUACAAACCAUUCCUUGGGUACCCGCCCGCUAACAUUGGACCUUAGUCCCGAAUAUCAUACUAGCAUAUUGUGCCUAGGGCUAACCCCCGGGUCUUCCUACUCAUAACUACAUGGGCCGACAUUGUGGCCGUAGACCCAUUCACACAAAGGGAAACUCACCUGCAUUGUUGAACUUUGCUAAUAACUUUCUGGUUGAUGUCUGACAACUCUCUGAACCGUUGCUCCACUAGCUCCCCGAGCUACUAAUAUCAAUAUAGCAUUCAGUUCCAAACUGAACUCUAGAAGUCAACUCUGGUCAAAGUCCAAGUCCAGGUCAAAUUCAACCUUCCAGUUGACUCGACUUGCUGAGUCAACUCAUAGACUCGCCGAGUUCCUAAACCCAGAAACUCUCCAAAUAUGACUCAACUCGCCGAGUCACCCAAAGACUCGUCGAGUUCAACGAUCUCUGAGUCCCAUCUUGUCCAACUCACUGACUCACCACUCAACUCACUAAUAUUUGUCUUAACCAGAAAAGGUUGAGGUUCUGCAACCAGACUCGCCAAGUCCAAGAACAGACUCACCGAUUCCCAGGCAAUCUUUAACAAACUCGCCAAGUGAGUUGUUCUUCCAACUUGUUGAUUCUGUGCUCAUGUUCAUAAAACUCACCGAGUACACCCAUGUGACUCGCUGAGUCUCUUCAGAUCUCAAUCCAUACAAUGGGUUUUCGAGCCAUGUAGGGGCUCCAAUUCAUAGAUCCACUCUUCUACAGUCUAUCCCCCACGUAAAGUUGCAAACUUUAUGUGAAACCAAGGAGCUAAAGGCCCAAAACACUCUAGGGCUAGGGUUUAAUACAGAGGGGAUUCACCAAUAACUCAUUGACUGCUGCUUUAAGAUUUCUAGACCAUCACAACCUUAGAUCUAAAGUAGCCACCUCAAAUCUAAGUCCCAAACCCGAAAUAGAUCUCAAUCUUACAAAAAUAGCCCCAAAAUCUCAUUCAAGAAUAGAUGUAAUUGCAAUAAAUCCAAAGCAAUAGCUUACGUGACAACCCAAAAUUCUAUUCUGUAUAAACAAUAUCACUUCAAUAGAAGUCAGAAAAGUUGCAGUAAGUUUUCAGGCUUUUUAGUAUAAGUUUGAGAAAAUCAGGAUUUACACUUAAAGAGAUAUCAGGAGAGAGGAUGCAGUAGGGUUUUGUGCAACUCUGUUAUUUCAGAACUCUAUGAUAUUAGAGUUCAUUUCUUGAAUACAAAUAUUUUCUGCCAAAAAUCCCAGGACUAUAUAUAUGAUUCUUAACCAAAUUAUUUCAUUAGUUACAUUUCCAACUAGAGAAAAACCAUUUUCUCUCUCACGGAUCUUCGGGUUUUCAUCCCAAAUUGUGAGUACCUCUCUCUAGUUGUAUUAUAUAGCUUGUUAAGUGCUUAAUAACAUAGAAAUCAUAACAAAACUGCAAGAUUUGAGAGUUUACCGCCCAAGAACACCUUGGGGAGUAAACUCUUUUAUAAAGGUAAAAUGAGGCCUAGUCCUUCCCCCGUGAUAUGUAACUACCUUAAGCUUGUAUGUUAGUGUUUAUAAGACUAGAAAUCACCCAUGAACACCAAGAGUAAGGUGUUGACGGCCCAAGAAGUUCUUGGACCGUGAGCUCCAAACUCAAGGGCCAAAGAGUGCGUUAAUCACUCCUAAAGCCUUGGAACAAUAGCCUUGAUUUACUCCUAGUUAUUAAGGGUCAUCAAAUUAUCAAAUUCCCAUCCUAAAGAGAGAUUAUGGCCGUAAUCUCUUAUGGUUUUGGUCUUUGGGCCGUGAACAUCAAAAGGGGGUACCAAAGUGUGCCUAAGGCCUUCAUUAGCCUUAGAUAAUUGUCUAAAACCUAUCCUAGAUGAGUAUGGGACUUGAAAACAUAAAAAAACCCCUUUCCAUAUGAGUUUACGGGAGUAAACUCAAAAGGAAAUGGCCUUGGGGCCGUAAACUCCUUAAUGGAGUGUAUUAGUGCCCUAAACCCUUCCAAGAAUUAAUCCAACAAAUAGGAAUGCUUCUAGGGAUAAUUUAGAACUUCAAAACACCAAAUGACAUUAAGCUUAGGAGUUCACUACCGUAAACUCCUUGUGUGGGGUUUAUUGGAGAGUAAACUCAUAUAUGGGGUCCUUUGGAACCCUAAACUCACUAGCCGGGUCCUACAACAACUUAGAUGUAAUCCUAAGGGCUAAUAACACUUAUUAUAAGUGUUUAACAUCUUCUACGAGGUCUAAACAAUUUCAAUUAGUAGUUUAAAUCUAAUUGGGUACACAUAUGUGUGUUUAUAUGUUAACUAGGAUCAUAGCGUGUGUUCAAGACUUCACUUGACACCUAGCAAUCCUACAUCUUCAAUACAUCCGUACCAUUCACUACAUGUGACUUCAAUUCAUACCCCUUAAUCAAUCGUUUAAAUGUUUUUAAAUGCUUUUAUGGGGUGGGGGUGGGGGGGAAUACAAGUCAAAUGCUUAUAGUAAUUACAUCAAUCACAUGUGAUUAAUAACUACAAAACCAGUGAUUUCCUUAUUGCUCAAAUUGUUUAUCAAACUGUUUUGCUUCUAACUGUUUUACAAGUUCUUAUACUUAUUAAAUACAUUUGCUUAAACUACUGUUUUACUUAUUAUCAAUUGCAUGUCUAUGUAUGUAUAGUUAUAUAAGAAAUGUUUAAAGGACUUAGGAAGGCUAUCCACCCUAUUUCCUUUUCGCGCUUGAGAUGUGGUCUGGUGGGAUAUCGGGUACCCGUCCGAAGGUCAUUUAAAUGAUAAUUAUAUAUCAUGUGUACAUAUAUACUCAUAAAAGGUCCUUCCAGUUCAUUCAGUACGCUUGGGUAACAAGGGUAUACUUCCAUGUUCAUACAUACCAGUACAUCGCUAGUAAGUUACGAUAGGGGUAGCACAGGAGGAUACUAUUAUUAUUACUAGAACAAUGAAACAUACAAUGAGUCAGUUCAUUCAGGAGUCAAUACUUGCUAAAUAGAGAGAGAACACUCAUUGCAGCUAGUACACACAGUACAUUUAUAUACAUUCUAGAUAGAGAGAGAACACACAUUACAACUAGCACACACAGAACAUUAUAGUACAUUACCAUACUAUUACAUAGAUAUGUUUAGAUGAUUACGCUUACAUGAGUAUGUUUACAUAGAUACGUUUUCAUGAGUGCCUUUACAUAUAUGAUAAUAGGACAUACAUCAUUAGGUGCUAUAGCAUAGAACGAGUUCAGGAUCUAACAAUACCGAUGAAUCACAACGCAAUGUAAUAGUUAUAUAAGGUAUACAUGAUCAUUUAAUGUGGAUGUUCACGCAUGCAAAUAUGUAGGAGUCGUGUAAAGGUCCCAAAAUCCCUUUGAUGGGGGGGGCAUCUAGCCUGGGAUCUAGCCAUCACAUUAUGCCUUAUCCCUCAAAUAAGGCAAUAGGAGUACAUAGGUAGUCACUUAUUACAAAUACUACAAUACUUAUAAGAAUUACCCUAGACUUAAGGUAAUUAGUACGGUUAUAGUACAACACUACACCAUAGUACUAUCUCAUUUUUCCCAUUAACAUUCACUUCGUGAAUAUUCACACGAUGCACGGUAAUGUAGAAUCUAUAUUUUUGGUUAAUGAUAGUCUGAAUUGGGGAAAACACACACUCUACCAAGAGACAUACACAGAGACACUAGAUGCCUUGGUAGAAGGCUACAGUUAGUAGUAAACAUAGGGUUUUCUAGGAGAGUUCAAACAUUAUGCAAAACAUUGUACAAAACAUCUUACAAAAACAUUUUACAAACGUUUUCAUACAAACUCAGACAUUAAUAUACUUAUGAUCUCACCAGCAUUAAGCUGAUACUCGCUUUCAAAAUAACUUGUAUUCUCAGGUCACCACUAGACAGGUACAGGUGCCAGGCUUUUGAGAAGAUGGAGUUCAUUCAAGACUCAUCUUUUAUUUUGAUAUGUAUAUUUUUGGUGUCUAUAACUUUAACAGAACACACAUGUAUGAAAUUAUAUUAUUAAUGCAAUGGAUGAUGUUGUUGCUUGUUUACUAGUAUUCAUUGUUUGUGAUACUAUACAUGACGUCCUCCGCCCCAGAAUGUUUCCGCCAUUCAUGGUUUUGGGGUGUGACAGAUUGGUAUCAGAACAUUGUUUAUAGUGAAUUGAGUAUAUCAAACCAUAAAAGAUAUACUAACUAUAAAUACAUUGGGAUUAAAAUACUCUGACCAAGAGUUUAUACUUUAAAUAUUUAAAAUAUUUAAUUAAGUACACGUGCCUGCAUUCAUACUAAAAUCAAUGUCACUAAGACUGUUCAAAAGUAUUAUGAUUGUUGGGCAACACAAUUUGACUUAGAGACAUAUGGUCAAAACUGGGAAGAUAUAGCCUGAUCAACUAUAUUAUCCGAGGGUUGACUAGCAUGUGCCUAAGUGUGGUUGUGAGGUUGCAACAAGUUUAAAAAAUUACCUACAAUACCACAAUUAGAAUGACAGAACAUAAACUUUAAAUACUCUAGGGGUAUUUUACAUUACUAUGAGUUACUUAUGUGCUAGAUUCUUAUACCUCCUUUCUCGCGUAGAUUUAAUGGCUGGAUUCCACCUUCCCGGAGACCCGUACUAUCCCAACCACGGCAAUGCAGGAUGGCUAGAAGAUGAACCAGAAGAUGAUCACCCAAUUCCUUUGGACACUCAUGAAGCUGAAGGCUUUUUUGAUGGUUCUGACUUAGAGCCAUAAGUCAACAACCUACCACCAGUAGGUCAAGCCCCUAACAAAAACCCUCGCCCAACAUUUCUAGGACCCACACCCUUGUGGGCAACCAACCUGGACCGCUGGAGUGACGAGCAGGGACAACCCUUACCUUACUUUGGGGACCGAAGCUUUUACAACCUCAACGAAGGUGGCUCUGCUGAUCGGGCUCUACCUGUCAUGAUUCGCAGAAUAGCUCGUAAUGGUGAACAGGGUCGAGCAGCCAUCGAUCGAAUCAUGGAAAUUGAUGCCAACUCUGGUUUCAACACUGUUCGCAUUCGCUAACUAGAGUUGCCCAAGAAAGGACUCUAGUUUGUAAUGCAGCUCUUCAGAGGGAACUCACCGAAACCUGAGCUGAAGUCAGAGAACUUCGAGCUCAGCAAGCAAGAGCUGAUAGGCGCAUGAGGGACAUGGAACGUCUUCUGUCAGAAUCAAGAACUCACUCUGGUAGUUCUCGUCGCCGAUAGAUUUUCUUUAACAUCUAUCUUUUGGAUAUAACCUAGUUAUGUAAAACUUUGGUCUAAUUUCCCUAUCUAUGUAAAUCAUAGGCCUGUUAGGUCUUGGUUAGGUUGUAAUGUUGUCAAAAUUUUCCCAUUUUGGUUGAUGUAAGGACUCUUCAGUUGGCUAUUUUUCCCGAACUUAUUGCAUCUGUAAUCCCAGUAAUAUUAACAAGUACCUAAUCUUAUGAGAAUUAUUAUCCAAAUGUGCUCAUUUAUUUGUUCUAGAUUCCCAUUCAAUCUUAUCCUUUGGGCUAUAGGGAGUUAGUCCAUGAGUCAUUCUCAUCACUCCUUCCAUUGAAAUCUUAUAUACGUUUCAUCUUCGUAAACUAUAGAUCAAAGAUGCCGCCUCGCAUAAAUCCAAGGAGAAACCGCAAUAACGAAACACCACCUCCUGCACCUCCUCAACCACCUACUCCUCAGUUCGAUAUGACAGCUCUAAAUGCUGUCGUAGCUGCGGCUGUGGCUACAGCCAUGGCUCAAUAUCAUUCACCGGGUUCCACUAGAGGAGGAACCCCUGUUCAGUCUGUUCAGAUGGAAGCUGAUGUGCACUCGAGAGAGUGCUCCUAUAAGGACUUCACGAACUGCAAGCCAUUGUCCUUCAAGGGGACUGGCGGAGUCAUUGCCCUCUCGAAAUUGUUCGAGAAAACCGAAUCAGUUUUCGAAAUCUGCUCUUGUUCCGAGGAGAGCAAGGUGAAGUAUGCUGCUUGCACCUUUGAAACCAAAGCCCUAACGUGGUGGAAUGGCCAUGUGAAGUCACUAUCUCUUGUAGUGGCUAAUGCUAUGUGCUGGGAAACUUUGAGAGACCUCAUGAUUGAGGAAUACUACCCGAGGGGCGAGAUCCAAAAGCUGGAGGAAGAACUGUGGGGCCUAACCAUGAAGGGCUCCAAUGUAGUCACCUACACCGCCAGAUUCUGUGAACUGGUGGCCCUCUGUCCAAACAUGAUUCCUUCAGAGGGAAAGAAGAUCGAAAGAUACAUAUGGGGACUGGUGCCCCCAUACCAUGGAAAUGUUUUGGCAUCACACCCCACUACAUUUGAUAGUGCCAAACGAUUGGUACAGCGGCUCAUAGACCAUGGGGUUCGUACCCCAGCCGCAACAACUACCAUGGCCAUCUCAGAACCUGCAAAGACUGCUGAUUCCAAGCGGAAGGUCUGGGAUGACAAGAAGAAGGCUAAGGCUGCCAAAAAAAGGCAGGUCGUGGCAGUACAUGCUGCGAUAGCCCCUGCCGCUACUGCUCCGGUAAAGCAGUACUCUGGAAGUUUGCCUAAGUGCAACAAGUGCAACUUCCAUCACGUCGGCGCAUGCCGGGAGAUGUAGUGUCUGAACUACAACGGAAAGGGCACAUAGCCCAUUUCUGUAAAUCCCCGGCGAAGCCACUCAACAAAGCCCCCAGUGCUGGAGCGGGCCAAACUUGUUACGGAUGUGGCGAAGUAGGCCACUUCAAAAGAAACUGCCCGAAGGCAGGGUUUGCCGGUGGAGCGGCAAGAGUUCUGGCCAUAGGUCAUGCGGAAGCGGUUGCCGACCCUAUAGUGGUCACUAGUACGUUCCUCCUCGAUAACUCUUAUGCAUGCAUUCUAUUUGAUAGUUGAGCGGAGAGGAGUUUCAUGAACCAAAAAUUUGCUCAUUUACUAAGGCAAAAAUCACGAGCACUUAAUGAACCGUUCAUUGUAGAAAUGGCUAAUGGGAAGGCAGAGAGAACUAGCAGUAUAUUCGUAGGGUGUACCAUAACUUUAGAUAACCAUUCAUUUUUUAACUAUCUUAUGCCGGUCUCAAUUAAAAGUUUCGACGUCAUUAUCAGCAUGGAUUGGUUGAGUCUCCAUCGUGCCGAUAUCAUGUGUUACGAAAAGGCUGUUCACCUUAAUCUGCUGUCUGGCGAAACCUUAGUAGUCUAUGGCGACAAAUCCGGCACGAACCUUCAUAUCAUCUCGAGCAUCCAGGCUCAAAAGUUCUUGCGAAAGGAAUGUCAUGCAUUCCUUGCUCAUGUGGUCGAUGUGAGCCAAGAAACGAAGGACAUUCAGAACAUUCCAAUAGUACGCGAGUUUCCCGACAUAUUUCCAGAAGAAAUCCUAGGAUUACCUCGGCAACGUCAAGUCGAGUUCCGAAUCGACUUAGUUCCAGGGGCUACCUUAGUAGCCAAAUCGCCCUAUCGUCUAGCACCUACAGAGAUGCAAGAACUAUCCGGUUAACUUAACGAACUGCUCAGCAAGGGCUUUAUAAGACCAAGCUUCUCACUCUGGGGAGCUCCAGUCUUGUUCGUCAAGAAGAAAGACGGAUCGUUUCGUAUGUGCAUCGACUACAGGGAGCUCAACAAGCUGACGGUCAAAAAUCAUUAUCCUUUACCUCGGAUCGACGAUUUGUUUGACCAACUACAAGGGGCGAACUUCUUUUCAAAAAUCGACUUGAGAUCCGGAUAUCACCAACUACGAGUGCUAGGGGAGGAUGUUCCAAAGACAACCUUCCGAACUCGUUAUGGGCACUACGAAUUCGUAGUGAUGCCGUUCGGAUUGAUGAACGCACCCGCGGUAUUCAUGGACUUAAUGAAUAGGGUGUGUUGUCCUUACUUGGAUCAGUUCGUCAUCUUCUUCAUCGAUGACAUACUUAUCUACUCUCGAAGUAAGGAGGAGCAUAGUCAACAUCUGCGACAAGUCCUCUAAACAUACGUUCGGAGAAGCUCUAUGCGACGUUCUCGAAAUGCAAAUUUUGGAUACGGCGAGUCGAAUUCUUAGGUCACGUGGUAAGCGAAGAGGGUAUACACGUGGACCCUUCCAAAAUCAAGGCCAUUAAGAACUGGUCAGCACCGAAGACGCCUACGGAAAUUCGUCAAUUUCUAGGCCUCGCUGGCUACUAUCGUAGGCUCAUUCAUAACUUCUACCGCAUAGCGAAACCUCUUACAACACUGACCGAGAAGGGCGUGGCCUUUGACUGGGAAGAGAAGCAGGAAAAAGUGGUCCAAACGCUCAAGCGAGCCUUGUGCACCGCACCAAUACUAUCCCUCCCCGAAGGGAUAGAAGAAUUUGUUGUCUAUUGCGAUGUGUGUCAAAUCAAGGACUCGGAUGUGUCUGAUGCAACGAGGUAAAGUCAUCGCCUAUGCCUCGAGACAACUGAAGACGCAUGAGGUGAACUACACGACCCACGACCUUGAAUUAGGAGCAGUUGUGUUUGCCCUGAAGAUCUGGAGACAUUACUUGUACGGAACGAAGAGCACUAUCUUUAUAGACCACAAGAGCUUACUGUUGGAUAUAGUGUCUAAUUCCAUAACUUUAUUUGGUAUGUACUUGACCCAACCCGGCAUGGUCCAUUUGGGUUGCAUGGCAUUGCAAUACUUGGAUAGACUAAAUGAGAGAAUAUGGCACUUAUGAUUAUUAAUAUAUUAUAAGUUCUAAUAUAUUAAUAAUAGUAUUAUUUAAUUAGUAUUUGAUCAAGUAUUAAUCUAGUAUUAAUUUGGUGAUCAAAGUGAGACUAAUUAAAUAUAUAGGGUUGAUUAUGACAAUCAUCAAUUCUUUUAUGGUGGAUUAAUGAUCCAUGGUUUAUGGGUUAUGGAUGUAACCAUUUGGAGCUCCAUGGAUAGUCCAUGGGAGUUACAAACCCAUGGGUCAUGAGAAAUGAAGAGUCAUGACAAUUAAGAGUAUUCAUGUGAAAACCCUAAUUGUGACAGCACUAUAAAAGGGACCCUUUGGCUAGUGAAAUCAGACCUAGUAAGGUUACUAGAGAGGGCAUAACCGAUUUUGAGUGCUAGAAGUAUUCUCUUAAGUUAUUCCCAGUUUUGUGGUGUUGUGUGAAGCAUUUGAGCCACAACAUUUUGGGUGCUAGGCUCACAAAGUCUUGAAGGAAUCCAAGCAACAACAAGGUAUGUAUUUCUACUAGUUUUUAUGUUUCAUACAUUCCCCAUGCCAUGCUAGUUAGGAAAUAACCUUGAAAAAGAAAUUUGCAUGUAUAUAGAGAAAACAUAGAUUCAAGGUUAUUAGGGUUGCAUGUACACUUAGGAAGUGUUAGAAUGCUCAAAACCCAUCAGUGGUAUCAGAGCCUAGGAUUGUUUUCUGUAUACUUGAUGCAAAACUGCUUGAAAAUCGAAAAUUCUGCAUUCUGACGACUGUACUCGCCGAGUCCAUGGGGAGGACUCGCCGAGUCCAUGAACAAAUUCAUCCUACUCGCCGAGUAGGAUAAUGCACUCGCCGAGUAGGAUCGAGCUGGGCAGAUUUUUCGAGUUUUUGUUGCUGGAAAUGGAUUAGAAUCAUUAUCCCAAUCUGUUUUGGACUUGUAAAAUCUGUUUUUCAAAAUGAUAAUGAUUAUGUUAAUCCAUUUUACAUGACUUUUAACAAUUUCAAAGUAUUAUAUAUGUUCAUAUGAUUUCUUGAAAUUGCUUGACAUGAAUUUGUGUUCUUAUGAGUUUUUAGAAGAUCAUAGGAAUUAUGUGUAACCACCAUGUGUCUUUAAUUCUUGAUCUUAAUUGUAUUGAUGAUGUCCAUAACUUGUCCUCAAGUUAUGGAUAACCAAAAGUCACUUCUUUAAAUUGUGAUUAAAGAACUAAAGAGGUUUCAUAAAAUGAAGAGUCUUCAUUUUUAUGAACCAUUAAAACUCAUAAGUUACAAAUUGAAGAGACUUGGAAUAGUUUCAAUUCUUGCCCUCAAGUUUUGGAAUUUGAAAAGUCUUACACUCUAAUACUUUAAUUCCAAAUUAAACCUUAGAUUUUUAAAAAGUUUAAAAAUCAACACUUAUACUAUUAUUAUAAUUUUAUUAUAUAGAUAUGUAUAAGAAUAUGUCAUUCUUACCGUUAGUAGGCCUCAUUCACGAAGCCGGUCUAAAAGGGGGGUAUAAGGUUGUUGCCUAUAAAAUGGUGACUUAAUGGGUGUCCACUCUCACCCACCGCUUCCUUGAUCGGUGGAGGGUCGUUAGCCGAACGGGUAGGAUACGACUUUAAAUACUCAUUAAAAGUAUAAUGAAUUAUAAAGUAACUAUACAUUAUAAAUUCCCAAUCUUAGUUACUUUAGGAAAAUGUGAAAUUGGUGCUAGCCCAUAAAAUUACACUUUGUACCUUACCAAGUCGUUAGUGGAGCGUGUGUGGUUAACCGACACACUAACAUGGACUAGUAAGAGUGGCAAAGGGUAACUUGACUUUAUUAUAGAUCGGUGGAGCGUGUGUGGUUAACCGGCACAUCGAUUAGGUAAUAUUGUUAAGGGUACCAAGUCAAUUUGUAUGGUUAUUCACACCUUGUUUGUGAUCCUCGGCAUCCCAGUCACAAACUUGAGAGGGCACAAUCGAGAUUCAAACAUGCCAUUGAAAGUUCAAUGUAUCUCAAAAGAUCUAGGAGUUUCAAAUCCAAUUAAAACUUAAUUAUAUUUCGUUUUUCAUGGUGGAAAUUGGUAAAUCGUCAUUUACCUACCUUUAACUAUUUUAUAAUUUGGAUUACGGCAUCCCUCCUCCAGUUAUAAAUAGGUUAUUGGGUCCUAGCGUUAAUAUUUCAUAUUGGGUGUUAUAUUAAGGACUUUAAAUCAACUAACUUGAAUUUCUCCCUUAUAGAUGUCUAGUUUAGACAACUAUGGUCUUCCCAAAUUUUUAGGAACUAGCUUCCUAAUGAAGAUGAUAUCCCAAAAGGCAAUCAAGGUGAAAGACUAAUCGCUUUAUUGAGCACUAAUGGAACUGGAAAUCAUACUUCAUUUCCUCCACCUCCUUCAAUAAAUCUCCCUAUCCCACAAGUUUCACGACCUGAUAAGUUCUAAGUCACUGAAUCCCUAUUGGCAAACAAAGUCUAUAUGUGCUUAGGUCUUGGAGAUUAAGUCACAUAUUGACAAGCCGGGAGAGUUGGGUGUUGAAGUCUCAAGGUAGCUGGCUGUUGGCUUGUUCACUCGCUGAUGACAGAUCACGACAUGAUCGUUAAUGAUCUUACCUAUUUGUUGGAUGAUGUUGAAUCAACAAUGAUUUGGAGCAUUGGUAAAGCAAAAUUUGAUUGGAGGAUCAACCUCCCAAACUUCCAUGGACAUUGACAAUGGGAACAUUGGAAGUCCGGAAAAACCUUUCUCUUCCCAAUUGAAAGGGAUUGGUCAAAUUCAACUCGUUUGACCAAAUGGUAAAGAGAAAGGCUAAGUCUGUGAUAGUCCCGAGUACCGUUUCUAAAGAGUCCAUAUGUUCAUGUUGCCAAAGGAAGGGCAUUGGUUGCGAAGCUGCCAAAUUUACCUAAAAGUCCAUAAGGAUAGUAAAGUCAAAUGUUUGACUCUGUUUUAGGUAAAAUCCAUUAUCUAACUUUAUUAAGUUUCUAUUCUGAGAUUCUUAUUACAUGAUGUGACUGAGUCACAUAUUGAUGUUUUAAGAAUCAAAGAAGAGUGAAGAAACUUAAAGAAAGUAUAUGUUGAUUCUGAUCGUGAAGAUGGAUUUCGAUCGCAUGGUUCGGUGAUCAGAAUUUUGAGUUGUUACUUAAGAGUUAUGAUAUAUUGCUUAGGAAUAGAUAACAACAAGUUUUUCAUAUGGAUUGUAAGGAUAAGUUUUCCGCAAAGUUUUAAAAUAAAAGAAAAAUGGUUUUGAUUUUAUUUAUUUUAAGUAUUCUUACAAUGACAUUUGUGAAAAAAGGUUGUUGCUUAUAUGUUUCCAUUGAUAAGCAAUAUGGGUAAAUGGAUUUGAUUCUUUCAUUAGUGGUAGUGUCAUAAUUUACCAAAUAAGGAAAGAUUCUCAUCACCCAAGUUUUAGUUGGAUAGAAACUUGGAAUCAUGCAAGUUGUAUUGUGUGAUGAAUGAGAAUUUUCAUCUUUGGUAAAUUGAGACUAAUUACUUGUUCACAUUCGCAUGUGAGUCAAGCGAAGGACUAAAGGAUCAGGUACAUUAAGUUGUGCACUAGUCAGGUCCACCACAAAGGUAGAUAACAUUAUUCAUUAUGAUUUACUAAAGUUUAGUAAAUAUGGUUAUGCUUACAAGUUUAAGUGUAAUUCUGAAACAUUGGAAAAGUUUCAAUGUAUGGCAGAAUGAAUAAGAAGAAUCAAAUAAGGCAGAAAGAUAAAAGUUUCUCCAGUCUGAAGAGAUGGGAGAGUACUUGUGUAUUUUGUUUUUUGAUUAUCUUAGUGAUUAUGGAACCAUAUCACAAUUGAUCCUCUACGGACACCUUAGUGUGUUUGUUGCCUGAGGAGAGGAAUCGUGAAUUAUUGAAAUAGUUAAAUCAAAAGAUAAUUCAUACUUCAUGCCAAAAACAAAUCCUGGAGUUAUACUCCCAGAUUGUAACUUGAGUGACAUAGUCUUUAGAAAGUUUAUAACACUUAUCAAAUGUAGAGUAAGAUGUGUUCUACUCUUGUAUAUUUGAGGUUGGUUAGUUGUGAUGUUUUGGAUAAAACAAAGACCAACUAAGUCAAAUUAUGGGAAGUGUUUAACUUGAAAAGAUUCCGCACUAUCUCUUGAAUAUUUGGCAAGAGAGUCUUAUAUGUCAAGAGGACAGUGGGAGUCUAAAAGAUUCUGAAAUAGUUUCAAGAACUAAUCAAGAGUUUUGUUAAUCACUAGCCCACGACUUAAGGUUUGUAACCUAUCGUGUUGACAUAUUCUGUGCUCAUCCCAGUUAAGGUUGGCUUUGCAUUGGAGUUCUGAGAGUUCUCGACUGUUUGCAUAACAACCUGGAAGCAAUGGUAGGCCCUUGUGCUGCCGGGUGGGAAGAAAUUAAGAUUGCACAAGUUCAGUCCAUAUGAAUUUGGAAGUGUCACUAACCUAGUCCUGUGAUUAUGGUUUUGACAAAAUUCACAUGAAAAAGAACACAUACACCAUAAAAUCUAAGUGUCAUAAGGUUUCUCUUCGAUUCAUGAAAAUGAUGGUAAGGAAACACUUCCACUAAGAAGAUUUUUAGUAGAUAGCGGUUGUGAUAUUUGCAUUCUCAUAGAGUUAGUGGAGCGUGUGUGGUUAACCGGCACACUAACUAGUGAGAAUUGCAAAGGUCUAGACAAACAUGUGAGCUAUCUAAGGAAAGGUGUAUGUUCUUGAUAAAGUCUUAUCAAAGCAAUCUAGUAUCAGAAAUAUGAACUUUGGUAAGAAAGUCAAUAAAGUAUUGAUUUCUAGAAGUCCAGUUGAUUUCUGAGUACAUGUCAAAGCUAGUGGGAGCAUAAAGUGUUAUGCUGGUAAUCAUUAUGCUAGUGGGAGCAUGAUGAUUAUGUUAAGUAUUGCAAGUUAGCAAUGUUAAUUAUAGAAAACAAAAGUUUCAAUUUGCUCUGAAAAGUUGUUUGCUAUAAUUAAGGGAGAGGAUUUUAUACUUCAUUCCAAUUCUACCAGCUUAGAUUGAGUUUUAUCAACUUUAGUCAAGGAUAUAUAUGAAUGUUAUGUUGGAAUUGUUCAACAUAAGGAAUUUCUAUAUAUGUUGCGUUCUCAAAAUUCGAUUAUGAUUACGGCAUACCUCUUCAUAGUUCGAAUUGUGAGAACAUGGCAAAUAAAAAUUUUAUAGCAUGAAUCGUGUCCCAUAUGCUUCGGAUAUAGGAUCGAUUGCAUGUACUAUAAUAUUCAUCCAUUCUAAAUUUUCCUAAUGCUUAGGGCAUUAAGAAGGGAAAAGGGAUUAGAACUGGAUAUGACUAAAAUGAUUAAGCAAUUGUCGAGGACAGUUUGAGGUUUACCAAAGAUUGGUUACUCAUGGACAAUUGGAAGUAUAGAGUUAGGACCAUAUUGACAUAUUUUGAAAAGAGGCAACUCUUGUUCAAAAGUGAUGGUCAAAAUGGGAAUAUGGAAUUGUUUCCAUAGGUGGAAGUUACUCUUUGAAUCUGUGUAAGAUUAGAGAACUUAAUGCAAGAAGGANNNNNNNNNNNNNNNNNNNNNNNNNNNNNNNNNNNNNNNNNNNNNNNNNNNNNNNNNNNNNNNNNNNNNNNNNNNNNNNNNNNNNNNNNNNNNNNNNNNNNNNNNNNNNNNNNNNNNNNNNNNNNNNNNNNNNNNNNNNNNNNNNNNNNNNNNNNNNNNNNNNNNNNNNNNNNNNNNNNNNNNNNNNNNNNNNNNNNNNNNNNNNNNNNNNNNNNNNNNNNNNNNNNNNNNNNNNNNNNNNNNNNNNNNNNNNNNNNNNNNNNNNNNNNNNNNNNNNNNNNNNNNNNNNNNNNNNNNNNNNNNNNNNNNNNNNNNNNNNNNNNNNNNNNNNNNNNNNNNNNNNNNNNNNNNNNNNNNNNNNNNNNNNNNNNNNNNNNNNNNNNNNNNNNNNNNNNNNNNNNNNNNNNNNNNNNNNNNAAAAGUAAAGCUGUGAUGGAGGACGAAGACCUCAACUUGGAGGAUUAUGACCUCACGUCUGAGGAUUAUGCUAUGAUGGUGUCUAACCCCAAGAGGUUCAUCAAGAAGAGAUUCCCCUCCAACAAAAACCGAAACUGGCAGGGGAGUUAUAGCUCAGAAAAGGUUAAAGAUGAACCGAAGGUUGAAGAGUCUAAGAAGGAACCGAAGGCAGAAGGUGAUUCUGGAGUAAGCUGCUACUAUUGUGGAGGAAAGAACCACUAUGCAAAGGAUUGUGUCCUCAAAAAGAUGGCUGAAAAGGAUGAGGAAGCUUUGCUGCAGAAAAAGCUUGAUGAGAUCAGGAAGAAGAAAUCUACCGCUAACCCUUCUAUGAAUGCUCUAAUUGUGCAGGGUUCGGUUGCUGAUGACGAGUUCGGUGGCGUGGAGGUUUGGUCAACCGACUCUGAAGAUGAUGAAGUGAGGAAGCCUUCUCAUGGAAAGGCUUGUGUGGCAAAAGAGGAAAGCAGUGGAGGAAGGUGCUUGAUGGUGUCUGACGUAUCUCAGAUGAGGGGAUACAACACUGAUGGUGGGAGUAAUGAACCGAAGGAGCAACAGGAUAUGUGCUUUACAGCCAAACCGCUCAGCGUGCAGUUCAACGAGCUCGAUGAACUGAUUAAGAAGGUACAAUCGGUUUUUGUCUCAUUUAAAGUCCCACAAUGCUCAUAUGAAAAAGAACUAAAAAGUGUUAAUUCAAGAAUCUCUCAUCUAGAUAGUAGUUUAACUCAAACUCGAGUCACCAAUUCUAACCUAACUGAUCAAUUAAGCAGGGUGUCUUCGAAGAGUGAGGAACGGCGCAUGUGGAUCGAACUGAAGGAGUCGGAAUUAGUCAAAAUAAAAGAUGAAAACAUUUAUUUACAAAGAGACAAUUUAAAGCUUUUGAAACAGCGAAAUGUUUUUUGUUUGAUUGCUAAACGUCUUUACACUAAUAUUACUCAGCUUCAUUUGGAUUGUGAAAUAGGACAAAAGAUUCAUCGCAUGAUUUUGCCCUUCCUUGAGUUUAAGGAGGAUGAAAUUGAUGCUGAAGCGUAUAAUUGUGAGAGUGUGAUAUCAUCUGAGGACGUUAAUCCGACCUAUAUGUAUGGACUGGACAAAAUAGAAUCUUUCAUUAAAUCCAAGGACCAUAAGGACAUGCUUAAAAACCUUUUGGAUGAAAAUGAUAGACUGAAACUGAGAACCGAAACCAUAAAAAAUUUGACUCCUUAAAUGCCAACUUGAGCUCAGAAAACAAAAUUGAAGUUGAAAAUGCAUCUGAGCUUAAUGAGGAUGACAAUAUGAGUGAAAUUUAUGUGGAGGACACGGUUGACUGUUCAGAAUUUGUAAAAAGCGAACCUGAAAACCACAAGAAUCUAAUUUCAGAAAAUUCAGUGGACUUUGCUCGUAUGUCCCAACAAAAGUCCCCGAUCCUUGCAGAGAAGGCCGUUGUAUAUCAAAAGGUUAGGACCAAUCCAAAUCAAGUGUACAAGGACACAGGAGUAACCGAACAUCAGACUGCUGAACUCACAGCAAUUGUAAACGAAGACAAUGCUGAUCGAUGCGAUGAGUUCUACUGGUCAGCUCCAAUCGAUAAUGUUGAUGAAACGGUAGGCUUAGCAGAAAGGACCUCAUGGAAAAGUAAAGGUAGAUACGUGCCAGAACCCUUGAACAAACCUGAUAACUUUGAUGUGCCAAGUACUAGUGGUACGAAAGACAUUCCUCAAGAAAAUGGAAGUCCGGCAAAGGAAGACACUCCCUCUAGUGAAACUUCCUCAGUUCAGAGUGAACCAGCCAAAGAAAAACCGAAACCUAAAGCCAACAUCCAUCAUCAACCGAAGCAGAUGAGAUAUCAGAAACGUCAAAGGAAUCAGAGAUACAUGAAGAAUCUCUCUGAAAGAAAACAGUUUUGGCAAUCCCAGAAUGCUUAUUUCUCACAUCAAGACAAGAACCUAAAGUCUGAGAAAAAUCCUAUUGAAACGAAAGAAAGUCACAACAACCGAAAGCAAAGGUUCGGUUCGGAGAAAAAUAUCAACCGAAAGCAAAGGUUCGGUUCUGAGAAUGACUCAAACCGAAAGCAGAAGUUCGGUUUAGAUAACGAAACCAACCGAAAGCUAAGGUUCGGUUCAGAAAAUAAUACCAACCGAAAGCAAGGGUUCGGUUCUGAGAAUGACUCUAACCGAAAGCAGAAGUUCGGUUUAGAUAACGAAACCAACCGAAAGCUAAGGUUCGGUUCUGAAAUCAAAAGAAAUCAAAACUCUAAGGUUGGUCCCACCAAUGAUCAAAAGCAAAAGGGUCACCUAGAGUCUCCAGCCAAGAAGUUAUCUGAUUCUUCUAAAUCUUCCAAUUCUUCAAACUCUUCUAACUCUUCUCCAUCCCGUCCUAAAUUCCAAUCUGUUCCUUCUCAAAAAACUCAAUCAUCAGCUGAACAAAAAGGAAAACAGAAGGUUUCAGUGGUUGAACCAGAGUCAAAACCGAAAGCUGGUUGUGGCACCGAAGGCUCUCUCAUCUCAACUUUAAAGACAUCAACAAACUUGUCACUGGAAGUCAUGUUCGAGGUCUUCCACUGCUCAAGUUCGAUAGAGAUCAUUUGUGUGCUGCAUGUGAAAUGGGGAAGCAAAGUCGUCAAAGUNCCCAUCUGUAAUUAACACAAAAGUUGUUGAACCACUCGAAUUACUUCAUAUCGAUUUGUGUGGUCCUUCAUCUAUCGAAAGCAUCGGUGGUAGCAAGUAUAUUCUUGUUAUUGUUAAUGACUUUUCGCGUUUCACAUGGGUGUUCUUUUUGAAGCUUAAAUCUGAAGCGACUCAUAAGCUAAAGGUGUUCAUCAAGCACAUUGAUGUACAGCUAAAGAAGGUCGUUCGCAACAUCAGGAGCGACAAUGGUCUGGAAUUCAAAAAUAGAGAAUUCGAAGAAUUCCUGGCAGAAAAGGGAAUAAGUCACAACUUCUCAGCUCCUUACACACCUCAACAGAACGGAAUUGUCGAAAGACGAAACCGAUCUUUGUGUGAAGCUGCCUGAACCAUGUUAAGUUUCGCAUCCUUACCUCUUUAUUUUUGGGCUGAUGCUAUUUCUGCUGCUUGUUUUACACAGAACAGGUCUUAUCUCAACAAGCGAUUCACGCUCACACCUUAUGAGAUACUAAACAACAGAAAGCCCAAUGUGAAAUUUUUCCAUGUGUUCGGCUCACGGUGUUUCAUCUUUAACUCUAAAGAACACCGCAACAAGUUCGAUGUCAAAGCCGACGAGGGAAUCUUUCUGGGCUACUCUCUCACUUCCAAAGCAUACAGAGUAUUAAACAAGCGUUCGAGGAAAAUCGAAGAGACUUAUUACGUGACUUUCGAUGAUAGCUAUGUCAAAAAGCUACAGGCCAAAGAAGACACAGCUGGGGAAAUCUUUCCUCAAACUGGCCAAGUCACAGUCUCGAUCGCUAAUCUAUNNNNNNNNNNNNNNNNNNNNNNNNNNNNNNNNNNNNNNNNNNNNNNNNNNNNNNNNNNNNNNNNNNNNNNNNNNNNNNNNNNNNNNNNNNNNNNNNNNNNNNNNNNNNNNNNNNNNNNNNNNNNNNNNNNNNNNNNNNNNNNNNNNNNNNNNNNNNNNNNNNNNNNNNNNNNNNNNNNNNNNNNNNNNNNNNNNNNNNNNNNNNNNNNNNNNNNNNNNNNNNNNNNNNNNNNNNNNNNNNNNNNNNNNNNNNNNNNNNNNNNNNNNNNNNNNNNNNNNNNNNNNNNNNNNNNNNNNNNNNNNNNNNNNNNNNNNNNNNNNNNNNNNNNNNNNNNNNNNNNNNNNNNNNNNNNNNNNNNNNNNNNNNNNNNNNNNNNNNNNNNNNNNNNNNNNNNNNNNNNNNNNNNNNNNNNNNNNNNNNNNNNNNNNNNNNNNNNNNNNNNNNNNNNNNNNNNNNNNNNNNNNNNNNNNNNNNNNNNNNNNNNNNNNNNNNNNNNNNNNNNNNNNNNNNNNNNNNNNNNNNNNNNNNNNNNNNNNNNNNNNNNNNNNNNNNNNNNNNNNNNNNNNNNNNNNNNNNNNNNNNNNNNNNNNNNNNNNNNNNNNNNNNNNNNNNNNNNNNNNNNNNNNNNNNNNNNNNNNNNNNNNNNNNNNNNNNNNNNNNNNNNNNNNNNNNNNNNNNNNNNNNNNNNNNNNNNNNNNNNNNNNNNNNNNNNNNNNNNNNNNNNNNNNNNNNNNNNNNNNNNNNNNNNNNNNNNNNNNNNNNNNNNNNNNNNNNNNNNNNNNNNNNNNNNNNNNNNNNNNNNNNNNNNNNNNNNNNNNNNNNNNNNNNNNNNNNNNNNNNNNNNNNNNNNNNNNNNNNNNNNNNNNNNNNNNNNNNNNNNNNNNNNNNNNNNNNNNNNNNNNNNNNNNNNNNNNNNNNNNNNNNNNNNNNNNNNNNNNNNNNNNNNNNNNNNNNNNNNNNNNNNNNNNNNNNNNNNNNNNNNNNNNNNNNNNNNNNNNNNNNNNNNNNNNNNNNNNNNNNNNNNNNNNNNNNNNNNNNNNNNNNNNNNNNNNNNNNNNNNNNNNNNNNNNNNNNNNNNNNNNNNNNNNNNNNNNNNNNNNNNNNNNNNNNNNNNNNNNNNNNNNNNNNNNNNNNNNNNNNNNNNNNNNNNNNNNNNNNNNNNNNNNNNNNNNNNNNNNNNNNNNNNNNNNNNNNNNNNNNNNNNNNNNNNNNNNNNNNNNNNNNNNNNNNNNNNNNNNNNNNNNNNNNNNNNNNNNNNNNNNNNNNNNNNNNNNNNNNNNNNNNNNNNNNNNNNNNNNNNNNNNNNNNNNNNNNNNNNNNNNNNNNNNNNNNNNNNNNNNNNNNNNNNNNNNNNNNNNNNNNNNNNNNNNNNNNNNNNNNNNNNNNNNNNNNNNNNNNNNNNNNNNNNNNNNNNNNNNNNNNNNNNNNNNNNNNNNNNNNNNNNNNNNNNNNNNNNNNNNNNNNNNNNNNNNNNNNNNNNNNNNNNNNNNNNNNNNNNNNNNNNNNNNNNNNNNNNNNNNNNNNNNNNNNNNNNNNNNNNNNNNNNNNNNNNNNNNNNNNNNNNNNNNNNNNNNNNNNNNNNNNNNNNNNNNNNNNNNNNNNNNNNNNNNNNNNNNNNNNNNNNNNNNNNNNNNNNNNNNNNNNNNNNNNNNNNNNNNNNNNNNNNNNNNNNNNNNNNNNNNNNNNNNNNNNNNNNNNNNNNNNNNNNNNNNNNNNNNNNNNNNNNNNNNNNNNNNNNNNNNNNNNNNNNNNNNNNNNNNNNNNNNNNNNNNNNNNNNNNNNNNNNNNNNNNNNNNNNNNNNNNNNNNNNNNNNNNNNNNNNNNNNNNNNNNNNNNNNNNNNNNNNNNNNNNNNNNNNNNNNNNNNNNNNNNNNNNNNNNNNNNNNNNNNNNNNNNNNNNNNNNNNNNNNNNNNNNNNNNNNNNNNNNNNNNNNNNNNNNNNNNNNNNNNNNNNNNNNNNNNNNNNNNNNNNNNNNNNNNNNNNNNNNNNNNNNNNNNNNNNNNNNNNNNNNNNNNNNNNNNNNNNNNNNNNNNNNNNNNNNNNNNNNNNNNNNNNNNNNNNNNNNNNNNNNNNNNNNNNNNNNNNNNNNNNNNNNNNNNNNNNNNNNNNNNNNNNNNNNNNNNNNNNNNNNNNNNNNNNNNNNNNNNNNNNNNNNNNNNNNNNNNNNNNNNNNNNNNNNNNNNNNNNNNNNNNNNNNNNNNNNNNNNNNNNNNNNNNNNNNNNNNNNNNNNNNNNNNNNNNNNNNNNNNNNNNNNNNNNNNNNNNNNNNNNNNNNNNNNNNNNNNNNNNNNNNNNNNNNNNNNNNNNNNNNNNNNNNNNNNNNNNNNNNNNNNNNNNNNNNNNNNNNNNNNNNNNNNNNNNNNNNNNNNNNNNNNNNNNNNNNNNNNNNNNNNNNNNNNNNNNNNNNNNNNNNNNNNNNNNNNNNNNNNNNNNNNNNNNNNNNNNNNNNNNNNNNNNNNNNNNNNNNNNNNNNNNNNNNNNNNNNNNNNNNNNNNNNNNNNNNNNNNNNNNNNNNNNNNNNNNNNNNNNNNNNNNNNNNNNNNNNNNNNNNNNNNNNNNNNNNNNNNNNNNNNNNNNNNNNNNNNNNNNNNNNNNNNNNNNNNNNNNNNNNNNNNNNNNNNNNNNNNNNNNNNNNNNNNNNNNNNNNNNNNNNNNNNNNNNNNNNNNNNNNNNNNNNNNNNNNNNNNNNNNNNNNNNNNNNNNNNNNNNNNNNNNNNNNNNNNNNNNNNNNNNNNNNNNNNNNNNNNNNNNNNNNNNNNNNNNNNNNNNNNNNNNNNNNNNNNNNNNNNNNNNNNNNNNNNNNNNNNNNNNNNNNNNNNNNNNNNNNNNNNNNNNNNNNNNNNNNNNNNNNNNNNNNNNNNNNNNNNNNNNNNNNNNNNNNNNNNNNNNNNNNNNNNNNNNNNNNNNNNNNNNNNNNNNNNNNNNNNNNNNNNNNNNNNNNNNNNNNNNNNNNNNNNNNNNNNNNNNNNNNNNNNNNNNNNNNNNNNNNNNNNNNNNNNNNNNNNNNNNNNNNNNNNNNNNNNNNNNNNNNNNNNNNNNNNNNNNNNNNNNNNNNNNNNNNNNNNNNNNNNNNNNNNNNNNNNNNNNNNNNNNNNNNNNNNNNNNNNNNNNNNNNNNNNNNNNNNNNNNNNNNNNNNNNNNNNNNNNNNNNNNNNNNNNNNNNNNNNNNNNNNNNNNNNNNNNNNNNNNNNNNNNNNNNNNNNNNNNNNNNNNNNNNNNNNNNNNNNNNNNNNNNNNNNNNNNNNNNNNNNNNNNNNNNNNNNNNNNNNNNNNNNNNNNNNNNNNNNNNNNNNNNNNNNNNNNNNNNNNNNNNNNNNNNNNNNNNNNNNNNNNNNNNNNNNNNNNNNNNNNNNNNNNNNNNNNNNNNNNNNNNNNNNNNNNNNNNNNNNNNNNNNNNNNNNNNNNNNNNNNNNNNNNNNNNNNNNNNNNNNNNNNNNNNNNNNNNNNNNNNNNNNNNNNNNNNNNNNNNNNNNNNNNNNNNNNNNNNNNNNNNNNNNNNNNNNNNNNNNNNNNNNNNNNNNNNNNNNNNNNNNNNNNNNNNNNNNNNNNNNNNNNNNNNNNNNNNNNNNNNNNNNNNNNNNNNNNNNNNNNNNNNNNNNNNNNNNNNNNNNNNNNNNNNNNNNNNNNNNNNNNNNNNNNNNNNNNNNNNNNNNNNNNNNNNNNNNNNNNNNNNNNNNNNNNNNNNNNNNNNNNNNNNNNNNNNNNNNNNNNNNNNNNNNNNNNNNNNNNNNNNNNNNNNNNNNNNNNNNNNNNNNNNNNNNNNNNNNNNNNNNNNNNNNNNNNNNNNNNNNNNNNNNNNNNNNNNNNNNNNNNNNNNNNCUAACACUUUAAGGUCUCUCUUGACUUUGAAGGAAGAGAUUCGUGCCCAGGAUCAUUUGUUUCGUGUCUUUAUUGACAUCACAUUUAUUCCUAAAAAGAUUUGCUUUAUUUCUUUUCUUUUUACACUCUUAGCACGAAAAUCUUUGAUUUUCCAAAAUUCUGGUACUAAGAAUUACAGGCUGUUUUACUGGAUUGGUGGUUACUUAAAAGAUGUGGUCAAAAUUCAUCCACGUGGGAGGUUUAUUCAAAAGAUGCCGUUACAGGGAUAAGAUGAAGGGUUGCUGACUCAGGUGGGAGUCUAAUGGAUUGAAAUUCAAACGGCGGUAAAAAAGGGAUGCAUGCGAAUUUGAAACGUCCACUCUUUAACUGACGUCGUGGACGCGUGUGCGAAUAUGAAGCGGUUCCUCUCUGGCACAGAAAGGCGCGUGGGGAUUUGUAACGGUUUCUUCAGAAACGGCACUUGUUGGCCGGCCUGUUUCAAGGAAUCUGACACUCUCUCUCAUGCGUGAUCAUCGCUUACCUUAACUGUCAUGCAUCAAUCAAAUUCCGGGAAAACCUUUGGUAUUUCGAUAGAAGAUUUGUGCAGAUUUUUCUCUCUCCUAAAACCCACUAUAAACGGAGACAUCUUCUCCCAUUUACCUCUUUACUGCAUCAGAAUUCCCAAGCGAGCAAAAAUUCCCUGAAACUCUUACUGUUCAUCUUCUUCUUCCCAAUUUCAACAAUGGCAGAUUCAUCAUCCGUUCAUGCAACCUCACACAUCCUUCCCAUUCGGCCUCAACAGUGUUUGGUGAUUGAUUUAACCCCUUAGGCGUACGAUUCCUACAUGUUUCCGAUCAUCGAGUGCCUGAAAUACUCGCCCAUCGCUCCUGCACUUUCUAGGGUUGAAUCUGUGCCCAUGGAGCUCCUAUCGCAGGUUUAUGCGACUGCACAUUACGAUAAAGCAAUCGAUAGGGUUUUCUUCGAGGUUUCUGAUCACAAAACCUCGAUUUCUAAGAAACGAUUUGGCACAUUGCUAGGGUUUGCAGCUGACCCUUCACGGAUUCAUCCAGUGACGAUUCCGAUUGGGCAUCUCUACAGCAUGUUCUACAAUAUGGGGUACACGGAGGUGCUCUCCUCCGUCGCGAAGUUUAAGAAAUCUUGUUUGCCGCCACAAUGGAACGACAUGUUCACAGUCCUCUUCAAGGGUCUUUCUGAGAGGAGCUCAGGUUCAGACGGCUCCAGUCGACUCUUCUUGUCGAUCAUGUACAGCGUUUACAAUGGUAUCAACGUCGACUAUGGGGUGGUUCUCUGGCAACAACUCCUCCAAAGCCUCUCUUCUUCUUCACGACACUCUGAGGUGUCUUAUGCAAGGUUUUGGACUCUCAUCACCAAGUGGGCGAUGGAUAAGUUCGAUGUCCCCACUGUUGCCGGUGCAUCGAUGUCUUCGAUCGGUACUUUUCAUACCACGAAGAUUGUCGUCUCAGAUGCCUUAAAAUUUCCCUUUAUUGGUUCCAUUCCGGAGACCAUGUAUGCUGAUGUCCCCGCUGACAGCAGAAUAAUCCGGACUAUCAAGGAGUUUAAGCAAUCUGGACCGAGGGAACUCACGCAGGAGAUGCUCAAGUCCAUACAUGAUGCCGAUAAGCCUAUUUCGAGAGGCAAAAGGGCAGACAAAGGCAAGCAGGUGGCCAAAGGGGCUAAAGGUCCUUCUCCCAAAAAGAGGAAAUCCUCGAAAGCUGCUCAGUCCCCGCAGCCGAAGAGGCGAAAGACUCAACCGAAGCGAAAGCUCAUUAUCGCUUCCUCUUCGAGUGAAUCAGACGGUGAGAGUUCGGAUUCGGACGGCUCUCAAAGAGGCGAAACCCCUCCGAGAGGCAACACCCCACCCCGAUCACCUACCCCAGAUAUGGAAAUCCAUAUCUCACCAAUUCCCUCUCCUACUCAAACAAUUCCUACUUCCAUUCCCACCAUAAACCCCUCUACCACAAUUCNUCCCACCAUAAACCCCUCUACCACCAUUCCUAAAACAUAUUUCCCUAUACCACCACCCAUUUUCACCGAUACAACAACAACAACAACUGCAAAGGUUACAACCAACGUAUCUAAUACGGGGGUUCAUACCGAUGCAACCGAACCACCACCUGUAACCGAACCCCUACAUACAACCGAAACCCAACCACCACCCGAAACCACUCACACUCAACCCGAACCUACCCAUACCCUUACACCUCCAGCCUCACCAACACCACAAUCUCCAGAUCAUGCCUCUGAUGGAGAUAACCCUUUCCUUGGAGGGGAAAAUAUGACCUUCGAUUCGGUCUACUUUAGUCCGUUUCAGGUCCAAAGCGACGACGAUGAGGAAGCUCCUGUAACAAAGAAGCAUCUUAAGGAGCUGCAUGAGAAGGUUGACCUGCUUAUUGCCUCAUAUUCCAAUUCUCAAUCCUCUCUCUCUCUGAAGCCGCUCUUCAGAAGAUUGUUGAUGCCUUCUCAAGGGCUCUACCUGAUUCCGUCGCUUCCGCCACUGCAGCUAUUGAUGCCUCUACGAAAGCUUGUGAGGCAGCGACCGAAAAAGUCGAUAAACUAUUUUCCGACGCCUCUGCCCUGUUACACUCUUUACAGGAGAGUGCUGCUGCAACCAAGACAACGCUGGAACCGAUUGUUCAACAAUUGGUGACGUUCGUCUCUAUAGAGUUGACGUCAUUCGCCACCCUUCGUCAAACUUUAUCAGAUGACAACUUUUCCCUUCGGACAUCUAUCGAUGAGCGCCUCUCUAAACUACUAGAGGAUCUUGCUUAUGAUAACUCGUUGAUGGAUGCUCUCGCAAGGAAGACCACCGCCCUCAAGGUCAAGAGUGCUCAACUUUCAAGUACUCAACAACAGCUUGAAGCUCUUCGAUCUGAACGGGAGGUCAUAAGGACGUGUGUUUCGGAUGUACACUCUGCAAUAUCCAACAUCCUGGAAGCGCACGAUCCCAUUCUGAACCACUCUGUGCGGCGAACCAUUGCAUAAAAACUCGCCCCUGCCCUGGAUCUACUCAGCAAAAUAGAAGGGCUACCCGGUUUCGUGUUCACUCCAAAACAAGGGGGAAAAAAGGAGUUCGGAUCUCAACCACCACCUUCCUCAAAAGCUGCUCACACAACCGAACCUCCUCCUACAGGCCACGCCUCGGGUUCGGGUGUGAAGGAUAAAGGAAAGAAGAUAGCUGAGGAAGAAUAUGAAGAUGAUGAAGAAACCAUUACCGACUUGCUGAAACGCAAAAAUAGUCGCAAUGUUGAUAAUGAUAACAUUCGUGUGGCGCGAGAAGCUGAAGAAGCCGAACACAAACAAAAAGAAGCCCACGACUUACUCGAGAGCAGGAAGACUCUUUUCCCUGCAUGGACUCUCGAGAGGAUGAUCAAGGAGGCAAUCGAUACUCCGAGCAUCCUAUGGCUCGAACCGGUGAUCUCCUUCGACUGCUACAACUCUGUCGACUCGCAAUUCGACAUGCCCUUAAUCCGAAAGGCGUUUAUCUUCCACGCCUUCGCCAACGUUGCCGAAGUUCCUCAUCCUCAUCCUGAGGUUGAUCGUGAACUGAUCGAUUUCUAUCUAAAGGCCGCUCAACCCCAGUAUCAAACCUAGAGCGCUCAGAAGAUUGUUAACGUUCGGGUGCUAAAGCCUUACACUGAAGGGAGAUUUAUCAACGUUCGGUUCAGGAUGAUCAGAGGGUCUGCAAAAACCGAACAUCUUAUAUCCUUACCAGAUCUACCGAACUUCAACCCCCAUGACUGGAUCGUUCUGCACAACAUCCUCUUGACAAAUGAAGCUGAAUAUGGUCCGAUCAUUGACCAUCUCAAAAGGAUGUUGGUAUGUUAUAUCAUGGAGGUCGCCUUGAUGGAUCAGGAGAUUGCCAGUGUCUUCAAGAAGAAACCGAAGAUCUCUCCUGUUGGCUCGGCCAGUGAUCUCAAUCAGAUGAAGAUGGGAAAGAUUGACCCAAGGCGAAACUCGGUCAUGUUCACUAGGGCUGAAGGACAGAAAUGUCUCUUUGCCUUAGUGGAUAAACAUCUUUAUACCAAUGCUUGUCUUGAGCACGUGCUGGGGAUCAUCCAUCGGUGUAAAGAGAAUACAGCGGAUGAUAUCAAAUACUUCGAUGAUAUGAUAAUGUGGUACAUCCGGUUCAGACAGACAAUCUUGGCGCUUGUUUCGUGUCUGUUUGAUACUGUAAAGAAGAAAGCUCCUGCUGCUGGCCCAAGUAAGAAGACGAAGUAAUCUCUCUCCAAUUGACGCAAAGGGGGAGAUUGUUGGGUAGCGUAGCUUUAUUUUGUAUUGCGUCUUUGGGCUCGGUUAAUAGUCCAAUAUUUUGUACUCCGGUUUGGGCCUGUCCAACCGUUGAGCUGUAGGGCUUAGUAUAUAAUAAUAUGCUUGCAUGCAUAUUAGGUUAAAGAUAGAGAAAAAUAGAAUACGAUUGAUAGAAGGCGAUAGCAUUACAAAUUUCUUUAUCGUUCUUGUAAACCCUUUUAAUCCUCUACAGUUGAUGUUCUUUAUCGAGCUCUUCUGAGGGUUGUUUUAUAAUCAUUCGACACGUUUGAUUCAUUCUUGAGGUGUUUGCUGUUUUCGUGUUCUUGCUGUUUACUCUUUAUUUUACCUGUUUAAGAUCUAAUCGAUCUUGAAGUUUACAUUCAAACUUAUCAAUAUUCAUCCAUUCUAAAUUUUCCUAAUGCUUAGGGCAUUAAGAAGGGAAAAGGGAUUAGAACUGGAUAUGACUAAAAUGAUUAAGCAAUUGUCGAGGACAGUUUGAGGUUUACCAAAGAUUGGUUACUCAUGGACAAUUGGAAGUAUACAGUUAGGACUAUAUUGACAUAUUUUGAAAAGUGGCAACUCUUGUUCAAAAGUGAUGGUCAAAAUGGGAAUAUGGAAUUGUUUCCAUAGGUGGAAGUUACUCUUUGAAUCUGUGUAAGAUUAGAGAACUUAAUGCAAGAAGGAUGUUCAAAGGAAUGUACUUUGAAUUUGAGACUUCAUGGAAUUGCUUUCCAUUGAAAUAUCUUGUAAUGUCUAUUGUCAAGUCUUUAUGACUUCUGUGCAUAGUCAUUACAAGGGGAUCAUUGCAUAUAAGUUUAGAAUCUAACAGAUUACAGUAAAUGGCAAGAGUUUGGUAUUCUUGCAUUUACAACAAGGAUUGGAAUUGUGAAAUGAGCAUCAUUGGAAUAUUGUCAAUUGAUCUAUUUCACAAAGAGAGGACCAUAUGUAAACAUAGUAUCCAUACUUGGAAUAUGGCAUAACUGUUGUUUGGAAAAACAUAGUGUGCAUGCUUGGAGCAUGACAUGACUAUUGCUUUAAUUCAAGCAUGAAGUUGAUAAAUCGAAACAUAAAUAAUGAGUAAUCCAUAUGGUUCUUAGAUAAAAGUUGUUUUAUUUACACCCAAGUGUUGGGGCCAUAUAGGAUUAAGUAUUAUUCUUGUGUUUCACUUUGCAUGUUUUGACUUCCAGAAUAAUUAUGUUAUGGUAUAUAUCAUAUUAUUCAAACCAUCCAUAGUCAGUCAUAUGUUGGAAGUAGAUAUGAAUCAAGACUGUCAUGAAUUUGGCUUGUAUGAUUUGUCUAAAGUGCUUUAGACAAUGCAAUGGUUGCUACAACAUUCAUGAGUACUCAUAAGGGCUGAGUAUUGGAUUCAACCCACGCUCACUUGCAUCACUUCAUGGAAUUUAUCUCGAGUGAUCGUGAGACGGUAAUAUCAUAUAAAUCUUCAAACCUAGAGAUAUGAGUUGUUGACUAUGAGUUGGUUAUUCAUUGAUUGUACGAAAACGCAUUGGUAACUCGAUGUUAUAAAACGUGCCUUUGUGAAUAAUUCAACAAGUAGUUAGUACAAGCAUAUCAGUCGAAGUUUAUCUGUUCCUUCUAGAAAUAGAAGCGAUAUCUGGGCCCCUCGAUGAUUUGGUUUUGACCUAUGUACCGGGCCCGGUCAGAACCUAAUUGAUGUGUUCAAUUUAGUUCUAUGUCGAAACAAAUCNNNNNNNNNNNNNNNNNNNNNNNNNNNNNNNNNNNNNNNNNNNNNNNNNNNNNNNNNNNNNNNNNNNNNNNNNNNNNNNNNNNNNNNNNNNNNNNNNNNNNNNNNNNNNNNNNNNNNNNNNNNNNNNNNNNNNNNNNNNNNNNNNNNNNNNNNNNNNNNNNNNNNNNNNNNNNNNNNNNNNNNNNNNNNNNNNNNNNNNNNNNNNNNNNNNNNNNNNNNNNNNNNNNNNNNNNNNNNNNNNNNNNNNNNNNNNNNNNNNNNNNNNNNNNNNNNNNNNNNNNNNNNNNNNNNNNNNNNNNNNNNNNNNNNNNNNNNNNNNNNNNNNNNNNNNNNNNNNNNNNNNNNNNNNNNNNNNNNNNNNNNNNNNNNNNNNNNNNNNNNNNNNNNNNNNNNNNNNNNNNNNNNNNNNNNNNNNNNNNNNNNNNNNNNNNNNNNNNNNNNNNNNNNNNNNNNNNNNNNNNNNCCCAUCCGACCCGCCCCAUCCGAAGUACGUAAGCGAUGACGUCUAGUACGCGCUGCGUACCCUCGUACGCCCAGCGUACCGAGGCGGUUCUGCACCCCUAUAAAACGGAUGCGAGGCUUUCCGAAAAACUUGCUCAUUUCUCUCCUUUCUCUCACGACCUUGCCUCGUUUUCCGUGCCCGUUCAAACCCGAAGCUCUUGUCUUUUUGCUCAAGUCCCGAGGGUCGAUUUUACUCCCGAGAUUCCCGAGAAUCCCUAGAAGUCUAAAGUACCGUAACUAUGUUGAUGGUUGCACGGUUGUGUUUUGUCUGUAAACAUCUUUUGUUCAAAUCUAAUGUCUUUAAGUUUCCUUAUGAUUACGACAUUAUCAUACUACUUGAUUCAACUCUAUCCUCACAAAAGCAGCUUCAUACGUACAUCUAUUCCUCCGAAAUCGUCUUUCUAGCAAAACCAUCAUUCCAUAACAACAAAGUACUCGGACAUAGAGCACCUCAUGUUUCUCAUCCUUUCCGAAGAAAAAACUUAGCAAACCGCCCGAAGUACCACUCGUGCAGUACGUCAAGUUCAAUCCAAAGACCCACAGUUUCAAGCUUAUUUAUAUAGGACUUGUAUAUCCGAGACUAUGAUUGGUGAACCUGGUAUGGGUUCCUCUAUGAACUUCAGGACGGAGACUGCCCAAGACUACGAGUGAUCAUGCUACCAUGCGAAUAAACUUAGAAACCCAACACAUGCUCUUCCCGCCGAUCGGGACAAGAGAGACAGAUGGAACAAAAGUACCUAUUCUUUUUUCUAAAUUCAUGAGUAAUCAUACUUACUUUUAGAUCUUCACGACAUCUAAUCGAUCACAAGGUUUUGACUUCAUAAUCAGUACGACUAGGUUGUAUUCUUAUGCAAGAGGAAAGGUCACUACCUAUACCUCAAGACAGCUUAAGACACAGGAAGUUAACUAUACAACACAUGAUCUUGAGUCAAGAGCAGUGAUAAUUGUUCUAAAGAUCUGGACACACUACUAGUAGGGUACAAGGUUUACUAAUUUCACAGUCCACAAAAACAUUCAACAUACAUUCGACCAAGAAGAGUUGUCAUGCCAGUGAAGUUAAACGAAAGAAGCAAAAAUCGUGUCUCAAUAGUGAAAGGUUCGCUGGAAUGCCAAGCGAGGGACCGAGUUCACUUAAAAACACGAGAAGCAAAUAAAACAUCUAUCCGUAGCAUGUUUACCAGUUCAGUUUAAACUCUAAUUUCGGGACGAAAUUCCCUCUAACGGGGGGAUGAUGUGACAACCCGAUAUUUCGAGGCAAUAUGAUGAAACGCAAGUCAAAUUUAGGUCAAAAUUUAACUUUCCUAAAAUCUUAUUUGGGUUAAAUAAAGUAGUAGGAAUCGUAUCAAGGUUUUCGUACAUAUAAAGAACGUCCAAAUCUGACUUCGUAUGAGGAANCGAAGUUAUGAUUUUUCCAAGUUCGGCUUAGCAACAGACAGCUAAAAACUCGAAUCGGAGAUCGAGCGACUUUUGGCCGUAAUAACCUAAACGAGAAUCGAAGGUCUCGUCAAGGGUAUUUCAGCGGUAAAAAGUCUGGCAAAAACCGACGUCAGAUAAAGAAGUUAUUAAUUUUUAAAGAAAUUCCUUAAUCGCGUCAUUUUAAUAAAUAUAUAAAAAAAUUAUUUCAUAAUUUGCCAACGGAAUCUAAACGAAAGUUAUAGAUCGCAGUCUCACCUACACGUGGAUAUAGAGAACGUCGAAAACGGAGUUCGUAUGAAGGAGAUAUGAAUUUUAGAAGUUUAUUUAAAAUAAAUAUAAAUUUAAAUAUAAAUUCUUGGUAAUAUCCGAAGGGGACUCUGCAGAUAGGACCGGAGUACGCCCUGCGUACCCUCGUACGCCCCGCGUACUCGAAUCAAGGGCCUCGGAUCAUCCACGUCACCCCUAUGCGAAGCUAUCUGACCCAUCCGACCCGCCGUCCCAUCUGACCCGCCCCAUCCGAAGUACGUAAGCGAUGAUGUCUAGUACGCGCUGCGUACCCUCGUACGCCCAGCGUACCGAGGCGGUUCUGCACCCCUAUAAAACGGAUGCGAGGCUUUCCGAAAAACUUGCUCAUUUCUCUCCUUUCUCUCACGACCUUGCCUCGUUUUCCGUGCNCGUGCCCGUUCAAACCCGAAGCCCUGGUCUUUUUGCUCAAGUCCCGAGGGUCGAUUUUACUCCCGAGAUUCCCGAGAAUCCCGAGAAAAAUCCGUUUCCCGAGACGAAACUCUGCCCGGUUUUCCAUCUCGCUAUCUUCAAACUUCCAAGUGAGUUCAUACCCCUAAUCAAUAUUUUAAAUGCUUUUUAAAUGCUUUAGGGGGGGGGAAUACAAGUAGAAACAAACAUGUUAUAUUCUUAUAUAUGUAUUUUAUAACUAUGUUUGUCAUUUAACGGAUUUCACAUGCUACAAAAUGUGAUGCAUGAAAGGGUUUUAAAUCUUAAAAACACAUUGUUAUCAAAUGUUUUACCUUUGAAGUGUAUAUUAAAAUGACAUCAAGUCAUUGUUAAUUAUUGUUCAAAACACAUAAGAUGUCUUACUAAACCAUUUUACAUUCUUGAACUAAUGCAUGUACACUGAUAUUCUUAAAUAAGUAUUGAUGUUAUAGUUUACAACUUUCAUUUAAUUUCUCACACCCUUGAGUAGUAAGAGUGUAUAAACCUACAUGAUCAUCCAGUUAUAUUACAGUAGAUUAUCAUAGGGAUAAUUUGAAGAUAUCAAACAUUACUUCUAUUACAAGGAAUCACACAAGAGUCAGUUCAUUCAUGAGUCUAUACUAGUACAUUACCUGAUACAUGAGUACUUACAGAUGUUUACCUGAUACAUGAAUAUGUUUACAUAUACUUACCUGUUACAUGGACACACAUACAUGAAUGCCAUACAGGAACACUUUUACAUAGGUGCAUUAUCCUGUAUUCACUUACCUGGAUACUUGUACUUAGAACUAAGAGGAUAAUUUAUUAGUACUUUCUAAGUAAAUUAUCUUUCCUAUCCCGGUUCAAUGGGAUAUCUAGGCGGGACUUACCAUUCCGAACCCCACUGAUUAGCACUAGUGGUCGAUGACCAUCUUCGGAGGUCUAAGGUUACUACUUAUAUUAGGAAGAUCGAUUUGGGACUAACCCUUCCGUCCACCUGCUGCUGCUACAGAGGACAAUUGGACAAUCUUCGGAUGUUCAUUAUGUUAUACAUUUCGCUUAAUGCGAUGUUGUGUUGGUCCUAGUACCCAGUGACAACACAUACAAUAUUACAUUUUUCUUGUAUACUUUAUUUUGUGAUGCAAUUCACAUAAACGAUGAGUUAGACUAAGCACUUUUAGUACUAGUCAAAACAAAGGAAAAACUAUCAUUUUACAAACAAAACAUUUGGGUCUUGGUAGAAGACUACACUUCAUACUUACAAAACAUUCGGGUCUUGGUAGAAGACUACACUUCAUACUUACAAAACAUUCGGGUCUUGGUAGAAGACUACACUUCUUACUUACAAAACAUUCGGGUCUUGGUAGAAGACUACACUUCAUACUUACAAAACAUUUGGGUCUUGGUAGAAGACUACACUUCAUACGUACAGAACAUUCGGGUCUUGGUAGAAGACUACAUUUCAUAUUUAAUAGAAAAUAAGGGUUUUUCUAGGGAUUUCAUACUUACCUCAACAUUUUCAUUUAAAGAUUUACAUGGUCUUCAUAACAGAUUCUCACAACAAGGCAACAACACUUAUAUACUUAUGAAUUCACCAGCUUAAAUGCUGAUAAACUCUUUAAAAAUAACUUGUAUUCUCAGGUUACAAAUACACAGGUGCCGAUACAAGGUUUAAAGAAGACGGAGCAGUCAAGACUCGUCUUUUAUUUUGAUAAGUUAUCAUCAUGUCUUGUACUAUGAAAGAAAACUCUUGUAACUAAAAUUAUACUAUUAAUGCAAUGGAUGAUGUUGUUUUUUGUUUACUACUUUACAUUUGUUGUGAUGCAUACAUGACGUCCUCCGCCCCAGAACGUUUCCGCCGUUCUCGGUUUUGGGGUGUGACAAUAAUUCAACAAGUAGUUAGUAUAAGCAUAUUAGUCGAAGUUUAUCUGUUCCUUCUAGAAAUAGAAGCGAUAUCUGGGCCCCUCGAUGAUUUGGUUUUGACCUAUGUACCGGACCCAUUCAGAACCUAAUUGAUGUGUUCAAUUUAGUUCUAGGUCGAAACAAAUCAGAGAUCGAGAAACAAAUGAUGGACAAUAAGUAAGACCAUGUUCCAUGUGUUUGUCUGGCUGAUAUCAUGAGAACAGAGGAUUAUAUGAUCACUUAUCUUAAAUGGCGUAUCAUCAUCAUCUCAGUUCCAAGAGACUUUGAAAGAGCUACGAUUGCUAGUCGGAUUUUGAAGUCAUAUUUGCAAAUAUAGUUAUUAGACUUAUCCAAGUGGGAGACUGUUGGAUAUAGUGUCUAAGUCCAUAACUUUAUUUGGUAUGUACUUGAUCCGACCCGGCAUGGUCCAUUUGGGUUGCAUGGCAUUGCAAUACUUGGAUAGACUAAAUGAGAGAAUAAGGCACUUAUGAUUAUUAAUAUAUUAUAAGUUCUAAUAUAUUAAUAAUAGUAUUAUUUAAUUAGUAUUUGAUCAAGUAUUAAUCUAGUAUUAAUUUGGUGAUCAAAGUGAGACUAAUUAAAUAUAUAGGGUUGAUUAUGACAAUCAUCAAUUCUUUUAUGGUGGAUUAAUGAUCCAUGGUUUAUGGGUUAUGGAUGUAACCAUUUGGAGCUCCAUGGAUAGUCCAUGGGAGUUACAAACCCAUGGGUCAUGAGAAAUGAAGAGUCAUGACAAUUAAGAGUAUUCAUGUGAAAACCCUAAUUGUGACACCACUAUAAAAGGGACCCUUUGGCUAGUGAAAUCGGAGCUAGUAAGGUUACUAGAGAGGGCAUAACCGAUUUUGAGUGCUAGAAGUAUUCUCUCAAGUUAUUCCAAGUUUUGUGGUGUUGUGUGAAGCAUUUGAGGCACAACAUUUGGGGUGCUAGGCUCACAAAGUCUUGAAGGAAUCCAAGCAACAACAAGGUAUGUAUUUCUACUAGUUUUUAUGUUUCAUACAUUCCCCAUGCCAUGCUAGUUAGGAAAUAACCUUGAAAAAGAAAUUUGCAUGUAUAUAGAGAAAACAUAGAUUCAAUGUUAUUAGGGUUGCAUGUACACUUAGGAAGUGUUAGAAUGCUCAAAAUCCAUCACUUACAACACAUAUUCGACCAGAAGGAGCUCAACUUGAGGCAACAAUGGUGGGUCGAGCUACUCAGUGAUUACGAAUGCGAAAUUCGUUAUCAUCCGGGUAAAGCCAACGUAGUAGAUGACGCCUGAGUCGGAAGGAAUAUUCUGGUCUUAGAGCCAAAUCAUUGACUAUGACUAUCCAUUCACACUUGUCCACACAAAUUAAGGCAGCUCAACUUGAUGCUUUGAAGCCUGAAAAUGUGACGGGUGAAUCCCUAAGAGGGAUGGAUAAGAACUUGGAGGUUAAGGGUGGCGGAGCUUAUUAUUUCAUGGACCGGAUCUGGACCCCGAAACUAGGUGGUUUCAGAGACUUAGUCAUGAACGAGGCGCACAAAACUCGUUAUUCCGAUAAGAUGUAUCUGUACCUGAAAAAGUUAUAUUGGUGGCCUAACAUGAAAGCAGAGAUUGCUACCUUCGUGAGUAAAUGCCUUACUUGCACAAAGGUCAAGGUCGAAUACCAGAAACCCUCCGCUCUUCUACAACAGCCUGGGAUACCGGAAUGGAAGUGGGAGCGGAUAACUAUGGAUUUCAUAACCAAGUUGCCUAAGACGACGGGUGGACUUGAUUCCAUAUGGGUCAUCGUCGAUAGACUGACCAAGUUUGCACACUUCCUGCCGAUCAAAGAAACAGACAAGAUGGAGAAACUUACAAGAAUUUACAUUAGAGAGAUUGUAAGACUACAUGAUGUUCCUUUAUCCAUUUUCUCGGACAGAGAUAGUAGAUUCACUUCGAGGUUCUGGCAGUCAUUACAAAGUUCUCUAGGAACUAGGCUCGACAUGAGUACAACCUACCAUCCACAGACCGACGGGCAAAGUGAGAGAACUAUCCAAACCUUGGAAGAUAUGUUGCGAGCCUGUGUGAUAGACUUCGGGAAAGCAUAGGAUACUCAUUUACCCCUUGUUGAAUUUUCCUACAACAACAGUUAUCACACGAGCAUAAAGGCCGCUCCAUUCGAGGUCCUCUAUGGCCGCAAGUGCAGAUCCCCUCUGUGUUGGGCUGAGGUGGGUGAUACCCAGUUAGCUAAGGAACGAAUUCCCGAAAGCACUCUCACAGGUCUGGAAAUCAUACGGGAAACGACAGAGAAGAUCGUUCAGAUCCGUGAACGAUUGAAAGCCUCCAGAGAUUGUCAGAAAAGCUACGCUGAUAAACGUAGAAAACCGUUGGAAUUCCAGGUGGCGACUGGGUUCUAUUGAAGGUCUCACCCUGGAAGGGCUUGACACGCUUCGGAAAGCGUGGAAAGCUAAAUCCAAGGUACAUUGGGCCUUUCGAGAUUCUCGCAAGAAUCGGCCGAGUAGCUUACAAACUUAACUCACUGCGCGAACUCAGUAACGUACAUUCUACCUUCCACGUAUCGAACUUGAAAAAGUGUCUGUCCAACGAGACUCUUGUUAUUCCAUUCAAUGAGAUCGAGAUCAACGAGAGCCUCAACUUCGUGGAGGAACCACUAGAGAUCAUGGACCGAGAGGUCAAGAAAACAAAACAAAGCCGUAUCCCGAUAGUGAAGGUUUGGUGGAAUGCCAAGCGAGGACCGGAAUUCACUUGGGAGCAUGAGGAUCAGAUGAAACUGAAAUAUCCUCGUCUUUUUAUUCUUUGUAANUUUUCUUAAAUUCUAAUUUCGGGACGAAAUUCCUUCUAAAGAGGGGAUGAUGUGACAACCCGAAAUUCUAUUCUGUACAAACAAUAUCACUUCAAUAGAAGUCAGAACGGUUGUAGUAAGUUUUCAGACUUUUUAGUAUAAGUUUGAGUAAUUCAGGAUUUACACUUAAAGAGAUAUCAGGAGAGAGGAUGCACUAGGGUUUUGUGCAACUCUGUUAUUUCAGAACUCUAUGAUAUUAGAGUUCAUUUCUUAAAUAAAAAUAUUUUCUGCCAAAAAUCCCAAGACUAUAUAUAUGAUUCUUAACCAAAUUAUUUCAUUAGCUACAUUUCCAACUAGAGAAAAUCCAUUUUCUCUCUCACGGAUCUUCGGGUUUACAUCCCAAAUCGUGAGCAUCUCUCUCUAGUUGUAUUAUAUAGGUUGUUAAGUGCUUAAUAACAUAGAAAUCAUAACAAAACCGCAAGAUUUGAGAGUUUACCACCAAAGAACACCUUGGGGAGUAAACUCUUUUAUAAGGGUAAAAUGAUGCCUAGUCCUUCCCCUGUGAUAUGUAACUACCUUAGGCUUGUAUGUUAGUGUUUAUAAGACUAGAAAUCACCCAUGAACACCAAGAGUAAGGUGUUCACGGACCAAGAAGUUCUUCGACCGUGAACUCCAAACUCAAGGGCCAAAGAGUGCCUUAAUCACUCCUAAAGCCUUGGAACAAUAGCCUUGAUUUACUCCUAGUUAUUAAGGGUCAUUAAAUCAUCAAAUGCCCAUCCCAAAGAGAUAUUACGGCCGUGAUCUCUAAUGGUUUUGGUCUUUGGGCCGUGAACAUCAAAACGGGGUACCAAAGUGUGCCUAAGGCCUUCAUUAGCCUUAGAUAAUUGUCUAAAACCUAUCCUAGAUGAGUAUGGGACUUGAAAACAUAAAAACACCCCCUUCCAUAUGAGUUUACGGCAGUAAAAUCAAAAGUGUAUGGCCGUGGGGCCAUAAACUCCUCAAAGGAGUGUAUUAGUGCCCUAAACCCAUCCAAGAAUUAAUCCACCAAGUAGGAAUGCUUCUAGGGAUCAUUUAAAACUUCAAAACACCAAAUGACAUUAAGCUUAGGAGUUCACGACCGUAAAUCCAAGGUUUUACGACCGUAAACUCCUUCUGUGGGGAUUAUUGGAGAGUAAACUCAUAUAUGGGGUCCUUUGGAACCCUAAAUUCACUAGUCGGGUCCUACAACAACUUAGAUGUAAUUCUUAGGGUUAAUAACAAUUAUUAUAAGUGUUUAACAUGUUCUAGGAGGUCUAAAAAAUUCCAAUUAGUAGUUUAAAUCUAACUGGGUACACAUAUGUGUGAUUAUAUGUUAAGUAGGAUCAUAGCGUGUGUUCAAGACUUCACUUGACACCUAGCAAUCCUACAUCUUCGGUACAUACGUACCACUCACUACAGGUGAGUUCAUACCCCUUAAUCAAUGGUUUAAAUGUUUUUAAAUGCUUUUAUGGUGGGGGGGGGGGGGAAUACAAGUCAAAUUCUUAUAGUUAUUACAUCAAUCACAUUUUAUUAAUAACUACAAAACCAGUGAUUUCCUUAUUGUUCAAAUUGUUUAUCAAACUGUUUCGCAUCAAACUGUUUUACAAGUUCUUAUACGUAUUAAAUACAUUUGCUUAAGCUACUGUUUUACUUAUUAUCAAUUGUAUGUCUAUGUAUGUAUAGUUAUAUAAGAAAUGUUUAAAGGACUUAGGAAGGCUAUCCACCCUAUUUCCUUUUUCGCGCUUGAGAUGUGGUCUGGUGGGAUAUCGGGUACCCGUCCGAAGGUCGUUUAAAUGUUAGUUAUAUAUCAUGUGUACAUAUAUAGUCAUAAAAGGUCCUUCCAGUUCAUUCGGUACCCUUGGGUAGCAAGGGUAUACUUCCAUGUUCAUACAUACCAGUACAUCGCUAGUAAGUUACGAUAGGGUAGCAUAGGAGGAUACUAUUAUUAUUACUAGAACAAUGAAACAUACAAUGAGUCAGUUCAUUCAUGAGUCAAUACUUGCUAAAUAGAGAGAGAACACUCAUUACAGCUAGUACACACAAUACAUUUAUAUACAUGCUAGAUAGAGAGAGAGAACACACAUUACAGCUAGCACACACAGAACAUUACAGUACAUUACCAUACUAUUACAUAGAUAUGUUUAGAUGAUUACGCUUACAUGAGUACGUUUACAUAGAUACGUUUACAUGAGUGCAUUUACAUAUACGAUAAUAGGACAGACAUCAUUAGGUGCUAUAGCAUAGAACGAGUUCAGGAUCGAACAAUACCGAUGAAUCACAACACAAUGUGAUAGUUAUAUCAGGUAUACAUGAUCAUUGUAAUGUGGAUGUCCACGGCGUGCAAAUAUGCAGGAGUCGUGUAAAGGUCCCAAAAUCCCUUUGACCAGGGGGGUGUCUAGCCUGGGAUCUAGCCAUCACAUUAUGCCUUAUCCCUCAAAUAAGGCAGUAGGAGUACAGAGGUAGUCACUUAUUACAAAUACUACAGUACUUAUAAGAAUUACCCUAGACUUAAGGUAAUUAGUACGGUUGUAGUACGACACUACACCAUAGUACUAUCUCAUUUUUCCCAUUAACAUUCACUUCGUGAAUAUUCACACGAUGCACGGUAAUGUAGAAUCUAUAUUUUUGGUUAAUGAUAGUCUGAAUUGGGGAAAACACACACUCUACCAAGAGACAUACACACAGACACUAGAUGCCUUGGUAGAAGGCUACAGUUAGUAGGAAACAUAGGGUUUUCAAGGAGAGUUCAAACAUUAUACAAAACAUUGUACAAAACAUCUGACAGAAACAUUUUACAAACAUUUUCAUACAAACUCAGACAUUAAUAUACUUAUGAUCUCACCAGCAUUAAGUUGAUACUCGCUUUCAAAAUAACUUGUAUUCUCAGGUCACCACUAGACAUGUACAGGUGCCAGGCUUUUGAGAAGAUGGAGUUCGUUCAAGACUCAUCUUUUAUUUUGAUAUGUAUAUUUAUGGUGUCUAUAACUUUAACAGAACAAACAUGUAUGAAAUUAUUUAUUAAUGCAAUGGAUGAUGUUGUUGCUUGUUUACUAGUAUUCAUUGUUUGUGAUACUGUACAUAACGUCCUCCGCCCCAGAAUGUUUCCGCCAUUCAUGGUUUUGUGGUGUGACAGCUUAUUACCUCAAGGAUGACCUCCCACUAAAUAAUAAUCCAACUAUCUACAAAGCCCCUUGCUCCAAGCUUCUUGAUGUUCAAUAUCUUUUCACUCACGAUUUAAGGUUUAUGGAUCUCAAAACGGGAGUAAAGAGGCUAGGGAAGGGAUGUAAUGUUCUUUAAAUAGGGCACAACCCCCGAGCAUUAGGGUUUUUCAAAACAAUUUUUCAUUUUUAAAAAGUAAUUUCAUUCUAGAGAAAACCAUAAAAUCCAAUGUAACAUGGUCAUUAUACAAACAUAUCAAAUCCCAAGAUCAAAACAUAUCCAAAUUCGUCUAUGUGUGUACGAGUCAAGCCGGCACCUUCCCGUGAUCAUCACUGGUACCUGAAACACAUUACACAUAACACUGUAAGCAUAAAAGCUUAGUGAGUUCCCCCAAAAUACCACUUACACACAUACGACUUUCCAGGCCAUACUCCACACGACCUUCCGGUCCAUGUGCCUCACGGGAGUUCUGUCCCAAACCCGGUAGACCUUCCGGUUGUACCCGUAUCGACCUUCCGGUCCAUAACUCCCUGACCUUCCGGUCCACAUCGUAAUGCCUUCCGGCCCAUAUCAAGCAUAACAUACAUAUCACAUACAUAACGCAUACAAUGCAUAUAUCUUAUAGCAUACAAGACCUUCCGGUCACACAUAGGUACCCUUCCAGGUACAGUAUAGUGAGAAGACUCACCUCGGAUAUCUCGAUAAUCUCGAACUCAAGAAUCCUGCUCUAACCUCCACCUAAUCAUAUAAGGCGGUUUCUCCGAUUAGUACAACUCUCAGAAUCAGCAUAACACUCUCCCUAAGAUCUCCCGGAGGGUAAAAGACCAUUUUACCUACAUCCCUGUGAUGCAGUCCUAGUAUAGAGUAGAAGUAAGUUCGUAGAAUGGUCUCAAGACGCUUGACGUUCAAACCAGGGUACCAUCGGUUGGUAAAUAACAUGAUUCAACCUUUGAAAGAGAAUUGGGAAUGAUCCCUGAGCUAAAUUACCCUAGUUCAAUAACUUGACUAGAGUGGGUUUCAGAUAGAUCCCAACUAAAGUAUGAUGAAAGUAUUUGAACAAAGAGUGACACCAAAGUUAGCCGACUUUCAAUAUCGAUAUUCAUGACGUAAUAAGUUUGCGAAAAUUGAUCUUGAAGAAGGUCUUACAUCAUAUCCGGAGUAGAAAGGUUUUGGCCGCAUGAAGGCCUAACUUAUAAUACAAGAUAGUUACAUAGAAAAAUGCUACAUAGGACAUAUACAGGAAAACGAUUCCUUUACACAAGGAAGGAAAAUAAAGCAUUUCUUACUGGCGGCGGUCAUCCCUCUGGUGAACUCUCAGUUCAGCCAAUUGACGUUCCAUUAUCAAGCAGGUGUCUUUCGUACACUCUCUGGCGUACUCGUAGCUCUAUGACUUUGGCUCGUGUUUCAGCUAAUGCUUGCAGCAGGGUCUCAUGGUCUCUCUCAGAUCUCUCACGAGUGUUUUCAAGACGAUUGGUGCGGAUGGUAUGCAUUCUUGCAUUGGUAUUUAACCUCUUUGAUACAAUGGAGAGUCGUCGUGCCCUGAAUUUCGUUUCGGGCAACAUUACGGAUCAGGAUUGGUAGAACUCUGUCUGCGGAGCUCCCCUUAAGUUGUAGCAGUUUUGGUCUCCUUCAAACGGCAUAGGUUGAUCUUGCUCUUUGAUCCAUGUUUCUAGGAAUUCUACCCAAGGAGGCGUCGGGCCAUGAAGAGUUGGACGAGGGUUAGGAUUUGAAUUAGGAGCUACCGGGGGUAGGUUCUCAUCCUCGAGUUUGGAGUUAUCAUCAUCCGAAAGGUCUUUAGCAUCAUGAUCAUUCAAAAGGGGUUGGAUGAUCAUUCUCUGGUUCUUCGUUGAACCAUCCAACAUUGCCUUCGUUCGGGAAGUACGGGUCGUCGUGGGGAUGGGGUCCAGCUAUGUUAUCUAUGUGAUAAUUGGGGUAUAAGAAUCUAACACAUAAGUAGUUUAUAGUAAUACACAAAAUACUCCUAUAGUAUUUUAGGUUUAUGUUCUAUUGUUCUCAUUGUGGUAUUGUGGGUAAGUUUUUAGACUUGUUGCAAAUCACAGCCACACUUAGGCACAUGCUAGUCAACCCUCGGAUAAUAUAGUUGAUCAGGCUAUAUCAUCCCAGUUUUGACUAUAUGUCUCUAAGUCUACUUGUGCUGCCCAACAAUCGUAAUACUUUUGUUCUAUCCUAGUGACACUGAUUUUAGUAUAAAUGUAGGCAUGUAUACUCAAUUAAAUAUUUUAUUAUUUUAAAAGUAUAUACUCUUUAUCAGAGUAUUUUAAUCCCUAUUGUAUUUAUAGUCUGUAUAUCUUUUAUGGGUUGAUAUACUCAAUUCACUAUAAACAAUGCUCUGAUACCAAUCUGUUACACCCCAAAACAAAGAAUGGCAGAAAUGUUCUAGGGCGGAGGACGUAAUGUAAUGUAUCACAACAAUGCAAAGUAGUAAACAAGCAACAACAUCAUCCAUUGCAUUAAUAGUAUAAUUUUAAUUACAUGUGAGUUUUUUCAUAGUAUAAUUCUACAAAAGGAAUAUUCAAAAUAAAAGACGAGUCUUGACCGCUCCGUCUUCACAAAACCUGGUAGUCGUACAUGUCUAUUUGUGACCUGAGAAUACAAAUUAUUUUGAAAGCGAGUAUCAACAAUAAUGCUGCUGAGUUCAUAAGUAUUUAUGUGACUUUGAUUUGUAAAACUGGAAAGAAAGACCUGUAAAUGGUUGAAGGAAUGUUUGUACCAAUGAACAUGUUUGUAAGUAAUUGUAAACGUUGGAAAACCCUAGAAAAUCCCAUAUUUUCUAUUAGUAUAAAAAGUAGCCUUCUACCAAGACCCGACUGUUUUAAAUGUUUGCUUUUAGAAAUCCAAUACUUGCCCAUAAGUGGGUGGUAGUUUAAAAGUCACAAAAUGAACUUCAAUAUUGUUUUUCAUGCCUAAAAUAGUAGAUUUGUGUAUGUAUAAAAUUGCUAAGGUAUUUGACAACCCUGUAAAUCAACGUGUUUUUAAUACUCCAUGUGAGUUUUAUAACCAUGCUAAUGGCCCAGACUGCCUGUAACAAUGUUCUUCAGGCGUUGGAAUGUUAUGAUGUUUAUCACGCCAGGCCUGCCGGUCUAACUGUAGCUAACAAUUUAGGUGCGGGAUUGUCAAUCCCGUAUAGAUGUAUACACAAGUAUUACGCUCUCCCUCCAAGAGAUUACAGUUUAUAAUACAGGACUUGAAAUGCAUACUCAAAAGUACGUGAAGCUGAAAUGUCUCACAAUUCUUAGUAUUAGAUAGAUUUACAUAUGAAAGUCCACUUUGUUUUUGUAUAUGAAAGUAUUUCCUUGAUAUGGUACUUGUUGUAUGUAAAAUUUCACGAAUAUAUAGUACACUAUCUUAUGUAAUCGUAUCUCUUGUAAUUGUAUGUCUUGAAAUUGUAUGCCUUGUAAUUGUAUGUAAUCGUAUCUCUUCAUAUAGUAUGUAAUGUAUUAGUACAGACUCAUGAAUUGUCACACCCCCAAACCUGAACGGCGGAAACGUUCGGGGGNNNNNNNNNNNNNNNNNNNNNNNNNNNNNNNNNNNNNNNNNNNNNNNNNNNNNNNNNNNNNNNNNNNNNNNNNNNNNNNNNNNNNNNNNNNNNNNNNNNNAUAGGGGUAUGAACUCACCGAAGAAAGUGCGUGAUUUGAAGAAAAGAGCUUUUUCUUGGGCGGCGCCUUGACCGGAAAGUGACGAGUUUUUCGAGAAACUCGGGGCUUCGGACCUUCGUCGGGCCUUAGAUAUGAAACCGGGAAGUCGGGAUAUUGUCGGCACGAAAAACGAGGUGAAAAUGUGAGAGAAGUGAAGAAAAUGAGCAAGGAUAGCUGGCACCCUCGCAUUCUAUUUAUAGGGUGCUAAAAGAGGGAUUAAGCUGGGCGUAAAUUCGUAGUACGCUGGGCGUAAUUUCGGAGUACGCUGGGCGUACUCAUUACGCUGGACGUAAUUUCGGAGUACGUUGGGCAUACACAAUGUUAGUGCUUACCGCAUCCUAGGGCGGAGCAUUGGAUGGGACCCGGAGCAACGUAGACGAACCGAGGCCUAGCACCUGAGUACACUGAGCAUACGAGGGUACGCUGGGCGUAAAUCGUCUUGGUGUGUGUGCCUCGAACUUGUAAAAUCCAUAACUUUCGCAUACGGGCUCCGUUUUUGACGUUCUUUAUAUCUACGCGAAGGUGAGAAAAUACUCUACAACAUUCAUUUAGACUCCAUCGGCUAAUUUUGAUUUAUUUUUAAUUAUAUUUUAAUUAAUAGGCCGGGACACGAUAACUUCGUUAAAAAUCCAUAACUUCUUUAUCCGACGUUCGUUUUCGUUUUUCUUUUUACCAUCGAACUACUAUUGUCGAGACCUUCAACUCUCGUUUAAGUUGUGUCGGCUAAAAAUCGCUCGAUCUUUAUUUCGAGUUUUUAGCUGUCUACCGCUAUUACGAAACUUAGAAAAUUUGUAACUUCUUCAUAUGAAGUCCCUUUUGGGCGUUCUUUUUAUGCAUGAUCACGGUUUAACGUAAUCUACGACUUUCAUUUGGAUAGCUAAGGCUAAAAAUUAUUGUAUCGAAACUUUGCGUUUUACGUCUAUCAGCUUUGCCGGUUUUUGCUGCGAAUCUUAGAUUGGUCAUAACUUCUUCGUUAUAACUCAGAUUUUAGUGUUCUUUAUAUGUACGAAAAUCUUGAUACGAUUCCUACCACUUUAUUUAACCCAAAUAAGAUUUUAGGAAGGUUAAAUUUUGACCUAAAUUUGAAUGGUGUUACAUUAUAUUGUCUUGAAAUGUCUGGUUGUCACACGGCACGUACUAGAUCUGUACGUUGAGCGUACUCGGAGGCUUCACAGUAUCGGGGUACGCGGCCCCUUACACCGCGCGUACUGGAAUUACGCCCAGCGUAACUCCCAGCUUUCUCCUCCUUUUCAUUCAGGUCUUAAACGGUUAAGACUUGCGUCCAAAAUUCAGAUCUGACUUCUCUAAUACGACUUAAUUCAUAAAGUUGGUGAUUUUAAGCCUUUUCAUGGCUGUGGAAGUCACCAACACCCAAAACACUCCACUUCCAACCUUAAAAGGUCCAUAUCUCAUGCAUGAACAACCAUUAACAACCAAGACUGGAUUUUUAUCACAUAACAUCACUAAAUGAGCUAGUAUGGGACAGAUCUCAGCUUCUAUGAGCUCAACUAUUCACAAAGCUAUUAACUUGGGGACCAAAAACCCUAAAACUUCUCUCUACAAAGUAUGAACAGAAAAGGUGUAAAGCUUGAAGUUUUUUACCUCAAAAUGAAGCUUCUUUCACUGCUAAUCUCGGAUCCAAAAGCUUAAGCUCCAACUCUUCCUCUUCCAAGGCUAUCACUUUGCUCCAAGUGGCCAAGAACACAAUACAAAGCCCUCCUAGACACUCCCUUGCUAUAUGAACGAAAUUUAGGGUUUUGAAAUGGUAAUGUUCGGGAAAAGGUGGCCAGCAAAAGGACUUAAGGUUGCUUAAAUAAGGAGGCUCAAUAUAUUAGGGUUUAUCUUUAGGGCCGGGUAUGCCCCGCGUACACAUUGGUAUGCCUCGCGUACCUGGCGACCCUUCCCGAUCAAGACGUGGACGAGUACGUUGAGCGUACACCCUAGUACACCCCACGUACUCGCCAAACAUGCAUUUCCUUAAAAAGGGCCAAAUGUGCUAAUUGCUCAAAGAUGAAGGUUCAUAAGGUAUACCUGAUUUUUGGGAUGUUACAAUUCUCCCCUACUAGAACCAGACUUUACCCUCGAAGUCUCAUGCUGCGAACAACUCCGGAUGUUGCUCCCAUAUCUCCGACUCUGGCUCCCAGGUCAGCUCAGACCCUUUCCAAUGUUGCCACUGGACCUGCACCAGGGGCACUUCCUUGUUCCUCAGAACCUUGAUCUUCUGAUCCAAGAUUGUGAUCGGCUUCUCAUCAUAAUUCAGACUCGCGUCCACCUGAAUAUCCUCUAAUGAUACCACUGCCAAGUCGUCGCCUACACACUUCCUCAGCUGCGACACGUGGAAGGUAUCAUGAAUCUAGUCCAACUCUGCAGGUAGCUCCAAACGAAUCACUCCUUUCCAAGCAAACACUUUCAGGAGUACAAGAUCCCCGACCUGCAACUCGAGCUCGCAUCGUCGCCUAUCCGCAUAACUCUUCUCGUGACUCUGAGCGGUCAACAACCUUUGUCUGACCCGCUGUAUCUUCUCUGUCGUCUGAAGCACUAUCUCCGUACUACCCAUCACAUGUUGCCCUACCUCACCCCAGUAAAUGGAAGUCUGACACCUCCUCCCAUACAACAGCUCAAAGGGUGGCAUACCAAUGCUCGAAUGAUGCCUGUUGUUAUAGGAAAACUCAGCCAGGGGUAAAUACGUGUCCCAAAUCCCUCUUAAGUCCAAUACACAUGUCCGAAGCAUGUCCGAGAGCAUCUAGAUUGUUUGCUCGCUCUGCUCGUCCGUCUGUGGGUGGUAUGUGGUACUAAAAUGCAGCCUCGUACCCAAUUCCUCAUGAAAUUUCUUCCAGAAUCUGGAAGUAAAACGCACAUCUCGGUCUGAAACAAUCCGUAUCAAUACUCCAUGCCAUGAUACCACCUCCCUCACGUACAACUAUGCCAUCCUCUCAGUAGAAGAACACUCACUGAUAGCAAGAAAGUGAGCGCUCUUUGUCAGCCUGUUCAUAAUCACCCAAAUUGCAUCGACACCCCUAGCAGUCCUCGACAAUUUGGUGAUAAAAUCCAUGGAAAUCUGUUCCCACUUCCACUCGGGGAUCUCCAAUGGCUGCAGCCUACCAUGCGGACGCUGGUGCUCGGCCUUAACCUUGCGACAGGUCAAGCACCUCUCCACGAACCAUGCGACAUCUCUCUUCAUACAGGGCCACCAACAUUCCCUUUUUAGGUCCAGAUACAUCUUAGUGGCCCCGGGAUUGAUCGAGAACAUCAAUCUAUGUACCUCCUCCAUCAAGAUGGUAUGCGUUCUGCCCACAAACGGUACCCAAAUCCGACCUUGAAAGGUCAUAAGUCCUCGACUAUCAGUAAUGAGCUCCGAUACCUGCCCGAUCACCUGCUCCCUUUUGCUGUUCUCUGGUCUCACGGCCUCCGUCUGGGCCCCUCGAAUGGUGUCCACCACUGAAGUCAUCAUUGUCAAUCUCAUGCAAACGUCUCGUAUCGGGGCACUCUCCGCACUACGGCUCAAGGCAUCGGCUACAACAUUAGCCUUCCCGGGUAGUACAGGAUCUCACAAUCAUAAUCCUUUACCACAUCCAACCACCUCCUUUGGCGCAUAUCUAGGUUGGGCUGAUCCAUCAAGUACUUCAAGCUCUUGUGGUCCGUGUAUAUGGCACACCGAACCUCAUACAGAUAGUGACGCCAGAUCUUGAGGGCGAACACCGCAGCCCCAACUCCAGGUCAUGGGUGGGAUACCUCGUCUCAUGAGGCUUCAGCUGCCUCGAUUGUGAUAUCCCCAAUUUUCACGGCCAGAAAAGACCGAUUUUGUUUAUGCUUUAUAAAAAUCAGAGUACUUCAUUUCAUAAAAAGGUUGCGGAAUUUGUUCCCAGAAAAACAUGGUAAAUACGUUAUCAAAACAUUUUCGAAGAAAUGUAUUUAUUUCAUUUUAAAACGUUAGGGAUGUCAUCAUUAAUACAUAAACAUAAGCAUAAACAGAACUUACAAUUAUUUACACUAGUGAUCUACAUCUCUUUAAAUCUUUCAGUGUAAUGUCACGUCAUAUCGUCACCUGUGAUAUAAAUAAACUGAGUGGGUCAGGUUGGGAAACCUGGUGAGUACAUAGGGUUUUCAACUCACAAUAAUAUAAUUAUUAUGUUCAAUCAUCAAACAAUUAACCCAAUUACCCAUCCCCAUUAUCUUCUUUACUCUUAAGGAUUUAACCUAAGAGUCAUCUAUCCUGCAUUCGUUUAUUCCGAAAUCCCUUACUUCCAGGGUUAUAGGACUGGCNGCACUAAAUCCAUAGGUGCCGACGUUCGUUCGUAAAGCACUAAAUCCAUAGCUGCUAUAUCCUACUCAUCGGGUACUAAAUCCAUAGCUACCAGUGUUCAAUAGGUACUAAGUCCAUAGCUACCAAUUCCUAACAGGUACUAAAUCCAUAGCUACCAGCGUCUAACUAAUAGGUACUAAGUCCAUAGCUACCAAUUCCUAACAGGUACUAAAUCCAUAGCUACCAACGUCUAACAGGUACUAACUCCAUAGCUACCGGUGUUUGUCCCAUAGGCACUAAGUCUAUAGUUGCCAAUGUAUACUCACAUCAUCUUCUAUCUCUCAUCAUUCAUCUACCCAUCUCAUACCCAACAUAUUCGUAUGUAUAAAAUAUGUAUACAGUUUAAAUCCUUAAAAACAUGUAUAAAACGUUCAUCUAGCAUAGACAGCAAGUAUUCAGAUAAUAUGAACACAUAGCAUGUAGUUUAUAUAAAAUACUUCAUAUCUAUGUGUAAGAUGAAAGGGACUAUGCACUCACCUGAGUAGGUGGUGACUCGGCGCUUGGACAACACUUCGUUACUCUUAACACACUUUUCCUUCGGCAAAACCUAGUAUCAUUGCCAUUAGGGUUUAGUCUAACAUUCACCGCGACUAAUUAGUAGUCUGGCUAUUAUUACUACUAUAUAAGCGUUAAACGAUACUUAUAUAACCCAUAAUAAUAGCCCAAGUACUUAUUAUAAGGUCCUAAUAACAUUACUAUAUUAAAACAUAAGCUAAACUAAAGAUAGGAUAUGUACAACUCACUUACAUCGGGUUUUUCUCGAAAACCGGGCUUCGCUGGAGCAGCGCUCCUGAGCCGAAAGGCUCUUUUCUCGGGACUCCGGGAGCCCCGGGGCUUCCUUCGGGUGCUAGGGGGUUUACUUAGGCUUUUAGGGGGGUUAGGUGGCUAGAGAGAGAGUCUAGAGAGAGAAAGAAUAGUUUAGGAAGGUGUGAAGAAUGAGGGAACCCGGAACCUCUAUUUAUAGGGGUGCUGACUAAUCUACUCGCCGAGUAGGAGGGCCUACUCGCCGAGUUGGUGCAUGUGGCAAACUUCUGGUGGUGCCACGUGUCCAAUUCUGGUGGUGCCACGUCACCCCCUAUCGCGUAUCAGCCUUCAAACUUAGAAAAAUCAUAAAUCUCGCAUACAAGCUCCAUUUUCGACGUUCUUUAUAUCCACACGUAGGUAAAAUCAAGAUCUACAACUUUCGUUUAGACUCCGUCGGCUAAUUCUCGACCGAUCUUAAAUUUAAUAGUAGGAGGCGUUUAGACUGUUAAAUGACCGUGAAGAAUUCGUAACUCAUUCAUACGAACUCCGUUUUCGUCCAUCUUUUUACCAUUGAGUUCCUAUUAAUGAGAUCUUCAACUCUCAUUUAGGUUGCGUAAGCCAAAAACCGCUUGAACUAAAAUUCGAGUUUCGGGUCGUGCACUGCUAAGCCGAAUCUUAGAAAAAUCAUAACUUCCCCAUACGAAGUCAGAUUUGGGCGUUCUUUUUAUCGAGCUCUUAGUUUAACAUAUUCUACAACUUUUGUUUAGAUUGCUAAGGCUAAAUCUUUCUCUAUCGUAAAUUCACUAUUUAUGCUUCCCGGUGUCGUGCCGGUUUUGCCGUAAAACUUCGACGGGCCAUAACUUCUUCGUUAUAACUCGGAUUUCGGCGUUCUUUAUAUGCACGGAAACCUUGAGACAUAUUAUACAACUUGGUUAAGAUUAUUUUUUCUAAAAAAAUCUUUUGUCGAAAAGUCGUUUUCGACCCUUAUUGCCUCUAAUUUGACUAGCCCGGAUUUGCGGGCGUUACAUCGAUGCAUAUGCUAUCACAUGCCCCCUCUGCAUAAGCACUGCUCCCAACCCGGAUAUCGAUGCACCACAGUACACCACAAAUCCUCCAUCCCUUCCGAGAGUGCGAGUACCGGAGCUUUGCACAAUCUCUGGCAAAGUGCCUCAAAUGAGGUCUACUGCUUUGGACCCUAGGAAAAAGCGACACCCUUUUGGGUCAACCUGGUGAGUGGCACGGCGAUCUUGGUGAAAUCCAUGAUAAAUCUCCGAUAAUAGCCGGCAAAUCCUAGAAAGCUCCAGAUCUCGGUGGGCGAUCUUCGCACCUCCCACCUCAUGACCGCCUCAAUCUUGGCCGGAUCGACCAAAAUGCCAUUCUGGUUGACGAGAUGCCCCAAGAACUGGAGCUCUCAUAACCAGAACUCACACUUGGAGAAUUUGGCAUAGAACCUCUCCGAUCUUAGAACUCCAAGGAUCUCCCUCAAAUGCUCCUCAUGCUGUUCUCUAGUUCUCGAAUACACCAAAAUAUCAUCAAUGAACAUGAUCACCGACCGAUCCAACAUCAGCCUGCACACCCUGUUCAUGAGAUCAAUGAAUGUUGCUGGUGCAUUGGUGAGCCCAAAAGGCAUCACCACGAGCUCGUAAUGCCCAUAACGAGUUCUGAAUGUUGUCUUCUGGAUAUCUUCAUCCCGAACCCUCCUCUGAUGAUAACCCGACCUUAAGUCGAUCUUGGAGAACCAAGAUGCCCCCUACAACUGAUCGAACAGAUCAUCGAUCCUCGGCAACGGAUAACGGUUAUUGACCGUCAACUUGUUCAACUAUCGGUAAUCAAUGUACAUCCAGUGUGAACCAUCCUUUUUCUUGACAAAAAGGAUUGGCGCUCCCCAAGGCGAGCUACUCGGUCGAAUAAACCCCUUCCCCAGCAGCUCCUGAAGUUGCAAGGAUAACUCCUGCAUCUCUGGCGGCGUGAGGCGAUAGGUGCUGCUCCCGGAACCAAAUCGAUACAGAACUCCACUUGCCUCUCGGGAGGCACACCCGACAAUUCUUCGAAAAAAACAUCCGGGAACUCGCACACUAUCGGAACCUCAUCAAACAAAAUUGGCCUCCAAGUGGCCACUCGCGCAUCCAUCACAUAUGCUACGAACCCGUUGCAGCCCUGCUGCAAACUCUGUCUCGCCCUGGCAGCCAAACAAAAUGCUGACCCACAUCGGGUUCCCUCGUCGUACACCGUAAGUACUCCCCUACUAGGAUCUUGUAUCGUUACGAACUGACGCUCAUAGUCUAUAACCGCUCCGAAUCAGCUCAACCAAUCCAUGCCCACUAUAACACAUACGUCUCCCAUCGCAAUCAGGACUAGAUCUAUCGGGAACUCCAUACCGAAGAUCUCAAGAAUAAAUCCUCGAAUCACAUUCAUAGCAUACACCACCCGCUCAUCAGCAAUAGAAACUCGCAGAGGUCGACUCAACGCCUCUCGUUGGAUACUAAUGUGCUGACUAAAUGCCAAGGAAAGAAAUGAUCGACUCACACCCAAGUCAAAUAACACCAAAGCAGGUACAGAACUCACAAGAAACGUACCUACGCAUAUCAUCAUAUAAGCACAAUAUCUCAACUCAAAAAAAUAAAUACAUAAUACAUACCAGCCAUAACAUCGGGCGCUGCGAGGACCUCCUCCGCCGUCAACUGGAAAGCUCUCCCACGAGCCUUCGGUGCCUCAGCCUUCACUUGCCGAACCUCGGUAACCUGAGCAGCAGGCGUAGAUCCCUGUAUUGAUCCCUGAUGCAACUGCGGACACUCAGCCUUCCGAUGGCCAGUCUGGUUGUAAUGAAAGCAAACCNNNNNNNNNNNNNNNNNNNNNNNNNNNNNNNNNNNNNNNNNNNNNNNNNNNNNNNNNNNNNNNNNNNNNNNNNNNNNNNNNNNNNNNNNNNNNNNNNNNNNNNNNNNNNNNNNNNNNNNNNNNNNNNNNNNNNGACUCGGCCUCCUCCCUGGCCCGAGUCUCCAACUCAAUCUCCCUCUUCCGGGCAUUUCCAUGGAGCUCAGCAAAUGUCCGGUACGUCGAGUUCGACACGAACUCCCGAAUGUCUCUCCUCAGAACGCCCAAAUACCGGCUCAUACGGGCCUACUCCGUGGACACCUGCUCAGGGCAGAACAUCGCCCUCUCAUGAAACUUCCUCGUAAUCACUGUAACCGAAUCAGUACCCUGCUUGAGGGUCAAGAACUCCUGAACCAACCGUUCCUUCUCCACCGGGGGAACAUACUCGUCUCUGAACAUGGUGGUGAACCUCUCCCAGGUCACCUCUGAAAUCUUUUCAACUGUAAAGUUUGCUGUCACAAACUUCCACUAGUCCUUCACUCCCAAGCGAAGCUGGUUCAACGCGAAUCGAACCCUCAGAUGCUCCGGAUAUGAACACAUAUAGAAGCAUCCCUCAAUAUCAGCAAUCCAUCUCAUCGCAGUGAUCGGAUCCUGCGUCCCAUCAAACUCANCAUCGAACUCUGGUGGCUUCGUGUUGCUGAACUCCCGAAACAACAACGAGUCACCUCCCUGAGGUCUGGCAGCAGCCACAUCAGCAGUAGCUGCAGCAACUGCAGCCUCAGUCACCGCGGCGUACCGCUCAUCAAAAGUCUCAAUCAGUGUGGUCUUGAUAGACCCAAACAUCUCCGGAAUCUUGGCCCUACUUGUUCCUUAGUACCCAAAGGAUUCUUAUUAGAGUGCGCACUGCUCCGGUGUCUUCGGUAGUACGGUCCCUUAUACUACCGUCUACACUGCAUCAAUAUUCACCCUAAGUCCUCCUCUUUGGAUCCCAAAUCACAAGUACUCUAUAUCUCACUGGCAUAGGCUACCCUUCGGUAGACCUCUUAUUAGCCCCUCACUGCUACCUACUCGCUCUCAAGCAUCACAUAGCAGCACAGUCCUUCCUAGGCUAAGGCAUCACAAAAUCAGGCCACUCUAGUCCUAAUAUGAAUACCUAACCAACUCUAGCAUGCUUAACAUAACAUAUCAUGUCUAAUAACACAUAACGUAAGGGCAUUUUGGGGAUUCACCGUUCGCGUGCUGGCUGACCGUACACACAGCUCUGCUCUGGUUGUCUCAAAAUCUCUUGCUUUUUAGAAAAAUUAGUUUUAUCGUUCGAAUAUUUUCUCAAAUCCUCAGUUUGAGUUCAGAUACGCCCGAAGGUGCAUCCGAGUCCCUCAAACCAAGGCUCUGAUACCAAUUUGUAACGCCGUAAUUUUCAAAACAAAUUUUGUUUUUUAAAAAUUAAUUUCAUUCAAGACAAAACCAUAAAAUCCAAUGUAACAUGGUCAUUAUACAAACAUAUCAAAUCCCAAGAUCAAAACAUAUCCACAUCCGUCUGUGUGUGUACAAGUCAAGCCGACGCCUUCCCGCGAUCAUUACUGGUACCUGAAACACAUUACACAUAACACUGUAAGCAUAAAAGCUUAGUGAGUUCCCCCAAAAUACCACUUACACACAUACUCCUUUCCAGGCCAUACUCCACACGACCUUCCGGUCCAUGUGUCUCAGGGGACUUCCAUCCCAAACCCGGUAGACCUUCUGGUCCUACUCGUAUCGACCUUCCGGUCCAUAACUCCCUGACCUUCCGGUCCACAUCGUAAUGCCUUCCGGCCCACAUCAAGCAUAGCAUACACAUCACAUACAUAAUGCAUACAAUACAUGCAACUCAUAGCAUACAAUGCAUAUAUCUCAUAGCAUACAAGACCUUCCGGUCACACAUAGGUACCCUUCCAGGUACAUUAUAGUGAGAUGACUCACCUCGGAUAUCUUGGUAAUCUCAAACUCAGGAAUCCUGCUCUAACCUCCUCUUGAUCAUAUAAGGUGGUUUCUACGAUCAGUACUGUGACAACCCGAUAUUUCGAGUCAAUAUGAUGGAACGCAAGUCAAAUUUAGGUCAAAAUUUAACUUUCUUAAAAUCUUAUUUGGGUUAAAUAAAGUAGUAGGAAUCGUAUCAAGGUUUUCAUACAUAUAAAGAACCCAAAAAUCCGAGUUAUAACGAAGAAGUUAUGACCAACCGAAGAUUCUCGGCAAAAACCAGCAAUACUGAUAGAUGUAAAAUGCGAAGUUUCAAUACAAUAGUUUUUAGCCUUAGGUAUCUAAAUAAAAGUUUUAGAUAUCAUUAAACCGUAAACGUACAUAAUAAGAACAUCCAAAUUUGACUUCGUAUGAGGAAGUUGUGAUUUAUCUAAGUUACAGAUAUAACAGUAGACAGCUAAAAACUCGAACUAGAGAUCGAAAGACUUUUAGCCGACACAAUCUAAAUGCGAAUCGAAGGGCUCAACAAUACUAGCACAAUGGUAAAAAGUCUGAUGAGAACGGACGUCGGAUGAAGAAGUUAUGGAACUUUAACGGACUUUUCCUGUCCCGACCUAUUAAAAUAUUAUAUUAAAAUUUAAGUCAAGAUUUGCCGAUGGAGUCUAAACGAAAGUUGUAGAUCGUAGUGUCACCUACGCGUGGAUAUAAAGAACGUCGAAAACGGAGUUCAUAUGAGCAAGAUAUGAAUUUUUGAAAUUUACUAAUUAAUUAAAAUAUAAAUUUAACUAAAACCCAGUAUUAUCCGAAGAAGGUGUCAUCGGUCCGAUCCCUCGUACGCCCAACGUACCCUCGUACGCCCAUCGUACUCGGAUGCUAGGCUCCGGUUCGUCCACGUCGCUCUGAUGCUUUGACCGAGGAUGCGGUCAUCCAUGACAUCUCGUUCGCCUUGCGUACAAGCGUACGCCUCAUGUACGCGAGGCUUUCAGCCCCUAUAUAAAGGGUGCAAGGGUGCCGGCCAUAUUUGCUAAUUUCCUUCCCUUCUCGCGCCGAAGCUCUGCGUUUCAACCCUCGGAGCCAUCCCAAAGCCCCAGUUUUCAUAUCCAUGUUUGAAAGGAAGUUUUACGCUCCCGAGAUUCCCGAGAAUCUCGAGAGAUCCGCUUUCUCGAGUAGAAGUUCUGCUCGGUUUUCGUCUCGCUUUCUUCAAUCAAUCAACUGAGUUCAUACCCCUACAAUCCGCACUUUUAAAUGUUUUAUAAAUGCUUUUAUAUGCUUUUAAGGGGGGGAAUACAAGUAAAACACACGAUUAUUAUCGAGUGUCAUAUAAAGUUUCAUUAUACACUUUUUAUCAACGGAAUCAUAUGUGAUUUAUAACUGGUAUGGGGAAACUUUCGUAUGCAAAACAUAUCACGAUAACAUCUUAUCUUUUGAAACGAAAAAUGUUGUUAUAUAUGUAUUAGUCAAGCACUCUGUUUAUACUGUAUGUAUAUGUGUUCAUCUUAGGCACUACAAAAAUCAUACUUUUCAUAACAAGUGAGCAUUUCACUAGGGAUUACUAUACAAACGAGACACACUUUUAGAAAACUAUAAUAGGUAUAGUUUUACGAGAACAUCACGAACUUUUACAUACUAGAAAUACUAUUUCAAGGAGAUACAUUCAUAUACAAGAACAAACGAACAUUUUCAUAGGUACUUCAAAUAGUUUUCACAAAUGUUUUUACAUGUUGAAACACUUUUUAGAAACUUUCUUACAAACUGUAGGUUUCCUUUUGAAUCUAUAUAGUUGUGCUCUCAAACAAAGGUUUUCUCACACUUAAAUUGUUUUGUCCAACAGUCUUUCGAACCGAUUUAUAAACUGACAUCACGCCAUAAAUUCUUAUUUAUUAAACCAUUCAAAGGUUUUACAAAACUUCUUUUAUGCUUUUAUAUUAUAAAUUGCAUGCCUCUAUAUGUAUAUUUAUAUAAGAAAUCUUUAAAAGACUUAGGAAGGCUAUCCACCCUGUUUCCUUUUCCUCGAUUUGGAUGUGGUCUGGUGGGAUAUCGGGUACUCGUCCGAAGGUCGUUUAAGUAUUAGUUAUAUAUAUCAUGUGUACAUGUAUAGUCAUAAAUGUUCCAUCAGUUAUUUCAGUUCCGACACUCUUGAGUAGUAAGGGUGUACAAACUUACUUGGAUACUCAUCAAUUACAUACUAGUAAACUAUUAUAGGAAUAGUUUAGGGUAUACAAGACGUUAUCCCUAUUAAAAGAAUUACACUAGAGUCAGUUCAUUCAUGAGUCUAGACUACAUGCUAUAUGAAGGGAUACUCUUACAGAGAUUCCUCUUACAUGGAUAUAUUUUUAGGGAUACUCUUACAGAGCUUCCGCUUACAUGAAUACGUUUACAGAGAUUCCACUUACAUGAAUACGCUUACAUAGAUACACUUACAUGAAUACGUUUACAGAGAUUCCACUUACAUGAAUACGCUUACAUAGAUACACUUACAUGAAUACGUUUACAUAGAUUCCACUUACAUGAAUGCGCUUACAUAGAUACACUUACAUGAAUACGUUUACAGAGAUUCCACUUACAUGAAUACACUUAAAUAGAUACACUUACAUGAAUACGUUUACAUAGAUACGUUUACCUGAAUACUUUUACAUAGAUACGCUUAGAUGAGUACAUUUACGUAUAUAAUAUAUGAUGAGUUACUAUUGCAUAUUAUAUGGGUAGAUACUGUUAUAUAGAUCUCCUUCUUAUCUUUACCUUGUGAUACAAUCACAUCAUCGACGAGAUAGAUUGGACUUUAUAUCUUAGUACCAAAGGAUACUUUGUGGGACUAACCGUUCCUAGAAACACUGUUAGCUACAGAGGUAAAUGAACAUCUAAGGAUGUUUUCGGUUGAUACCAUUAUAGGUAUACUUAAGGGACUAACUUUUCCUAAACCCGGCUGUUAGCAACAGAGGUAAAUGCACAUCUACGGAUGUCUACGGUUGAACUAUUUAUGGCGAGUUUCCACGUCGUGUGUAUCUUAGUACCCAAGGAUACAACAUAAGUUAUUAUAUUAUUAUUAUUUUUAGUUUUAUAAUAAUAGUUAAACAAGGAAAAACAAUCACAUUUUCAAGUAAUGCGUAUUUUCAAAACAACCAGGUCUUGGUUAAAGACUACUUCUAAAGCAUUUUGGUCUUGGUAGAAGACUACUUUUUAUACUAGUAGGAAAUAUGGGAUUUUCUAGGGUUUUCAUACUUAUACUAAACGUUUCAUCAAACAUUCACCAGUCUUUCAUAACAACUUCUCAAAGCAAUAACAUUGAAAUACUUAUGAGCUCACCAGCUUAAAUGCUGAUCUACUCUUUCAAAAUAACUUGUAUUCUCAGGUCACCAGUAGACAGGUACGAUGACCAGGUUUUGCGAAGACGGAGCAGUCAAGACUCGUCUUUUAUUUUGAUUACUUGUUGUAAUGUCUUAACUCUAUGAAAGAACUCACAUGUAUUAAACUAUUACUAUUAAUGCAAGGGAUGAUGUUGUUGCUUGUUUACUACUUUACAUUGUUGCGAUACAUACAUGACGUCCUCCGCCCCAGAACGUUUACGCCGUUCUCGGUUUUGGGGUGUGACAGAUUGGUAUCAGAGCAUUGUUUAUAGUGAAUAUAGUAUAUCAACCCAUAAAAGAUAUACAAACUAUAAAUACAUUGGGAUUAAAAUACUCUGACUUAGAGUUUAUACUUCUAAAUAAUAAAAUAUUUAAGUAUGUAUACGUGCCUACAUUCAUACUAAAAUCGGUGACACAAUGACAAGAACAAAAGUAUUACGAUGGUUGAAUAUCACAAGUAAGAUUGGGGAUGUAUAGUCAGUCUUGGGAGUGGCAUAGCCUGAUCAACUAUGCUGGUCUGAGGAGUGAUUAGCAUAUGCCCAAGAAUGGUUGUGAUGUAGCAACAAUUCUAUAAACUUACCAACAUUACCACAAUGAGAACAUUAUGACAGAACCUAAGUCUAAAAUACCAUAGGGGUGUUUUGUGUUACCAUAAUUACUUACUUGAGAACUAAAAAGGAUCUUCAGUACUAAGUUGAUAGUUGCUAAGUGGAUACGCUAAGGCUAUAUGUAACUAGGAUGUUAUAGACUUAGAAUCGGUGAAGUUUUGUUUUACCCUUAUUCCUUGUGAAUUUGGAGUUAAGGUCACUUAUUUGAAAGCCUAUCCUAUGUUGAUUACAUAUGACUGGUAUGCACUUUACAAAUUGCGAUGUAACUAAUGAAGAUUCUCUAAUAAUUAUCUUGAUAGUUUGUCUAAUAAUUAUUUCCUUACCCUAAUUCUCACAUAGAUAACAUAAUUGGACUCCAUUCCCACGGCAACCCAUACCUUCCGAACAAAGACAAUGUUAGAUGGUUUGAAAAAGAACCGAAGGGUGAUCAUCCAAUCCCUUGAAUGAUCACCAUGCUGAAAACCUUUCGGAUGUUGAUAACUCCGAACCCGAGGUUGAGAACCUACCCCAGACAGCUCCCAUUCCAAUUCCUAACCCUCGUCCGGCUUUUUCAAAGCCUGACGCUCUUGGGUAGAAUGCGUGGAAACAGGGAGCGAAGAGGAAGAUCAACCCAUGCCAUUUAAUGGUGACCGAAACUUUUAUGACCUGAGCAAAGGGAGCUCAACAGACAGAUUCUACCAAUCCUAAUCCGUAGAGUUGCCCGAAACGAAAUUCAGGACAAGACGGCUCUCCAACGUAUCGAAGAGGUUAAUACCGAUGCGAGAAUGCAUACCCUCUGUACCAUUCGUCUAGAAGGUACAUGUAAGAGAUCUGAGAGGAACCAUGAGACCCUGCAGCAAGCACUGACUAAAUCACGGGCCGAAGUUAUAGAACUCCGCGUACGCCAGAGGGUGUACGAAAGAUACCUGAUUGAUAUGGAACGUAACCUAGCCAAACUAAAGGUUCACCAUUGGGGUGACCGUCACCAGUAGGAGAUACUUCACUUUACAUCCUUGUUUUAAAAAGAACCGUGUUCUUAUCUAAGUUUUGAGUAGCACUGUUUCCCCGUGACCACCUUGUACUAUAAGUACUUUUAUUUGGGACUUUAUGCGGUCAAAGACUUUUCUACUACGGAUAUUAUGUAAGACCUUUUAUAAGGUCAUUUUCCCGAAUUUUUACGUCAUGAAUAUCAAAGAUGUUGACAGUCGGCUAACUUUUGUGUCAUUCUUUAUUCAAGUACUCUUAUCAUACUUUCAUUGGAGUCUAUCUGAAGAACGCUUUAGUCAAGUCAGUGGACUAUAGUAAUUUAGCUCCGGAAACUUUUCCAUGUCUCUUUCAGUGGUUAAAUCAUGUUAUUCACCAACCAACGAUACCUCGGCUUGAACGACAAGCGUCUUGAGACCUUUCUACGAACACACUUCCACUCAUUACUAGGACUGCAUCAUAGGGAUGUAGGUCAACCCUUCAUAAACACACUUCUACUCAGAACUAGGACUGCAUCAUAGGGAUGUGGGUCAAACCAUCAUGAACAUACUUAUAAUCUGUACUAGGACUACAUCAUAGGGAUGUAGGUCAAACCUUCAAGAACAUGCUUCCACUCUUUACUUAAGCGAUCGAAGUACAUCUAGGUUCAACUAUACUUGCUCACAAAUUCAUUUUUCUUUCCAUAUAACAGAAUCAUGUCACCAAAGAAAAACGAUCAACCCAUCAACCAAACACCAACCCUUCAGAUUGAUGCAACUACCUUUCAAGCUGCAGUCUCGGCUGCCGUGUCAGCUGUUCUGACCCACCUUAACGCUAACAACGUGAAUGUUAGCGGGAUUGUUAACAAAAAUUCCAAUCCAAGUAACAAUCAAAUACCUCAACAAGCAACAAACUACCAUGACACCCCGAAUCCCAAGCCGAAGAAUAACAAACGAAAGUUCUGGGCUAAGGCUAAAGGCAAAUCACCCCAAGGGGCGAGCAAAAGACAACAACCAGUGGCAACCUUCGCAGCCACGACAUUUGUACCUCCUACUACCAUCCCUUCUGGUAUCCAAAUGGUCCCUACACCAGCUAGGCAGUAUGUCGGAAACCUACCGAAAUGCAAUAAGUGCAGCUUCCAUCAUCUGGGUAGUUAUCGUACGUUACAUUGCUUUAAGUGCAACAAGAACGGACAUACUACCAAUUUCUGCCGGACUCGGACCCAACACAUUACUUCAAACACCAAUGUCGAAUUCUCUCGAAUAUGCCAUCUAUGUGGCAUAAUGGGACACUUCAAGAGGGACUGUCCAAAAGAGAAGGACGACGGCGAAUCCGGAGGAGCUUGACCUCAGAAUGGAAAGAAGCAACGAAGGACCCUACUAUAUUAUAGGUUCACUUCCAAUCGUCAGUAUUAUGUAUGUCUUUUUAAAACAUGUUUAAAACUAGUGCAACUAUAGUCUUAUCUUUUGCGGGAUCCCGUCGGUAUAGGGAUGCUCGUACUAUGUAUACUUACCUUUUGUAGUAUACCUUAUUCGCAGCAAUAGUCUUAUAGUAGUCUAAAAGUACUUAUCCUUUUUCCUUAAUUCAUGAGUAACCAUACUUUAUUUUAGAUCUUCACGACAUCAAAUCAACCACAAGGUUCUGACUUCAUAAUCAGUAUGAAUUAGUUUUGUUCUUAUACAAGAGGAAAGGUCACUGCCUAUACCUCAAGACAGCUUAAGACGCUGAAAGUUAACUAUACAACACAUGAUCUUGUGUCAGGGGCAGUGGUAAUUGCUUUGAAGAUCUAGAGACACUACUUGUAGGGUACAAGAUGUACUAUUAUCACAGUCCACAAAAACAUUCAACAUACAUUCGACCAAGAAGAGUUACCAUGCCAGUAAAGUCAAACGAAAGAAGCAAAGUCGUGUACCGAUAGUGAAGGGUUCGCUGGAAUGCCAAGCGAGGAACCGAUUUCACUUAAGAACACGAGAAGAAAAUAAAACUUCUAUCCGUAGCAUGUUUAUAAAUUCUGUUUAAACUCUAAUUUCGGGACGAAAUUCCCUCUAACGGGGGGAUGAUGUGACAACCCAAUAUUUCGAGUCAAUAUGAUGGAACACAAGUCAAAUUUAGGUCAAAAUUUAACUUUCCUAAAAUCUUAUUUGGGUUAAAUAAAGUAGUAGGAAUCGUAUCAAGGUUUUCAUACAUAUAAAGAACCCAAAAAUCCGAGUUAUAACGAAGAAGUUAUGACCAACCGAAGAUUCUCGGCAAAAACCGGCAAUACUGAUAGACGUAAAAUACGAAGUUUCAAUACAAUAGUUUUUAGCCUUAGGUAUCUAAAUAAAAGUUUUAGAUAUCAUUAAACCGUAAACUUACAUAAUAAGAACAUCCAAAUCUUACUUCGUAUGAGGAAGUUGUGAUUUAUCUAAGUUACAGAUAUAACAGUAGACAGCUAAAAACUCGAAAUAGAGAUCGAGAGACUUUUAACCGACACAAUCUAAAUGAGAAUUGAAGGGCUCAACAAUACUAGAACAACGGUAAAAAGUAUGACGAGAACGGACGUCGGAUGAAGAAGUUAUGGAACUUUAACGGACUUUUCCUGUCCCGACCUAUUAAAAUAUUAUAUUAAAAUUUAAGUCAAUAUUUGCCAACGGAGUCUAAACGAAAGUUGUAGAUCGUAGUCUCACCUACGCCUGGAUAUAAAGAACGUCGAAAACGGAGUUCAUAUGAGGAAGAUAUGAAUUUUUGAAAUUUACUAAUUAAUUAAAAUAUAAAUUUAAUUAAAACCCAGUAUUAUCCGAAGAAGGAGUCAUCGGUCCGAUCCCUCGUACGCCCAACGUACCCUCGUACGCCCAUCGUACUCGGAUGCUAGGCUCUGGUUCGUCCAUGUCUCUCCGAUGCUUCGACCGAGGAUGCGGUCAUCCAUGACGUCUCGUACGCCCUGCGUACAAGCGUAUGCCCCACGUACGCGAGGCUUUCAGCCCCUAUAUAAAGGGUGCGAGGGUGCCGACGAUAUUUGGUAAUUCCCUUCCCUUCUCGUGCUGAAGCUCUGCGUUUCAACCCUCGGAGCCAUCCCAAAGCCCCGGUUUUCAUAUCCAUGUUUGAAAGGAAGUUUUACCCUCCUGAGAUUCCCGAGAAUCUCGAGAGAUCCGCUUUCUCGAGUAGAAGUUCUGCUCGGUUUUCGUCACGCUUUCUUCAAUCAAUCAAGUGAGUUCAUACCCCUACAAUCCGCACUUUUAAAUGUUUUAUAAAUGCUUUUAUAUGCUUUUAAGGGGGGAAUACAAGUAAAACACAUGAUUAUUAUCGAGUGUUAUAUAAAGUUUCAAUAUUCACUUUUUAUCAAUGGAAUCAUAUGUGAUUUAUAACUAGUAUGGGGAAACUUUCGUAUGCAAAACAUAUCACGAUAACAUCAUAUCUGUUGAAACGAAAAAUGUUGUUAUAUAUGUAUUAGUCAAGCACUAUGUUUAUACUGUAUGUAUAUGUGUUCAUCUUAGGCACUACAAAAAUCAUACUUUUCAUAACAAGUGAGCAUUUCAUUAGGAAUUACUAUACAAACGAGACACACUUUUAGAAAACUAUAAUAGGUAUAGUUUUACGAGAACAUCACGAACUUUUACAUACUAGAAAUACUAUUUCAAGGAGAUACAUUCAUAUACAAGAACAAACGAACAUUUUCAUAGGUACUUCAAAUAGUUUUCACAAACGUUUUUACAUGUUGAAACACUUUUAGAAACUGUCUUACAAACUGUAGGUUUCCUUUUUGAAUCUGUUAUAGUUGUGCUUCAAACAAAGGUUUUCUCACACUUAAACUGUCUUGUCAAACGGUUUUCGAAUCGAUUUAUAAACUGACAUCAAGUCAUAAAUUCUUAUUUAUUAAACUAUUCAAAGGUUUUACAAAACUUCUUUUAUGCUUUUAUAUUAUAAAUUGCAUGCCUCUAUAUGUAUAGUUAUAUAAGAAAUGUUUAAAAGACUUAGGAAGGCUAUCCACCCUAUUUCCUUUUCCUCGAUUUGGAUGUGGUCUGGUGGGAUAUCGGGUACUCGUCCGAAGGUCGUUUAAAUAUUAGUUAUAUAUAUCAUGUGUACAUGUAUAGUCAUAAAUGUUCCAUCAGUUAUUUCAGUUCCGACACUCUUGAGUAGCAAGGGUGUACAAACUUACUUGGAUACUCAUCAAUUACAUACUAGUAAACUAUUAUAGGAAUAGUUUAGGGUAUACAAGACGUUAUCCCUAUUAAAAGAAUUACACCAGAGUCAGUUCAUUCAUGAGUCUAGACUACAUGCUAUAUGAAGGGAUACUCUUACAGAGAUUCCUAUUACAUGGAUAUAUUUUUAGGGAUACUCUUACAUAGCUUCCGCUUACAUGAAUACGUUUACAGAGAUUCCACUCACAUGAAUACACUUACAUAGAUACACUUACAUGAAUACUUUUACAGAGAUUCCACUUACAUGAAUACGCUUACAUAGAUACACUUACAUGAAUACGUUUACAGAGAUUCGACUUACAUGAAUACGCUUACAUAGAUACACUUACAUGAAUACAUUUACAUAGAUACGUUUACCUGAAUACGUUUACAUAGAUACGCUUAGAUGAGUACAUUUACAUAGAUAAUAUAUGAUGAGUUACUAUUGCAUAUUAUAUGGGUAGAUACUGUUAUAUAGUUCUCCUUCUUAUCUUUACCUUGUGAUACAAUCACAUCAUCGACGAGAUAGAUUGUACUUUAUAUCCUAGUACCAAAGGAUACUUUGUGGGACUAACCGUUCCUAGAACCACUGUUAGCUACAGAGGUAAAUGAACAUCUACGGAUGUUUUCGGUUGAUACCAUUACAGGUAUACUUAACGGACUAACUAUUCCUAAACCCGACUGUUAGCAACAGAGGUAAAUGCAUAUCUACGGAUGUCUACGGUUGAACUAUUUACGGCGAGUUUCCACGUCGUGUGUAUCUUAGUACCCAAGGAUACAACAUAAGUUAUUAUAUUAUUAUUAUUUUUAGUUUUAUAAUAAUAGUUAAAUAGGGAAAAACAAUCACAUUUUCAAGUAAUGCGUAUUUUCAAAACAGCCAGGUCUUGGUUAAAGACUACUUCCAAAACAUUUGGGUCUCGGUAGAAGACUACUUUUUAUACUAGUAGGAAAUAUGGGAUUUUCUAGGGUUUUCUUACUUAUACUAAACGUUUCAUCAAACAUUCACCAGUCUUUCAUAACAACUUCUCAAAGCAAUAACAUUGAAAUACUUAUGAGCUCACCAGCUUAAAUGCUUAUCUACUCUUUCAAAAUAACUUGUAUUCUCAGGUCACCAGUAGACAGGUACGAUGACCAGGUUUUGCGAAGACGGAGCAGUCAAGACUCGUCUUUUAUUUUGAUUACUUGUUGUAAUGUCUUAACUCUAUGAAAGAACUCACAUGUAUUAAACUAUUACUAUUAAUGCAAGGGAUGAUGUUGUUGCUUGUUUACUACUUUACAUUGUUGCGAUACAUACAUGACGUCCACCGCCCCAGAACGUUUCCGCCGUUCUCGGUUUUGAGGUGUGACAAGUACAACUUUCAGAAUCAGCAUAACACUCUCCCUAAGAUCUCCCCGGAGGGUAAAAGACCAUUUUACCCCUCCAAUGGCCCAAAGGUCCAAACAUUGACUUAAACCCUAAAGUCAACAAAAGUCAAUGUUCUGGGGUACGUGGCGUGUACUAGAUCUGUACGCUGAGUGUACUCGGAGGCUUCACAUAAUCGGGGUACGCGGCCCCUUAUGCCGCACGUAUUGGAAUUACGCCCAACGUAACUCCCAACUUUCUCCUCCUUUUCAUUCAGGUCUUAAACGGUUAAGACUUGCGUCUAAAAUCCAGAUCUGACUUCCCUAAUACGACUUAAUUCAUAAAGCUGGUGAUUUUAAGCCUUUGCAUGGCUGUGGAAGUCACCAACACCCAAAACACUCCAUUUCCAACAUUAAACGGUCCAUAUCUCAUGCUAAAACAACCUUUAAAAACCAAGACUGGAUUUUUAUCACAUAACAUCGCUAAAUGAGCUAGUAUGGGACAGAUCUCGGCUUCUAUGAGCUCAACUACUCACAAAACUAUGAACUUGGGGACCAAAAACCCUAAAACUUCUCUCUACAAAGUAUGAACAGAAAAGGUGUAAAGCUUGAAGCUUUUUACCUCAAAAUGAAGCUUCUUUCACUACUAAUCUCGGAUCCAAAAGCUUGAGAUCAUGUAAAUAAAAAUCAAAGUUUCAAUUAUUGUUAUUUGAUAAGCCAAUGAUUUUUUAGUAAUAUGUUUGAUAAGCUAGUGAUAUUUUAGUAAUAUAUUUAAUAUGUAUACAAUAUGUUUUGAUCAUACAUUGCAUUCCAUAGCAAUCAUGUUGAUUUUUUGAAUAAUAAUCAGAUUAUGUGAAUAAUAAUCAAAGUUCUCAUCAUUAUUAUUAUUUGAUAAGCCAAUUAUUUCUAUACAAAAUACAUUAUAUAGCAUUACAUAGUCCUUUUUUAGGGAUUGACGAAAUUGCAAAUGAUUUUUUUAUGAUCAUACAUAUAACUAAAUAUAAAUGUAUUGUAUAUUAAAAAGUUUUAUUUAUAUGUAUAAAUAUGUAUGUAUUUUGUAUAAAAACAUAUUGUAUAUUUGUUAAAUGCAUAAAUAUAUUUUUAAAGAAAAAAAUAUGUUUAUAAAAGUAAAUAUAUUUUGAAAGUAUUUAUACGGUUUAUAUAUAGGUUUAUACAAUAUAACCCAUAUUAGAAGUUACUUUCAUAUUUAUUAAAUAUGUAUAUGUAUAUUAUAUAUUUUUACGUAAAAUAAAUAUAAAAUUAUACAUGUCAAAUAAAAUUAAAUAUAAAAUUUUAAUGCAUUAUUACGUUUUGUAAAUGUGUAAAUACAUCUUUAAAAAUAUAUAAAUACGCAUUUAAAUAUAUAAAUAUGUUUUUAAAUAUAUAAAUACCUUUAAAUUAUAUUUUUAUAUAUUUUAAUACCAUUGAUGAAGGCAAACGAUUUAGGUGAUGGUGUGAAGGUAACGUUUAGGCUCUGGUUAUCAUUCACAUAGAUGAUGAAUUCUUUGAAAAAGCUUGUGUGUCAGACAAUGGAGGCCGUUAACGAAGCGUUGAAGUUGGUCAAUAGUGAGUAACCGUUGGAUGUGAUGGAGAAGAACGAGUCAUUGGCGUUGAGGUCGGAGUAGUUGGUGGGGUAGAAAUAGAGUCGGAGGAAUUUGGGGCCUUGGGAGACUAGAAACUUGUAAGUGAAUGAAGAAGCGUUAAAGAUACGAGCAUUUAGAUAUUGGUAAUCAUCGACUGAUGGAGCUUGGAUUAAAGGUUCGAAUGAAAACAAGGUGAUAAGGGUGUCGGAGGGUUCGAAUUUGGAUUUUUCAUCGCGGUCCCAUCUCCAGCCGCCGUUGUUGGUGAUGGGGGAGGAUGAUCCGCAGUUGAUGAGGAUGUUAUCGGUGGCUUUGUAUGGUUGUGCGGCGGUGAUGGUAGCGGAGAAGAGGAUGUAGAAAGAAAAUAUUGGUAAAGUGAAGGUGAAAAUGUUGGAUAAAAAUUAGAAGAAUUAUUGCUGCUUUAAAAAUAAUUGUUAAUGGUGUUUUAUAAAUCCUCCCACUAGUCAUACAAAUAAUUUAGAGUGAACUAUACGUCUUGCAUUAGAAAUUGUACCAUAGAGAGCGACAUGGUAAUUUGAUAACUUUUUGUGGAAGAAAACAUCUGAGAUGCUUUGAAUUGGAAUA
This 109587-nucleotide long non-coding RNA is filed under the name Lactuca sativa (garden lettuce). RNAcentral describes it as "long non-coding RNA (LSAT_LNC004671)". The record is from RNAcentral. Lineage: Eukaryota; Viridiplantae; Streptophyta; Magnoliopsida; Asterales; Asteraceae.